CCACCUGGUCCAACUCGGCGCCCAACCCUAACGCACACGGCACACACGCGCCCACCCUGCACGCCGCCGCCGCCGCCCGCGCGCCGCCGCCGACGACCAAAUCUGCCGCGCACCGCCGACCCACACUCCCCGCCGCCACAGCUCCGCUAGCUCUUCUAUCCCAAACUCCUGCCCGCAGCGAGUUCGCCGGAGGAUCUCCGUCCGUCUCGCCUCCUGGGUCCUGGCCACGCGACGCACGCCGGAGACGAGCGAGAAAUUAAGAAGCCGCUCUAGCGGCUGGCAGGAAUCUGAGCAACGACGACGACGCUCCGCAGGCAGCCGCUGCAUCGGAUCCAUCGCCGGUAAACUAUUGUUCAUUCACACACUCCUCGGUCGACUACUCCGAUCCAUCCUACAACUACACGCUUGGAGCUCAGCCGGCCGGCAGCCAUGAAGGUAACUGACUCCUGCUAGUGCUAGAUCACUGCUCUGUUCGACUUCGACGUCCGACGACCAGCUAUCAUCAGUGCCGGUCACCCAGUACUUCGACUCCGCGAUGCAGGCCGGACGACUCGUCAUGGCGAUACCACCGCCGUCGCCGCCCAAGCCUGCAGCCAACAAGGUGAUACGACUACAUUUUUAUAUGACGAACAAAUCAACUGAUUUACAGUAUCUCAUUAACCAAGGAUGAAACAGCGUGCUACAUAUUUGUAUGUAGUUCCAAAUACUAGCAAGUAGAAGGCUGUGUAAUCCCAGACUUGUUCAGCAGUGGGAUGCAAAUGUACUAAAACUGAUCAGCAGCAGUACAAUGUGUUUCAUUGCAUAUUCUGAAUACUAGUGAUUUUCUCAUGUGUUGAUUAGCCACUGAAUAUGAAAUUGACUUGUUAGAAUCAGCCAUGCUUCGUUCAUUGCAUAUUCUUUUGGUAUUAGAAUAUGGUCUGACUAGCCACUCCAUUAAUAUAUUACUAAGUCUAAGUGGAUUCCAGCUUAUGUUUCUUUGCACUAAAAUUGACAAUGGUUUUAGCCAUCUAAUGACAGUAAUGAUGCCAAUUGUGCCAUCGUCCUCAAAUUGACACUGGUUUUAGCCAUCUUAAUUUUAGUAAUUGAUAUCCAAGUUCUAAAAAAAUUUAUGGCUGACAAUGAUUGGGAUAAUGUCGAGAAGCAACUGAAGGAAUUAGUUUCUGUUCAGGUGCAUCCAUGCCUGUUCAUUCCUGUGUAUGAGGAGUUGAUAGCUGAUCAUGUCAGGAAGUAAGAGCGUGGAGCUUCCUUAAAACUAUUCUCUGAAAAAGUUGCUGUUCUGAAUAAUAUCCAGAGUGACUUUGUGAAUGAGAAGGAUCUGAAACAGCAAGUUAGUCGCUGCAGAAGAUCGCAAAGUAAGUUAAAUCACUAGAUAGGAAUUGAAACAAUUUCCAUCCUUAUAUAACACUGAAACAAUUUCCAUCCUUAUAUAGCACCAUUCUCAUCUUUUAUUCCCUAGAUAGGAAUUGAAUUUCGUCAGUUGUGCUGUUUAGUGCUAUGCAAAGACGAAUUUGCUCUCCCUCAUGCAUAAGGUUCAAACACAUGACUUGCGCAUAAGUUCACACAUGUUACAGUACAUUAGGUUCACAAACAUAAAGGCACACAUACAUAUGAGACUAUGAAAGAAUCACAAACCUUCUCUUGCUUGUGCUCAUAGCAGGGCUAGCAGAGUCAGUGUCUUUUUGCUUCUUGUGGCCAUUGCAGGGCUGUCAAAUGAGCCCAAAAGACUCUUGCCCUUUUGCUUGUUAGCAACCUGCUUCUUUUUCCUUGCAGCCUUUGACUUUACAGGAGCAUUUUUCAUGUCAACAGACAUAGCCUCAGGUUGAUUUGAACCAGAUCUUGACCUCACAGCCCACAUAGCUUCAAUAUCCUCUUGGCUACCGUUCUUGCAAUUGUGCCAGCGAUGACCAUAUAACCCUUGCAAAUAGAGCAUUGGUGCUGUCCAUUUUUCACUUGUCUGUAUAGCAUCUCCUAAGCAGACUGAAUUUUUCUUUUCAUUUAUCUUCUGCACAAAGGCAUUACCUACGAUCUGAAUUAUAGAAUUAGUAAAAACAAUAAUUUUUAUGUUGGCAUAUUGAACAACCUUACGCAUUGAUAUGCUUUAUGAUUUUUCACUAUUGUAGUAGGCAUAACAAACAAGCUGACCGUCAGAGUCACCUAUGGUAGCUUUGCUCCAUCUGUUUUCUGUAUAGACUUCUGUUGAUAGUAUAUUAACAGUGUUCAUUUUUAUUCUGUUCAAGUUAUAGUUUCUACAGUUGAAAAUACAUUGGAUUUGUCAUCUUAAUAAUGGGACAGUGCACUGAUUUAGGAGAGUAAACAUGUUCUGCAAACUAUGCUCCUGCAUAAUGUGACAUAAAUCAUCCUCUUCCAUGAAAGUAUCUUGUACUGAUUUUUUUUAGCAAGGUUUAUCUAUACAUCUUUAUGAAAGUAUCUUGUAUGAUAGUUUCUACAUGUUAUGGAACUUCAGUUUAAACCUACUAUGUAAAUUGUAGUUUAUCAAAGGUGUAGAAGCCACUUUGAUGAGUAUUUGUUGUCAUGCGCCUUUCUUUAAUUUAAAAUUUGCUUGGAUGUGUGGUCUUCGUGUCAUAUAUGUGCUGUCGGUUUUUUUGCAGGUUUUGAAAACCUCCCCAUGCAGGGGAGGUUCUGCCGAGAUUUUUUUUUUAAAAAAUAAAAAGUCUUUGCCGAGAGCCUGCCAGCACGGCUCUCGGCAAAGACGACGUCAACAUUGACGUUCCUCGACAGCGCCGUGGGUUUUGCCGAGAGCGUUUCUGGCCUUCGGCAAAGUCUUUGCCGAGAGCCUGCCACGUGGCUCUCGGCAAAGAAUUCUUUGCCGAGAGCUUCUUUGCCGAUAGCUCUUUGCUGAGAGCUUUUAGGCCUUUGCCGAGGGCUCCUGGCUCUCGGCAAAGAAUACGAAUCCAGUAGUGUGUGCAAAAUAAUUUCUCCACCAACGUUUAUGAACAAAGUCACACAAGAAAAAAGAUUGUAUGAUUUUUUUUUUCGAAUUCAACCUUGAAUUCAGAUCUUGCGUAUUUUGAGAUAACAAAUUAAAUACAGUUUCAUAAACAAAUUCUUUUUUUGCAAAGUACAACUUGCAUGCACAUAAACACUCACCUAUGAAUGCCUCCGAGACUAGACCGACAAAGCUUGAGAUCAACUAAGUAAAAUGUGAGCAACAACCCUAUCUUUAAGAAAGCUUGAGAUCAGCAAAAUAAUUAUCGUCAUGUGUUGGAGCCUUUGGUCCAUGAGAAAUGACUGCUAGCUCUAUAGGAUCAUUCUAGGGUAGAUCUAGGGGGGAAAACAUAUUAUGUUCAUGGUAAACAAGUAGUGCAAACAUAGAGAGGAAGAGGGAGAGGUGUGAGUGUCAUCGACUAUCAGAGGAGGGUGGAGUCGGGGUGCUUGAGCUGGUGCAUGACAUUUCUUGGUCGGCGACUAUCUGCGCUAGGCAGCGAUGUUUGGUGAGAAGGCGAUGCAGUGGUGACCGGCGUCGAAGAUGGUGGUGUAGUGCAGUGGCAGCGGUUGGGGUCUUUCCGUCACUGGCUACGCCCCUACUCAAGAUCGGCUUAGAGUUUUGUCGGUGGGUUUGGCGGCUUACGGUGAACCUCAUACUGAGUGCCGCCGGCCCCAACCUCUCUUUAUAGUGCAGGGUGACAGAGGCCCUUCAACUAUAAAUGGGGUGAGCGUCUCUGAUUAGGGCAUGAGUUAAGACCCAAUUAGACCGUUGGGCCUAAUUGGUAGAGAUCAAUCCAACGAUGACUUCAUCUUCAGAGAUUAAUUCCAGUGGGCAUCAAUUUGAUCUUGUUUGUAACCUUUUCUGUUUCUUAAAUUCUCCUGUUGUAUCUCAUGUUUACCUGUUUAUAAUAUAAUAACAUAUGGCUAGUAGGGGGCUAGGGCUUGUCCCUCCUGUUCCUUCCAAAAAAAAGUGAGCACCCAUUGGAGACUUGAACUUUGCUUGAAACUAUAAAAGGGAUCAAGAGAAAUUGAGAGGAGAAAUCUAGAGUCAAUUAGACUUUAUGAUGCAAAUAGGCCUGUUGUAUUUGUGUAGUGGUAGGGUUGUCUAGUGAGAUGUUAUCUACUAGGGUUCAAACUCUAUUGUUGCACUUUUUUCUAUUUUUUUUCUAAAAAAUUAGGGUACGUUCAAUGGUACUGCAUGUUUUCUGUGCACCGGAAGUUAGAGAGCCUCCCAAUCUCCUAUGCCCCAUUAUCGAUCUCUUAUUUGCGUGUGUACGGACGCGCACACAUGUGGUGUGAGUGUGGGUUAUGUGUGACCAAAUUGUACCCAAUAAUAAAAAUAGACUUUAUGAUAAUUUUGGACUUAUGCUUCUUUGAAGAGGUAUAUGGAGCUGAAUUUAUAACCAUUAUCUAAAAAAGAUUGCAACUUGCAUCCCUUCUCCUCUCUCUCAUGCUUUCAUCUAGAAUACGCUUGGCCCUACCUAGUUCGAAGCGAAUAGGCAACACUGAGACCAUGUCAAACACCACGCUUGUUUUUCAGAUGAGAUGCUUCCAUUCUUUCCCUUUUUGUCAUCGGUUACUCCAAUGCAAAGUUUUCACUUCACUACAAGGGCAUGGAAAUGCACAGAGUUAUAGAAAUGUAGUAGACGACGACAUGCAUGGACAUGUCCAACAAACUACAAAUGCUUGAUUUGGCCCGUCACUCCCUGCCGCUCUGAGCCUGCAUCUUGGAGCCCGUCGCAGAAUUGCAGCGCUGACCGAUUCUCCAACAUCCUAGCUAGGAACCAAACAAACAAGCUCUCUUCUCCAUGGUCGCCUAUAUAAGCAGCUGAAUAUGUGUGCUUCUGAACUCAGGGCAUCGCAUACAUAACGCACAGCCAAGAAAGAAAGAAGAAAAAAAGAGUCCGGCAGGCAAAGGCAUCCGUACGUCUCCAUGGCUUCCAAGCAAAUGCUGCUGUCUGCAGUGGCCGCCUCGAUGGCCCUCCUCGUCUUCCUGCCCGCGCUCGCCUCCGCCACGGAUCACGUCGUGGGCGACAGCCAAGGCUGGACGCUCGGUUUCGACUACGCCGCCUGGGCUGAGAGCAAGCACUUCACAGUCGGCGACACACUUGGUACUCGCACGCAGCUGGAUCUAUCAAAAACCUUCUACUAUAGAUCCCGUUUGGUUCUCUUGCUAAUUUUAACUAGCUAAAAUUAUUUUACCUACUCUUGAAUAACCGGUGAGAUUAAACUAUUUUAACUUUUUUAGUCCGUGUUUUUAGAAAUUUAGCUACCCACGACUAAAGUUUAGCUUGCUAAAAUUUAGUAAAGGGAACCAAACAUGACCUAUGUGCAACGUACGUGCAUAUGCACAUAGACCUCGCUCGUUCUCUGAUGAUCUGGCAACACUUUUAAUUUGCAGCGUUCAAGUACGCCUCAAGCUUCCACAACGUGGCGGAGGUGAGCGGGCCGGACUUCAAGGCGUGCAACAAGGCGGGCGCCGCCUCCGUCUGGAACUCCGGCGACGACCUGCUCAGCCUCGACGAGCCUGGCCGGAGGUGGUUCAUCUGCACGGUGGGCAGCCACUGCAAGCUUGGCAUGAAGCUCAACGUCACCAUUCUUCCGGCGACGACGCCGGCGCCGCUGCCAGCACCAGCGCCGGCGCCGGAGCUGUCUCAGCCUCAGUCGUCUCGCCGCUUCCUCUCCAACUCCAACUGGUGAUGGAUGCACCAUGCAAUUGCACUGCAUGCCCUCCAUACCAGAUCGAGUAGCUGGUCCUCGUAUUUGUUAUCCUGAUCGAGUGACAUGGUGUGAUAAUAAUUCUUGGACCCGUGCCUGUGUUCAGUGGCGGGCCCAGGAUAUUUUGCUUGGGUAUUCAAAAUAUGAAGGGUAGUUAUUUUUAUUUAUUUAUUUUUGCUAUAUUUCUGUCGGCAGAAUAUGUUGAUUUAUAUCUGUCAGAACAAAGAAAAGAAGGUUAAAGUGACAGUGUUCACUCUUUUGUCAUACACUUUUUGGCUCAUCUCAAAACAUGACGAACUAAUUAUCUAAUUUUGCAACUUACACUCCAAGACAUUACCCUCUAUUUAUGUAUAUCUCUAAGUAGUAAAGGAAUUUUCAUAGGAAUUCUGCCAACAUGCACUACAAUAUGAUACAUGCACAGCAAAAUCAACUGAUUCUUACACAAGACUAGUUAACCGAAACCAACGACAAAAUAGAGCGAAGCAGAUGAAAGACCUGUGUGCUUACUGCUUAGUCGUAAUUGAGCAUCCGUAGCUACAAAGAUGGAUCAUGCUUCAUACUCAAUGCAUAUUUCAGUUCAUCCAAUCUGUAUUACACAUGUACAAAGUUGUGUGGCAUGCCCACCUUCAUUUCCUUGGUGCAAAUUGUUGUUACCACUCGCCAUUUCGGUGUAUAAUCAAGAAAUCCAAGCUUUGUAUCAAAAGCAGCUAUUAUGAACUUUGCCUUUCAUUUCCUAGUGGCAUUCUCCAUUACAUCAGUUAUGUAUAAAGAUCAUAGAGCAUACUUGUCUAUAGGCUACUAUCAUGUAUGGUCCAAAUUUAGCACAGUAGCUAUCUUACAGCUACUGCUAAUUAAGAGUCUGCAUUGAACAAACUGUACUUGAAAACAGAGUAAUAACCAUAUGUUUUACUGCCCAAGAAGUGAAACAGAUAUCGUUUUGCUACAAGAGAAACCGGCAGACACAUAAUACACUAAACCCAAAUAAUGUUACUAAAUGAAGGUCUAUUCACUAUUCAUAAUCUGCCUAACUGAAUACUUGUGCACCACUACUUUUGUUGAUCAUGCAUCUAAAAAGCUGUAGUACAUAAACAAAGGAUGGAUGCGAAUGAGUUAACAACAGAACAUACUGUACCAGCAUGAAACCUUCGUUCAGAACCAACAACUAUAGACUUAUGUUAUGGUUCACCAAGCGGGUCCCCGAAAUCAGCUCAUCACAAGUUGCAGAAACUGAACUUAAUCUUGAAUCUGGACACCUCUUUGUAGCUGAACAUGUCUGAAUGCAGGAAUGAAUAAAAAUGUUAUUCGGCAGGAACCACCAAAGAAAUCUGAAACCGGAGGACAGUAAAAAUAUCCUUAAUUUUGUAUUUUAAACAGUCAGUAGAAAAUUAGAAAAAUGUAGAAAUAACUACUCUGAAUAACCAAUAUGACAUUAACAGUUAAUCAAGCACCUCUUUACUCUCUCCAGACACAAGGUAAAUGCCAAAUAUCUGAUGGUACAACAGAGAGUGAACUUAAAAGAAACUGAUUGUUAGCUACAGAAUAACAAACACUCAUACAGCUAUGUACUAGAAAAAAAACACCAGGAUUCUUCUGCUUGUUGUACAUCAACACGAUCUAUGCAAUAACCCAUGCAGAGAUAUGGUGAGAUCUUACAUUUCUUUAAGCUGCAACUAUGUCACCUAACUGAACGUAACAAUUAUACAUUACAGGACAAUAUCUACAUUUAAACUUAGGCUAUUAAUUUCGUUUCUAGAGUCCAAGGAUGCUCACUCUCAGAAUCAAUGAUGAAAAGCAACUAAUGUUCCGAGAAAGCAUCAUCUGCGACCCACGUCGACAUGGCACAGAUUAUGCGCCCCUUCCACCCUUCCAAGAGCCAUUGGUGAUCCAUAUCGAUGACAAAGUCCUUAUGAUAGCUGUCCUUGACCUUAUUCCUCACGACCUUAACAAUAUCUGGAUCCAAAGGCAGCUGUUUUAGUCCUGCCCGGUGGUUCCGCACUUGCCAUUGCUUAUAUGUCUCGUGGCGCUCAACCCUAUCGGAGCCCUCACAGGCAAUGACAUUCAUAGCAAACCGUCCAAAGAGGACCCGUUCAAUCAGCAAGCGUCGGUCAUUGUCCCGUGGCACUGUAACAUCAAGCAUGUCAAACAAUGCCGAGAAAAAGAACAGUACCUCUCGGAACCGUGUUACAAAGAAUGGCGUGCCAUGGGAGCCAUUGACAUUACAAAAGAUAAACACAUCUGGCCGCAUCUCUCGGAUGUUAUUGAGGACCAUAUCCCUAGGGCUUGGGCUAUAUAUGUCAACACCCUCAUCCAUCAAGUUCCCAAAAUCAAAUAGACCAUUGAUGAUGAGUGCCUCGUCAGGGUCAAUGUUCAGGUCAUCAACAGAAACCAUCUCCCACUUUGCCGCAAUGCUUUGGAACUUGAAUGGUAUGCCAAACUGUCGGGCACAUUUGCUGAGCCGGCGUCCGAUCUCUUCAAUAUGAGCAGCUGGGCGGAAUCCAGGCUGGGGGAGGUCAAUGCCGGUGAUCCUCACCUCUGGUGGUCCACCUUCCCAAGUAGACAAAAUGCCAAGGAAGCUUGGCCACUGGAUCCCGUCACGCAUGCCAUAGUCUACAAUGUGCAGUUUUCUCCUCCCUCCAAUAACAUUGGCAAUGGUCAUGUUGGAGAACUUGUAAGCCAUCAUCUUGAAGCAGCAAACUGUUAGGUACAGCUGAUAGGCUUUAAGGAUAUCCACUUGCGAGGUUCGCUUUGACAUGAGCGACUUGUAAACCUGGCUUCCUGUGCCUGCCAGUCGUGCCUCUAAUCCAUCUGCAAAACAAUGUGCCAACCUUUGAUUGGCAUCCCCCCUCGGUGAGGAAUGCUGCUUGAUCUUCCCAAGUAGCAUGGCUGCACUCCAACGAUCGUCCGUCGAAAUGGCCUGUGCACAGUGGAUAAGCAAUGUGUGGAAGUCCACUGCCUCAUUCAGGCUCCGCCUUCUCAGCGCAGACUUCCAAUUCCCCUUCCUGACGAAAUUCCCAUCCUUGCUAUCCAUGGUGAUGUCCAGACCCAGCAUUCCAUUGAGGCACAAGCGAUACUCAUUGAGAAUUAUCUCAUCAAUGAUCUCAUCUGUUUCCUCCAACUCUGCCAGCGCCAUCAGCUUGCUGUUCCUGCUCAUCUCUGUACUCUCCAAGUCCUGCCAAUUACACCACUUCUUGCGGCCCCGGGCAUUACUGAUUCCUUGGAAUGUUAGCAUUCUGUCCACCUUGUCUUCAUUCCUCGCAUGGCCUGGGAUAAAGACUUGUGGUGGCUUGCAGCCUCGAGCCUCGACGAGAAGGCUGCUGUCAAUCGGCAAGAAUUUUUUGGCCUCCUCCAUGCCCCUGAGGAACGCCUGGUUGAGCAUGUCUAUGUUUACCCUGUUCUGGCCACUGAAGAAGGUCGACGCCAGCGCGCCGUGUUCCCUGUCUCCGGUAGGAGGAGAGGAGGUGGUCGAUGUAGUCGUCUCCUCCUCGGGGCCAGCCAACAACUCGGAACAUUGGAUGCCAGCGCUGCCGCAAUUGCGGAACGAGCUGGCCUUGUCCGCUCUCUGAAAUCUCGCGCUGGCGGCGUCUUGUUGGGGCAACAAAAAUCGGUUGGCAUCAUCUGCGGUGAACUCGCCGAUUCCCACUCCCAUGUCUGGGCAUGGCGAGGACAGGAACAGCUGGGGGAACUCGACUGGAUCGAAGGGCCAGGUGGUGUUGGCCAACGCCGGGACGUCCGAGGAUGGCGGAAGGGUGCAGGCGCCGCUUCCAUCGUUGUUGGUGGCGAAAAAAUCGGAGGAGGCGCCUGCAUCGGAGAGGAUCUGCGCGAAUGGCUGCUGGGCCUGGAGGAGCUCUGGGUGGUCGGGGUAGUGGUACAAGAACUUUUCGUCGAUGUCCUCCUCCAUGAGGAUGCGCGAGAUGAAGGUUAGCGCGAGGUCGUCCGUGGAGGCCGGCGGGUCCUCUUCGCUUGGCGUCGGAGGAAGGUCGAGGAAGACGGAGGGGGAGAACGGCUCAGGCUCGGGGCCCCCCUGCACCGGGAACUCCUCCGGCGUGCCGGCCAUGCCUGACUGUCGGUAAAAAUCGAAGCUUUAUCCGGUUGAUGAUGACGAUUAUGGUAGGUUUGCAGUGGAGAAAACAUGGAGACGAUGGAAAGGGACCAAAUUGGGAUAGCGGCGGUGGAGGGUAGAAGAUUGCGUCGGAGGGGACGGGGUAAAGUCAAGCAGGGAACCUUCGUGGAAGGCGUCGGAUACGACUGCGGCGGCGGCAGCCACAGUGGAGCCAUUGGAGCACAGUGGAGCCAUUGGAAUGUCAGUUGCCCUACAGUAGUAAGGUUGAUGGAAGCGAGGCAACCGAUUAGCGACUAGCGAGUGGGGUCACGAGUGUCUUUGCAAGUGACCACUGACCAUGGACAGAAUAAAUACCAUUGUGGAGGUCAUUUUAGUUCUUUGAACGGAGAAUUUUGGUAUUUUGAAGGUAGCGAUUUUUCACAAGAAACGUGCUGGCUAAAUUUUUUUUGGUUUUUUGAACAUUAGGACCGAAAUGUGGCACCGACAAUAUAGUGAUCUUGAGUUUGGAUACCUGAAAAUUUAUAGAUUGGUCUCUGAAGUGACCGUUGAAUCGCUGAUGUAGAGGCCCUCCAGGUGGAGUUUGAAGUGCAGCACUCAUCACAAACCUUUUGACCACAAGCCCACAACGGCUGCCACUCGAUCUCCUUCCUCUUCAGCCCGCUGCUCGUGCUCCUCACAUUUGUUGCUCAUCUGCAGAUCCAUCGCCCAGCAUCAGGGUUGAGGAGUUGAAGUAUGGAGUUGGAAUCCUAGACGAAGGGAAGGGUCAAGGGGGGAUGGGGAUUGGACUUUGGGUCCGGCCCUGUUUGGCUCGCUGAAAUUCGGCCAUUGUUGAUGUUGAUGCUGUGAGAGAAAAACAAUAUUUCUACGCUAAAAAGUGGUGAGGUCGAGGAUGAGAAAGUGGUGGAGAGCACUGCCCUGUUUACUUGAAUACCCCAAUGUCGCAACCUUCACCAGAACCAAACAAGAGACUGGAAAACAAGACUUCUGUUUUUUUAGAUUAAGGAAUAAAGGUUCCAGCCUUCACAUUCAUGAAGAAUGCUUAAGGCUUAAGCUUACACGAAAGGGACUAAGCCCCAUUUUUCACUAUGCGGCCAAAUCUGACAAAAUUCCACUAAUAAAAAAACUUGACAAGCACAGAUGACUAACACAACAGAAGAUAAAACAAAACAAAGUGACAUAUCUCCACAGAACAAGAUCCACCAGCCAAACCUAUGCUCCCAGCUUCAGAAUAGGUCAGAGCAAAACGGAUGCCUCGGCAAACAUGCACCGCCCGGUAUUGUGGGCAAUUUGAAAAACAGGUGCACGCCGGGUAAAAUGGGAUGGAGGGAGUAGUUUGGAAGGCAUACGUUCAUGUGUGACAUGUCCAAGCGACAAAACAGCUACUGUGACAGAUUCGAGAGAGAGUUAAUUUCCUUCUUUAUCUUUAGCUAGCAAGAAAUUAGUAAUGGAUGGAAGAUCAAAUACAAAGGCUGGAAGGGGCGCAUAAUUUGUGUCAUGUCAACAUGGGUUUGAUGAUGCUUUCUCAAAACAUUAACUGUUUUUCUUCAUCCAUUCUGGGAGUGAGGUAAUGAUAUUUCGCAUGCUUGGACGAAAGACGAAAUUACUAACCUAAGUUUAAGUAUGCAGAUAUUGUCAUGUAAUGUAAAAUUAUAGGUUCAUUUAGGUGGCCUAGUAGGUAGGAUCUACCAUAUUUCUCUAUCUGUUGAUGUACUCUCUCCGUCCACGAAAGAAUACAAUUCUCUUAUUUCGAGAAGUCAAACAGUUUUAACUUUGACUACAAUUAUAUAAAAAUGUGCUAAGAUAUAAAAUAAGUAUCAUCAGAUUGAUUAUAGAAUAUUUUUUAUAAUAACUUUAUUUUAAGAUAUAAAUGCUAAUAGUAUUAUUUACUAUAAACUUGGUUAAAGUUAAGAUAAUUUGACUGACACGUUUUUUAUAAUUAUAUUCUUUUUUAGACGGAAGAAGUACAUCUGUGUCUGUUGAUGUACAACAAACUGAAAAAACUUGGGGUUUUGUUUUCAUGUAUUUGAGUGUUUCUCAUUCUGUAGCUGUCAAGCAAUUUCUUGUGAAGUUCACUUUCUGUCGUACCAUAAGAUUUCGGGUGCUUCCCUUGCGCAUCUGGGAGUGAUUGGUUAUUCAUUAAUGUUGCAUUGGUUAUUCAGUGGGAGUGAUUGCUUCUCUUGUUUAAAAGAUUCAUCUCGUAAAAUAGUCACAAUUUGUAUAAUUAAUUAUUUUUUAGUCUACAUAUAAUAUUUCAUAUGCGCCAAAUAUCGAUGGGAUAGCGCCUAAACUUUAGGCUAGAGAAGCUCGGUGUGGUGUAGCUAGAGAUAGCAACGGGUAUAAACCCGCUGGGUUUUAUUAGCCCAAACUCAUAUCCAUGAACAUAAAAUUUGCCCGCUAAAAAACUCAUAACCCAUGACGAGUUUAAUUUGGUGCCCAGAUCCAUGCCCAUCGAGUCAUGGGUACUCAUCAGGUUGUCCAUGACAUCCACAUAGCAACAAAGAAAAAAAUACAACAUAAAAAUCAUGUCUCAGAACAUGAAAUUGUAUUCAUUCUUCUUGAAUAGACCUAUCAUCUUAUAUAUGUUUCUGAACAUAGUAGUUUAGUAGAAGAAUUUAGGAUAUUGUGCAGUGAUAUGAUUGCUUCACUGUGAUGGAUCGGGUUUUAAAAACUCAUAAGGUUUAUGGGUUUGGGUACUACAUCCCCAGACUCAUGCUCACAAAUCCAUUAGGUCUAGAUUUUUAUCCAUCAACAAACCCAUGGUAGAGAAAUUGCCAAUUCCCUGGUGUUUCGAUAACUGGCUGUAUUUAGCCUGGCCAAAGAAGUUUGCAUUUGUUGCUAUCUCGCAUUGUUGCUGGCUCACAUGCGAUGUGGUGAGUUUAACAUCACUUCUAACCCCACUCUUUUCUCAGCUAGCAUAAAACAACUCGCAUUCAGAGUGAAGUGCCAUACAACGAUGAUGCUAUUUGGGUAAACAUGGAAAUAGGCAAAGCAAUGCAACGAUCGUAUGAUGACAUUUCUUCUUUCAGCAUUUCUUACCAACUGAAAUUUCAAAAAUACCAUCACAACAGUCGCAAUUUUUUUAUUGUCACAUCUCAGAACCAAGGUGUUGGCAACCUAAAGUUCUACAUGACACUACAUUCUGAGAACAAGCAAACAAUCAGAAACUCAAAGUUCAAGCGAACCAACAGCAACAUUUCCAAUCCUUCUCUAAUCUCUCUUGAAUCAACCCAAGCAGCAGCUAGCGGCUUCCUUCACCACUGAACCCAAUCAACAGCUCCAUCCCCCAAUUUCUCUCAAUCUACAAUCCAGUACCCUUUAUGUUUCCCCAAUUCAGAGCAGGCUGUCAAGCAAACAGAGUUUCAGACUGCCGUUCAUAUGUGGGCAGUCGGAGGUGGCCAGCCCGCCGGGAGCGGCUGUCACUCGGUCAUCGGCGUUGGCGUCUCGCAGGGGGUCCGCUGGUCCAGGUACAGUUCUAGCUCCAGCAGCAGGCACUGUGGGCUGUCACUCGGUCAUUGGCAGGGGUCCGCCAGUCCAGGUCCAGUUCUAGCUCCAGCAGCAGGCACUGUGGGCUGUCACUCAGUCAUCGGCGUUGCUGUCUGGCAGGGGGUCCGCCGGUCCAGGUCCAGUUCUAGCUCCAGCAGCAGGCACUGUGUCGAGACCCGCCCAGCCAUGGCAGUUGCGAGGUGGAGCCUGUGCCAUCAGUCAUCAGCAAUUCAGUAUGUACUGACCAACACCGCUUCCAAAAAUCCAAAUAACGUUGAAUUUUCCUAGAAUAUGUCCAUUCAUCAUCUCUUCGUCAACCAGGAGUACAAUAUACAUUACAUAAUAUAAACUGAUACGCACAACUCAGAAGAGAAACCAUACCCAAAAAAAAUAGGUCAGCCAUCAGCCCGUCAGUGUCACUUUGGAUCGACAGACGUCUAGGACUGAGUAGUUCCCCAGCUAGCGCUGGUCGCCAGCUCCUCCACUCCCAGGCUCCCAGCUGCUUUGCUUGCUUCCAUGUACAGUGACUCAUCUGCUCAACUCAAGCUGAACCCAUGCUGGACACUCACACCCAAAGCGGAUGGAGGCCUUAGCACAAGCAAAUCAAUCCCUACAUCAGUAUAGUAUGCAACUGGAUUCUGGAUCUGUAGAAUGAUCGUCUCCUCUCACUACCUUCUACCUUCUACCUUACAGUUUACAAACCUAAAAUUGCCUGAGUGAUAUUAAUAGCAAGCCACUGCUAUCUGGAUAAGGGGCUGCACUGCAACAGCCAGAAUAGCUGCUUCCCUAAGAUCAGAAGAAAGAACCCCUGAACCAACCAAACAUGAAGAAGUGCCGCCAGGCCUACAUAAAUAGGUCGACAGAGCUCAAAAGCGGAGUUGAUAGUCACAACUCACAAUCCCUGAAUAAGGUUUUCCAAUGACAUCCAGAGGAACCUGGACCUGGAAAUUAAGAGUAACAAAACUUCAGUGCAUAACUGCGGGCAUGGGCUGGUAUCAUGCAUACAGCAAUCGUAUGAACAUGGUGUAAGUGCAACCUUGCCCUGUAAAAUACUUAUACCAGCCCAGGACAGGACCGCUACCCAGCUCUAAUGUUCAACAUUUGAGAAAAAUAAAAUACAUGGGAGAUGCACUGGACUACUUCUGCAGAUAACAUGCAUCCUCUUGCCACAAGUGCCAGCAAGAGCAAUAAAACAAAGGAAAUUGUUCCAAAUAGUAGGCAUGACACACACAAAAGAAUUUUGCAUGUACAUUGCAUACCUUAAUAUCCUUCAGAAGUUCAGAUGUUCUUGGCACCACCAAAAGUUGAAUUGGGGCGUAUUGCAAAUGCAGACAGAUCCUGCUGAACAUAAGAAAAGCAAGGGCAAAUAAGUUCAGAGAGCAUAUCAAUUUUGUUGCACCUACAUCCAUAAUGCCUAACUAAACUCCAUACCCAUAUUUUUGCUACAGUUAGUGUUGUCUGCAUCUUUAUUUGGUUCUGUUAUCUCUCAGGGUCUUGCCAACAGUUGACCAUGCAUUAAACUUUCCAUCAGCGACAUGAAGAGCUCCGGUCCUAAAUUUCUCUAAAAGAAGACCACUGAACCGAUCUACCAAAUGAAGCAUCUUUUUUCACGAGCCACAAGUUUAUUAUUUUCUUGGAGUUUAACAUAUAGUGUUGUUAUAAGUUAAAAAGAAAAUAAAAGAAAUAGUCUGCUAUUUGGGGUAAAGAUCCUUUUUAGCGACAUAACGUGAGGCUUUUCCACACCAACUUGGUUCAGAAGUUCAGAGCUCAGCUGCUGCAAUAUCUAGAGUUCAGAUCAUCAAUUUGUUUCAGUUCAGUUCAGAGUUAAACUUGCUAUGUUGUUGCAUGUCUCCCAGAAUCCUGUUGCCGUUGUGUUACAUUGUGUGAACGGUGUUGCUGCUGCUUUCUGUUGGUUGACCUUAGUGGCCAUGUAUAUUGUGACUUCCUCAGCUUCAAGGAUCCUUCAGACAUGAUUUGCCAAAGUUCUUCAUUGUUCCUCAUGUGUGACACAGCGCACUUUGGGGUGACAUACAACCAUCAAGCUUAAACUAUGGCCACCAUCACCACUUAAAAAUGAGCUAUUCUGGAGUUAGAAGGUGGCAUGUACAAAGGGCCAAGGACUGUUCACACAGAAAGCGGUGCCCACAUUGCUAACGCAGGUCAACAUUUUAUCUAUACUUGAUAUAAAAGUGGAGAGAGACCUCUACAAAGAGAACCCACCCACCCACCGCCUUCUGUCAGAUCACAUUGAUCUUUUGCAAGGUGAAAGAAACAUUUUCAGGUCAGUCUGCUGAUGCAAGUACCUGCGGUGUGCAAAGGGGCACUGUGUGCAUAUUUGGAUGCAUGUACAUCUGGUUUGGUUGGAUAGGGGCAUUUGGAAAAGUCUGCGGAACCUGAACAUGAAGUAUGUAAGUACAAUAUCCAUUAAAUGCCAAAAAGAAAAGGAAAAAAAGGAACUUUUUCUAUGUACCUGAUAGUAAUAUGGUCUUCCAAUGGUUGCAUUACCCUGAGCAUCUUGUGAAGAUUGAAAUUGAUGCUCAUUAGUUUGGACUAUCAGCUCCAGAUCAGUUGAGGAAACUCCUGGGGCUUGUUUUGCUUUUUCUGCAUAAUAGUGUAUAGUUUGAAUAAAAUGAUACCCUAUGAGGAGGGAGUUUAAAACUGUCACUUACUUGGGUUUGGUCCUUUUGAUGUUUUCUUCUUCUUUUUCUCAUUCUUAUUAGCAUCCUUUGCUGCUUGAGUGCGCAUGUUUCUCAUUUCAAAGAAUACUUCCAGUGCCUUCUCUCCAGUUUCAAGGGAAUCCCAGAAUAUUUUUCUUGAUUCUUCCAAUUCCUGGCUCUUUAUAAUUAGGUUAUAUGCAUACUGCAUUGCCCGAUUGCGAUAUGCAAGUUCAGCCUCUGUGCAUUCCUGUUGGGUUGAAUCAUCCUGAGCAAGUGUAUACAUGCUUCUCCUGGCAUCUUUUGUCCAGCGUUUCAAAACAUACUUUUCUGGAAUUGUGUCCACAUUCUGCAGGGUGAAGACUUUGAGGGCAUGCGAACAAAGAAGACCCAUCCUUUCAAACUUUCUACAACCACAACUGAUCUCCAUAGUGGAAGUGUCAAGAACAACAUCCCAUACUUUUGAACCCCUUCCCUGCAUUGUAAUUCCAAACCUCAAUAAAUUUCCACCACUCGAAGUUUCGUGGCAAGAAGUUGCUCCACACCCAUCCAGAAAUUCUGCUUCAAAUAAUUUGUAGAUCCUAUGUGUAUAUGAUUCUGCAGCUUGCUUCAGAACUGUACUGUGCUUAAUUGCACGGACUGGAGCAGUUUGGCUACAGCGAAAAUCCUCUUCAGAUUCAUUUCUACGUAGAUCCUUGACAACCUUUUCUAGCAAAAGGGCAAAACGUGUAAGAGAGGUAUUUUCAUCAGAAAUUCCAUUGAAAAUAUUACUUGAAACCUCCCCCCACUGAGAAGAAUUAAUUCCACCAUCAAAUGUGUCUUUGUUAAAUGCUGAACACCAUUUACGAUGGAAUGCAUAAAGGUCAAUCAACCAGCUAUUAUCCUGUAGCUUGUAUUCCUGGAUCAUUGCAGUCCAUGAUUCCUUAAAAUCCUCUUCUGAGUCGGAUCCUUGCAUACACUUGGUAAACAUACUUUGAAAUGCUUGAGAUGUAUUUAGUGAGCCUAAAUGAGAUUGUGCAUUCUUCACAAUAUGCCAGUAGGAAAAGCAAUGUUGUGUGUUAGGGAAAACCUGUUCAACUGCCUGCAUAAUAGCUUCAUCCUGAUCAGUGAAUAUUGAUUUUGGCGAUCGGCCUCCCAUUGACUCCAAGAAUGAUUUAAAUACCCAGGCAUAGGAAGUUACAGACUCGUCUAACAAGAAUGCGCAGCCGAAAACAACAUUCUGCCAAUGGUGGUCAACACCAACAAAUGGGGCACAUAUCAAGUUAUAUUUGUUUGUGCGGUAGGUUGUGUCGAAUAUAAUGGCAUCUCCAAAGCAGCCAUAAUCAUUUCUACUUUUACCAUCUCUGUAGAAGAAGUUAGUCAUGCGCCCUUCUUGAUCAACUUGGACAUCCCAAUAGAACAUGCCUUCCUCAUUAGUUCUACGCUUGAAAUAGCUGACAAGACUUUGGCUAUCCCCUGCCUCAAUUAUCGUUAUAUUCUGCAUGCACACUUGAUUGUAACAUUCCCUUAUAGUAUACCCUGAAUUCUCAGCUAUAUCACCUGUCAUAUCAGAGAAACCAUUGAUUGGAUGUGACUCUGUAGAUGCUGAUGGAUCUAUAACACCUGAUUUGCCAACAGCAAGCGAUUUAGCUGAUCUCAGCAUGUGCCUUUCUCCAGGUUUCGCCAACUGGUGAUUAUGUACAGGAACAAAGCGUAUAACUGUCCAUCGCCCCUUCUCGUCAACUCUAAAGCGGAUCAUUGCUUUGCAAUUAGUUCUUGUGUCUGGUCGAUUAAAAUUUGCUUCUGUAACAGGCUCAUCAUAUUUAAGCCCUUCCUUUGAGCAGUAGUAAUCCUUUGUUCGAAUAUUCUUGGUACCAAUGAAGUAAGACUGUUUGCCCUUCCGCACGCUGAAACCGAUUCGAUGCCCAUAAUCACAGUACAGCCUGUAUGCCUCUUCCUCACUAUGAACAACACAACCAAGAAGCUCUUCUGUUGCCUCCUUACGGCUCAAAGCAUUUCCAUAGUCAGCCGCCUUUUCAGCUUCUUCACCAUUCUCCCUUCUUUGAUGGCUUUCUUCUUGGGAAUCUUGACUACAGUCCAUUUCUACUCAGCUAGCUCCAUCAAUAUUUACAAAGACAGCAUCAGAAGUGGUUCCACACCUCCAGUAAACUGCUGCGAAUCAACAUUCAUAUAUACCUUGUAAAUUGCAUAAAUUAAAACAUUUGGUCUCAUAAUUAUGGGGGAAAAGAGAACGAUUCUCUGUUCUACAUAGGAUGUUGAUUACAUCAAUAAUAUCAAGACGGUGCUAGUGGAUGGCCUUGUGCUGCAACAUGACAUGACGCCUGAAUUCUAAACUCUUACUUUUUUUUAAUAACAAAACAAAAGAAGGCUUACAGCUAAGCUCUAAUUCCAUCGUAUCAUCAAGAGAAGAAGGCAAAUUGCUAAACCCUCGAGCAGGGGCGGACCCGCUAAAAGACACCAAUAACUUCAUCAAAACAAUCGAAUUUCUUAGGUACAUAAACUUGUAAUUAGAUCAGAUCCGAAUACAAAUACCCAAAUAAAUUAAGUUAGGGUUCGGGGUACUCGGUUUCUCACAGCAGGGAGGGAAGAGAGGGGUGCGCAUACCUAGUGGGUAUUGGUCGCCGGCGAAGGGCCUGAACGCGAAGGAACCGAUGAGGAUAGACCCAAGCACGUGGCGCAGAGCAGCCGGCCGCGGUCGCCUAGUUGCGCCACGAGAGCGCCCCCCGCGCGCAAGCAAAGUAGUCGGGAGAGGAAAAGGCAGGAGUGGAAAAAGAUGGUUCUGGCCACUCCCGUCCACGGAGGUGAUUCGGGAGGCGAUUUCCGCCGGAGUAGCCGGCUCCGGCCGUCGCUCCAGAGUCUGACGAGAGCAAAGCUCUGAAACGCUGGCUCCAGGAGGAAGAACGAACCGUUAUCGUGGGCCUUUUGGUGUGUUUGGGUUGGGCCUUGCGUUUUGUAUAGACCAUCUCGUUUAGGCCUUGUUUAGUUCCCAAAAAAUUUUGCAAAAUUUUUCAGAUUCCCCGUCACAUCGAAUCUUUAGACGCAUGCAUGGAGUAUUAAAUAUAGAUAAAAAUAAAAACUAAUUGCACAGUUUGGUCGAAAUUGACGAGACGAAUCUUUUGAGCCUAGUUAGUCCAUGAUUGGAUAAUUUUUGUCAAAUACAAACGAAAAUGCUACAGUAUCGAUUUUGCAAAAUUUUUUGGAACUAAACAAGGCCUUAGUCAUGAGGCCCAUCUCACGUUGCCUCGAUUCGUCAUCUCAGGCCUUGUACAGUUUGCGAAAUUUUUUAACUUUAGCUAAUGUAGCACUUUCGUUUGUAUUUGACAAUUAUUGUCCAAUUAUAGAUUAACUAGACACAAAAAAUACGUCUUAUAAAAUAUAGACAAAUUAUGUAAUUACUUUUUAUUUUUAUCUAUAUUUAAUGUUUCAUGCAUGGGUACAAAAAGUUUUGAUGUGACGAGAAAUCUUAAAAAAAAAUUGGAACUAAAUCAGGCCUCACCGCGCCUUGUUCGUUUGGCUGAUAAGUGAUAAGUCAUGGCAGAAAGUACUGUUGACUGAUUUAUUGUGAGAGAAAAAUACUGGUGAAUGGCUGACAUUUGGAUGAUAAGCCCAAACGAACAAUACUGCUGGGGGUGUUUGGGACUGCUCUGCUCCACGUUUUUCAGCUCCACUCCACGUUUUUUAGCUAAACAGUUUCAACUCCACGCACUCAAUUCGAGUAAAAAGGGUGGAGUUAUGAGAGCACCUAAAGAGAUACUCCACAAACUCCAGUUUUUUGUAGAGCUGCUCCGCGAUGGAAUUUGUGGAGCAGAGUUUGUGGAGCAGUCUCAAACACCUAUGUGCAGAACUUUUGGAGUUCCCUCACAGAAAAAAAAAUCGUAUACGUCUUUUGGAGAGCUGCACCCGUCGCAGAAGUUCUGCCAUGCGGUGAUCCGGCGAGCCUAACGAAAGGUUGAGUGAGGCUCUUGUGCAAGUUGUCGCCGUAGUUGUUGGCUUCAGUCUCGUUUAGAUGCGAUUUUUUUUUAUUUUAACAAUGUAGCACUUUCUUUUUAUUUGAUAAAUAUUAUUUAAUUAUAGAGUAACUAGAUUUAAAAGAUUUGUCUCACGAUUUAUAGGCACACUGUAUAAUUAGUUUCUAUUUUCAUCUAUAUUUAAUUUAAUGCUCUAUGCAUAUGUCGAAAGAUUACAUCCUUAGAAUUUUGAAAAGUUUUUGGCUGAACUAAACAAGGCCUUCGUCGUGCGUUUUUGGAGAGAGAGAUAGAGGUGGGUGUUUUACGGUGGUGGACAUGGAUAAUAACCUUAACCUCCUCAAUUGGUAUAGCUGGUCUACCCACAUGGUUUGCCUAUGGACCUGUGGUUGUUACGCACAAGUCUUUGUUUUAAGUUCCCUCUGUCCGUACAGAAACCACACUUGCUUCUUGAGUCCAUCUAGCCUCUGCAACACAUCCCCGGUCACCAGCCACCAUCAAUUGCCGGAGCUCUUCAAUUUCGACGUGUAGGGUACUAUGAAAAACGUAUAUACCAUCCGCACUUCAAUUUUGAUGGGACGGCUGGGUUUGUAAUAUUAAUAUUUUUGUUCAUAAUUAGUAUCACUAAAUGCAUCUUUGAAUAUAUAUUUUAUAAUAAAUUUAUUUGUAGAUAUAAAUGUUAUUAAUAUUUUCUAAUCAGCACAUAUCCAGAUAUCCUAUAGUUACAUACUUUUUCGGGACAGUUUUUCUAUUAAAUAAACGAACGCAACAGUUUGACAAGUUUUGAAUGGAACCUGUCAAAUUUCUUUGAAAUGCGUUCAAUACACCUCUAGUGGCUACUGCAGCUUUUUUACUCAUGUAUGUACGACCUUCUUUAGCUUUUUGGUUAGCACGAGUUUUUUUUUUCUGUCCUUAUUACAAGAUCGACGACACGGAUGUUCAUACGGUAUCUAUAUUGACAUUCAGCCUACUAUUAGGGAUCUCUCAACUCUCAAGAACAAGUUCUCACUUUUCUAUUUUUGCAAAAUCUUGCAAUUUUGAACCGAUUUUUUGUCUAUGUGAACAUAGAAGUAAUUUUCUUGCACUUGAUCUGUAAAAUAGGACAGAGAUACAACCGCACCUGGCCCUUGCACCAUCUGGCAUCUUUUGGCCGUCUUCUGCCGCUGGCGCACAAUCCAAUGAACCAUUUUUUUUUUUGUUCAUACAGAAUCCAAUGAGCUAAGUUGGUGUAGCAAUCCAAUCCAAUGAACUAGAUAAGAGUUAGUGCUAGAUGCAGCAAUUCUAUUUCAGUUUCAGACUGGGCACAGCCGCACAGGGCAACUAAUAUAAUGUGUCAAAUGGAGCUAAAGCAUCGAAACUAGGUGGACAUUCGCAAGACAAGGCAAGAUUUAGAAUACUCAGAUUAUACAUUUUGGCAUCUCUGGAUUGAAAUUCUUGUGUACUGUAUGUCGCGAGGAACACGGAACUCCGUUGCGUUUGUGCUAAUCAGGAAUUACAGGCAGAGUGGACAGCAGGAAAAUGAGAAAAAGAAUUAUAUAUAGCAGGAGCCCCGCACCACACAAGUCACAAGGGCUCAGGCGAGGGCUUCGGCACCGGCGACGAUCUCGAGGAUCUCCCCGGUGAUCUUGGCCUGGCGCUGUCGGUUGUAGGCGAUGGAGAGGUUCUUGGCGAGCUCGAUGGCGUUGUCGGUGGCGCUGCUCAUGGCGCUCAUCCGGGCGGCGAGCUCGCUGGCGAGCGACUCCUGCAGGGCACGGAGGAUCUGGCUGUUGAGGUAGAGCGGGAGCAGCGCGUCGAGGAUCUGCACGGGGUCCUGCUCGAACUGCACCACGGGGGAGAAGGGCUGCGUCUCGAUCUUCACCUUCUCGCGCUCCACGGUGAGCUUGCCCUCCUUGGUGGUGAGGCGGAAGAGCUCGUCCUCGGUGGCGUCCACGCAGACGCCGUUGAUGUCGCAGAUCUCGCCCUUGGGGGACAUGGGGAGCAGCGUCUGGAUGAUGGGGUCGGAGCGCACCAGCGACACGAACUUGGAGUAGAGCAGCUCCACCUUGUCCACCUCCUCCGAGACGAAGAGCGAGUAGACGAGGUCGCAGAUGGACUGCGAGUCCUUGACGGUGGGCACGCCGUUCACCUCCAGGUCCCGCUCCAGCGGGAUGUAGGGGCGGCGCUGGAAGUAGGCGUUGCCUUUCUUCCCCACGCUGAUGACGCUGUACUGGAGGCCCAGCUGCUUGAGCUCCUCGAUGCGGGCCUCCGCCUUCUUGAGCACGUUGUUGUUGAAGCUCCCGCAGAGGCCGCGCUCGCCGGUCAGGACCACGAGCGCCACCUUCUUGACGGGGCGGGUGCGGGUGAGGGGCAGGUCGAUGUCCUCCGUCUGGAUCUCCUGGUUCAUGUUGUAGAGCACCUCAACCAGCGCCUCCGAGAAGGGGCGGGAGGAGACGACGGCCUCCUGCGCGCGCCGGACCUUGGCGGCGGCCACCAGCUUCAUGGCCUCCGUGAUCUUCUGCGUGUUCUUGACGGAGUCGAUGCGGGUGCGGAGCUCGCGGAGGGAGCACCGCACCACGAGGCCCGAGCGCGGGGCGGAGCUUCCGCGCCGCUGGGUGGUGGAGGCGCUGCUGGCGAGCGCCGAGGAGGACCAGGCGGUGGAGAGGUGGGAGCACGACAUGGCUGCUGCUGCUGGUCCGCGGCGACGGGGAUCACCAGCGGGCGGCGGCGCGCGGGGGGGAAGCAGAAGAGACAGACAGGGGCGGGGACGGAACGGGAGGGAGGGAAAUGGGUUUGGAAGGAUUGGGUUUGGGUGGAGAGGUGAGCACGGUGGGGUAUUCAAGCCGAGCUGAGUGGUGGAGGGGCAGUGACGGCGAGAUGGGGAGGAUCAUGUGGCUCCGCCGAGCUGGCUGCACCCCCUGCAUACCGCUGACGCUCCACACUUCAUUUUUUGAUGAAUUGUCGGGAAUGAAAAACCAAAAAUAAUGCUAUGGCCUCUAGUUCCACAAAGGAUAGUGGGAUCCUGCUCAGGAUAUCCCACCUUAAACAACAGAUACUCUCUACGACCACAAUUUGGAGGAGCUCUUGCCCAUUUCUACAGGAAUCGAAUUAUUUCCACUGAAAUCCUGAAUAAUUUAUGUGUUCAAAAAGGAACCCAAGUUUAAGGCCUGUCCCGAACACAUCAAUUUCAUCACAAUUCCGAGAUAAAAAUGGAACUUUGAUGAUUCAAUCUGUUGAGUUGAAUUCACUCGUAUAAAAAAACGGCUCACCUAAACUGAUGCAAAGUUCAUGCCAAAAGAAGUAGAGACUGAUGAAAUUGGUAUUUCAAGAUAAAGCAAGGUACUCGAACAAGCACACAGACUGAGUGAUACAUACAAGUACAAAAUAUCAGGAUUAAGGGGAUGCAACCAAUUCUGGGAAGUAAAAGUUGAACCUCAGGGUACAACGACAGCAAUGGUACUGAUGACAUCCGCGUAGCCUAAUCCCUUGCAGAUUGAGCAUCUUUCCUUGGUGGCUUGUAGACACUGAAGUCACCGAAAUCCCGCCGUCCACUGCACCACACAAGAGGACAUACAGAUAGCAGUAAAUAUCUGGUGAUGAAAGGAAAUCUGGACGAAAAACAUCGCGACACAGAAAGAUCUUUUGAAGUCACUGGUACAUGGCUAAAACUUCACAUACAGCUUGGUAAAUUCAAGAAAAGGCAUAUAUGAAUGGCAACUAACCUGUGGUUAAUAUUCCAGCCAGAAGGUAAAUAACGGGGGUGAACAGCUUCAACAAAGAUCUGCCUCCAUCUUUGGCAGAACUGGUUAAUAGCUUCUUCCCCACCAUUUGAAAGCAAAAGUUCCACAACUUGUUUACCGUGAUGCCCAUGACCCAACAGGGAAAUCUUCUUCUCAGCAUUCUUGGAAAUGGCCUGGCUAGAAUUGUCGCGGAUGGAUAAUUCCCUGUCGACAUGGCUGUUUCCAGGAGUGCAGGUGCCUCUUGCUUGCUGCUUGGUAUCUGUCUUGAGUGUCACAGUGUCAUGAUCAAAAGUGGUGUCCUCCAUGCUGACUGGCAAACUUGAGCCAACCUGGCUCAGGGUUAAAUUCUCUAGCUGGUUUUGACUCUCUGUCUCGUCAAACUCCUGUUGACCAUUACUCUCAGUUCCAUCCUCAGGAAAUCGCUCAGAUAAGGAAUGAGAAUUUUCUGAUCCAUGUCCACUGUCUUCUGAGAUGGUAUUGCUGCUGCUCUUUCUAAUAAUAUUUUGAGCCUGAGCUCUGAACGAAUAGCCCUUUUUCUUUUCCAGACGCCUUCGCUCAUGAGGACUCAUACCAACAAGUAAUGCCACCUCGAGAUCUUCAGGAGUCACAUCCCUACCACCAUAAUAUGACUUCACAAUCUGCAAAGAACUGAACUGAUCCAUAACAGAGAUCUAUAGCUAAGAACAAGUACAUAUUUAACAAGGAAAGAAUAUGGACGGGUAGGAUAAAACAGGUAUGUUAAUACGUCAAUGCCAAAGCUCCCGAAACUGUGAAGUACUACAUAUUGAGCCAGAAAUACUAAAAGGAUGCCAUCACCUGCAUUAGCUCUUCACAUCUCUUCAAUGGCAUGGUGGAUCCAUGCCGUAGAAGAGCCAUGGCAGCGGUCCUCAGCUGCAAUGGGGAGACACCUGUUCCAUUCAAUUUAUCUUCAGAUACUGAUGUGCUCGUAAUCAAACUUAUAUCACCCGAGUUCAUUAUCUUUUGCACAAAAAGGGGUAUUCCAAAUUCUUCUGCUAUUCGCCUCUUGUAUUUCUCAGCUGCUGAAUGAGCAAUUUCAUGACAGUCUACACAAAGAAGUACAAUAUCAUGUGAACGAUGGCUCUUCAGAUGUUCUGGAAAAUGCAUCCUGUAGCAUGAUGGUAUUAUUCUGUAUCUAAUAUAAUGGCUCUUUUCUCCACAGCCAACACAAAUAUUUUUCUUGCUCUGAAUAUAGAACUCAUUAUCUUCGUCCUCUGGACGACCUUUAGGUUCAAAGAGAAGCAUGAUUGCUGGAGGACUAUCUUCAAUCAAUUUCGCCAAAUUACGUUGAACAUACCUGGGAAUGGGAUAGAAGAGCUCGUCAGUUUGACAAAAUACCUCUUCAUUCAUGCUACAUGCAUGUAAAUAGUUAAUGGGUGUAUAUUUAAGAGACAAACCAUUCCAAUUUUUUGUGGUCACAGUAGCAAAGUAGUCUUCCAUCACUAGCAUAAAUCCUGCAAUUGUGAUAUACAGGGGACUUGCAGGAGAACUUUUUAAUGAAUAAAUCCCGUGAAGCCUUUUUAUUAGGCGGUGCUGUCAGCAACUUUUCUCCACUUGGAGCAAAAGAAAACAUAUUUGUUUGCUUCAAACUUAGGUGUGUUAUAAGGUUAUAAUUAUAAACUGACAGUCGACAUAAUCCACUUGGAUCUUUAUACUUCUCCAGUAAACUUUUAAAGAUGCCUUCCAUGCUGGUAGUGAUGUCAUCUAGCAGAUAGCAAAGUUCUUCAACAUGAGCGACCACAAGAGGUGACGGUGAUGACAAGGAAGGGUACAUACUUGAAAUGCUUAGGUCAGUUUCUGAUAUGACAGCAAACACCUCUGUUGGGCCUUUUGGAAGACUAACAGCAAGGGCAGCUAUAGCUUGGUCUGACAGAACAUAUCGUAAGCUUUCAUCAUGCAUCCGAGCCUGGAAGGACCCAAAACCCAAGUUAUUAGGAGAUACUAGAAAGGAAGAACAGACCUGCAGCUACAUAACUGCAAAUAUGCAUGACUAUCCUGGUGACCACCAGAUGUCACUCGGGCAAGUUUAGCAAUGGGCACAUGGAAGCAACAAAUGCAUUUCCAGGAAGAACAAAGUGUACAACUUUCUAAGAAAUACUGAAGAUUGUCUGUUUUAACCCUUUAAUAACACGAUGAUGUUCCAAUGUUUGAUCCGGAAUUCAAAGAUUGAUAAAAAUGUUACUACAUCCAGUCAAGAAAAGUUCAUGUUUCAGACAAGUCAGAAACUAGUUUGCUGCUGCUUUCACUUGUCUGAACAUCAAGAUUUGCUGACCGGAGGUAACAACAAAUAAGUAAUUAAAAAGAUUUACUUUGCAGAGGGAGAGGGAGCCAUUUUAAGGGAAAUAGUUUUUUUUUUACUGACCAUUAAGUCCCUCCAUGCACAGAAUUUCCAAACAAGAUCCUGCAGAUGCAGAAGAUUAAAAAAUCAGGAACAGAAAAUACUAAAAUCGUUGGCUGGCAAGCUAACCAGAAGACAUUCUACAAUCAAACAGUGAAUACAUAAAAGAAGCACCUUCACUUCACUAGACUUUUUGGAGUCGAGACCAUGAGUUUGCAAAUUUCGUGAGAGAAUAGAUGCUGCACUGGAAGCUCCAGGAGGACAUUCAAUUUCUUUUGCAUACAGUUGCAUGCAGACCAUAUUUGAGCGAUGACUAGCCUCGAAGAAAAAAUUGAUUUUAUCACUGGAAGUAUCUGAUUAGAUAUUACAGAUGAUCAAAGACUUGAGACAUGUGAUGAAGGCCAAGGGUACCACCGUACCAAUAUGUGAUUUGAUGUUGACAAGAAAAGAGAAAAUAUUUAGGACUAUCCAAAUCUUAUGAGGGUUAAUGUAUCAAUUUCUGCAGUUCAGCAAUAGGAUGUCAUGAGUGCCUCAUCACUGCCAUCUGCCUUUCUUGGUCCCCCUUAAUACUGCUUCCUUUCUUAACUACACAUCAGGAAUAUAUAGAGAUGACACAUUGUGCUUACCAUUCAAAAGCUUAUGUUGACAUUGUGAAAAAAGUUUUUGACACUCAAAAUAAUAAGAAAGUGGCCAUCUAGUUUUCCGCAGGUGAAUAGGAUUGCAUAUGCUUGUUAAUGAAAUACCCCAGCUUACAUAACUCCAUAGUGUACGAUUCAAAGUUCUUUUUCCAUUGAUAGCACAUGCUUCCUAAUUUUAAUUGAUUAUUCACAGUUUACCCAGGAAAAUCCCAAGGCAUGGGUCGAAUAGUGUAAUUUUUAAAAAGGACUCAUCAUUUCCAAGGAUAAUGCAUUUCAUUUCUGAACCCCAGUACUAGCAAGAAGUGUUUCAAGCUGCUAGUGUCUAAGAAUGAAAAACAGCAUCAUCCAACUCAAGAACCAACAAUCCAAAGAACUUUUGUUCUUCAUACCAUGUGAAAUAGUUUAAAAACUUAAUGGAACUAUGACUUCUACACUCUGAGAUAGCAAGUUCAAAUAUAUUAGAUAACUGUGAGGUUACUGAACGGUGAACAAAAAUGAAGCACAAACUAUAGGAAAGGAAAAGCUGAUACAGCACUUAGAACAUACCACAGGCUUUUGCAUGGAGCUCCGAUGCCAAACAAUUUGCAAUGUACAACAGAUAGUGAGCAUCAGUGCGAGCAUACUCAAUCAUUUCGGGAGUCAGAGGACGCAGUCUCCAAUCUUCACGCUGGGGUUUCAAAAUCAAGGUAGGAAGAAACAAAAUGGGAGCGGAUAUCAGGCAAUUGCAAUAUUGGAAUUUUUGAGUUUCCAACAAACUUAUUUUGAAUACCAAAAGAAAUAUGGCUUACAACAUGUAUGUACUUGGUUAUCAUUUUCAAAAGCAUGUCAUCUAUUCAACACCAAACAUAAUGCUCGAUAGCAAGUAAGUUCAAGAAAAUAUCUUUUGUAAAGAAACUUAGAGUUUGCUCAACGGAAGAUAAAUUCAAAGGUGGUGAUCAUGAAUUAUCUUUAUUUGAAUUGAUUAAAACAGCAUGGGAACUAUGCAUUCAUAGAUGCAUGUAAUGACUCCACAUAAUUUAAGAUUUGACAACCAGGCUGUGAAGGAUGUAAAGACCAGUUAUUUGGAAACCAAUCAAAACUAACUGGGUAGGUUGGAGCUAAUGUACGGUGGACAGUUGACCUUAUAAGUUCUCAUGGGUAGUAAGCUACCUUACCUUGUUUAUAUUAAGAUAUAAAUUGAGCAAGUCAGAAUACAAGAUAAACAUAUGUAAGCCAAACAUGCCUUAAAAGUAUGUUUUAGCACUAUGUUUUGAAUAUAAUCUAUAUUUCUAUUCAACAACUGAAAAAAGUGGUAUCCCUGUAGUAAACUCUGACUCCAUGGGACAGCAUGCCAAGCAGACCCUAGAUCUGCUUCUUUGUUUUAUUGUAAUUUACAAUGUGAAAACAUAAUAAAUAGUGUACUCCUCAGUAACCGAAUACACUUUUUUAAGCAUUCUGCCUCAUAUUUCCCGUCCUCUCAUGGAAGCAUGAGUGCAUAAGGUCAACUGGCAUUGGAUAAAUGAGUGGCUUCACUGAACCCGGUACUUUUAAGCUGAUACUGAACGAUUACCUACCUGCAUGGUCUUGUCAGUGGUCACUUCACAAUAUACUUCAAGCAAAUAUGCAAGUGAUUUUUGUGGUUUUGAUAGAGUUUCACAUGCCUGUAAUAAAAUCAGUUGUAAGGCACAAUUAAGAAAAGAUGCACGCAUUCAUAGCAUAGAAAAAACAAACUAAGGAUGUAAAUUCAGAAAUGAAAAAAAAGGACGUUUCACACAAACUUAUCAAAAAAUUGAGUGAGGGGGAAAGAAAUAAAAUUGUUCAAAAACCAAAAGAUUUGUAAGCAUGAUUGUAGCAUGCGAUUAUACGGUGAGCAAAGAUGGUUUUAUAACUAAAAGUUCUGAACUUCUGAUUCUUAACUGCAAUGGCAUUCCACCACAUGAUAUGUUCAUUCACAAAGCUUUUCAUGUUGCAGUUAUGAGGUUGACAUUUCCAUGCUUCAGUAAUAGAAAGUAUAAUCAAUUAUCUGACUGAAAUCUAUUAUAUCACUUUUAAAAGGUGAGUGAAAAAGGAGGAACAAGAACACCACAUCAUCAUAUCAUUUCCCCGCCCUUGGACUAAAUGAACCAUAUAAUCUAGAACCUAAUACUGAAGCAAUCAAUAUCAUAUAGUAGCAUAGUACAAUUGAAAACAACCUGUUUCUGAGAAACCAUGAUAAAAGUAAUAAAGAGGGAGAUAACAUUUUUCUGGAUUGACAUUCUUAGUUAACUAGGUACAGUAUAGGGGGUCUUCCUUCAUUUGUUAAUAAUACAACUUUUUCAAGUGAUACAGUAUUUGUUAAUCAUAUUCCUUUCAUUUCAUAGAGCAGUUACAACAUGCAUACAUGUGAUGUGAUCUACAAAAAGUUAGAAAUGACCCAAAAAAUCACUAAACUACCUGCACAGAAUUGUUCCUUGUGAAAAUGGGGUGUCAAUUUAAGCAAUGCAUGCCACACAACAUGCUGUACCAAAAAGGUCUAGCAAGCAAAUGACAUUAAAUGUGUUACAUACCAGAAAUCUUUGCAGAAUAGAUAAAAUGCGUGAAAAGGAUAUGUUAUGCAGGUACUUACCUUGGCAGUAUCAAACAUAUUCACAACAUAAAUAUGAAAAUCCCUUUGAAGCCAAAGAACAUCAUUGUCAGCUCCAUGGAAUAUCUACAGCAUAAGGCAAAAGAGAAAUGUGUGUAUUUAGGAUGUCCUACACUCCUACAGCUUAUCUUUUAUUCUAGGCUGAGUAAUUGAGGGGCAUAUAAACACAGUAAAGGGAAAAAAUAAUCUGCUGACAUCAGUAGGUCCUACAGCUUAUACCUAUAAUGCAUAUCCGAAAAGUAAACUCAACUACAUUUCAAUGGCAUGUAAAUAGAGUUUGUGGCAGUAUCUUUGCUUGUACUGUAAUAGAGCUUAAAGUUUGCAGUCACCACUGAAAAAUGAAAAUAAAUGGCUUACCACUGGCAGGUGGCAGCAGGUACAAAGAUGUGUUACCUUACAAAUAGAAGAAUUAGCAAAGACUGGUCGUAGAAUGCCCAUCACAUCAUGCAAUGCUAUUGUGUCUAUCAAAUAGUCAUCAUUCUGGGUGGAGAUCUAAACAGAACAAUCUAUAUUAAAAAUAAUAAUAAACUUAUAAAGAAUAGAAUGUUGAGGGUGCACGUGCAUCUACCAGUAAUUACCUGCAUUAGUGCCGUAUAUCCUAGGAAAGACCGAAUGCUAUGUUGCUCUGUAUCAACAGCAAAAGCUCUUUCCUCACCUAAUAAUCUUGCCAGAUGCUCCAGUUGAGCUUCUGUAUCAACCCAAUUAUAUGUAGUACUCAUUUUUGGGCACUGGGCACCCAGCAUAAAGCUAUGGAAAUCAGGGGGGUUGUUUAGCAAAGAUGUGAUUUCUUCCUCAAAUGGAUGAACUUUUUGUGAUGAUUCUGUAUCAAUUAAAAUGGAAUGUCAGAAGAAUUAAAAAGAAUGGGACCAAUUGGGAUAUGGUCUGAUGAGUAAUCAAUACUCUAUAUGCUAGAUAUGCAAAUUUCAUAUCUUACAGCAAAACUUAUUCAAUCAACCAUCCAGCUUGGCUUCCUCGAGUAAAAUAGAUAGCAAUUACUUGAGCAUUCCCUUUACUAACUCUACAUCCCCUUUACUACUAACUCCAAAUAACAGCUUGACUUCCUCGAGAAAAAUAGACAGCAAUUGCAGUACAAAUAUUAAAGUUAGUUGAGUAUUCCAGAGUCCAGAACAUGACAAGCGAUUGCUGUUUCAAAUGGUAACAGCAAUAAUCUAGUCUUCAGUUAAGAGCAUGACCUGGAGCUCUUCUGUAGCUUGUAACACUAUGCUAUUAUUCCACUAUGUGCAUCACUAGAGUAGUAUGAACAAAUAGAAGCACGCAAUAGAACAGCGUUUUCCAUGAAUGCAUAAAGCAGCCACUGACUGGAGAAUGCACAGCGCUGCCCUCAGGUGUUCGACGAAAUUCCUCAGACAGAAAAUCCACAUCGAACUGCAUUCCUCUAAUCCUCUACUAGCCUCCCCACCCAGGCCCCCACCCCCACCCCCCACCCCUGUUGCGUCGCGUAGCUCGAUCCUACGUACCAGGGGCGCCGUGGAAUUCCUAAAACAAGCAAACAACCAUACGAGUUCGACGGCAAUGCCGAGAUCCCCGCAAGCAGGAGCAGGAUUCCAGGAGUGCAUGCGCGCACCUUGAGGAGGUGGCAGGGGUCCCUCGCCUUCUGCACUUCCCGGCUGAGCACUCUGACGACGUAGGUGUUUGAACGGGGAGUAGGAGUUGUCCGCGAGCACGCGCUUGAACCGGGCCUGCGGCUUCUCCUCCUCCUCGCAGGCGCGGCGGGGGCGCCCCCCGACCCCGAGGCGGCGAGACGAGAAGGGCGCCAGGUUCCGGCGUCGCCUGCGGUGUAGCAGCGCCGCCGCGGCGAGGACCGCAAGGCACGCGGCGGCCGCGACGGCCGCGCGCGAUCUGAGGGUGGCGGCGCCUGGCAUGUCGCGACGCAGGCAGAGGCAGUCCGACGGUGACGGGAGGGAGAAGACAGAAAAAGGGUAGCUCGAUUUGGACCGUUUGGACUUCGGAAGGCGCAUGCGCAACCGUGCAAAGGAUCGGUCUAUGUCGGGACCGGACCUGCUGACUCGAGAGAGUGAUAGGAUCACCGAGCCAGAGCGUGCGUCUCCUGUAAGGCCCCGCACGCUACCACGGUUCAACAAAAAAUGAAAAACUCUCGUGGAUUCAAAAUCCAAUAGUACUCCGUAAUUCUUUUUCGUAUCAUCCCUUCUGGAAUAAAAAGGGUUGGAUUUCUAUAAAUCCUACAUAAUGACUUGUUUUAUACAAAUUUUAGAGGAAUUUUGCAAGAGGUUAAACCAGUCUGUUCGUUUGAGUUUAUUAGUCAAAUCAGUAAGCAUUCAGCAGUAUUUUUCUCCCACAACAUCUUUUGUUUUCCAUCAGACACUUAUGUCACUUUUUGAUUGUAACAACAUUAAGUCCAAAGGCACAAAGACCAUAUAUACCUAUCGUCUGUGAGUUGAUUUUUUGUUCUCGCGCCACCUCAUUGCCUCGUGUGUCGCUGCAUUGUGCCCACGCGGGGUUUGCGGGCGCUAGCUUGUGUCACACACUACGGUUGUCUAGCCUGGCGGUUUGGUGUCGUGGUUCGUAAUCAUGGUGUGAUUAUUAUUGAUUCAAUUAUUGGUUCAAUGUGUGGGCCCAUGGUAGUUUAGCACUCAAAACACACAAAAAAAAUUUCCUAGUUCGAGUGUCUAAACCCAGCAUCUAACACCUAGUUCUUUAUGUUAGAAUGCUCAAUCGAGUUCUUACUAUGGAGGUUAAGAGGGAGAGAAGGUAGGAGAGCAUAGCUUGCAGUGAUCUAGGAUUCAAUUUCUUCUACAAGAGCCCCUGUUCUACCUUAUAUGUCGGAGGCUGAGAGGAGUACAAAGAGAGUGGAUUCGGUGGUCCUAGGGUUUCCUAUCCUAAUCUUCGAGUUGCUGGCUAUUGCUGUUCAAGAUUGCGGCAGGGAACCCGCUAGGUGUAGCCUCUGAGCCUCUAGCUGAUUAAGAUAUUGGUCGGUGGGUUAGUUGCACAGUUGUGGUACUAAUCUAGGGAUUUAGGUGAUCCAUUUAUUUGGUACUCAACAAUUGGCAUUGUAACUGAGUAGUGGGCUUUGCAGCAAUGCGGCUGAGCAACCAAACUAAAGUGCACCUUGUCGUGCUAGGCUCCUUAUGUUGGAACACGUUCAGCCGAGGGUUAUAGGGUCACCGGUGGAUCUGAGGCUAACAACGGUGGCAUUUGUUGUACCAUCGGGGUAGCGACAGCAUGGCAGGGGCAGGGUUACUGGCACCGUGCGAGAGAGCUCAAGCCCAGAGAUAGCAAGGCAAAACAUGAUGACACUGCCUUGUUCGUUUGGCUGAUAAAUAAUGGCAGAAAGUACUAUUGACUAAUUUAUUAUGAGAGAAAAAUACUACUGAAUAACUAAUUCAAUUGUGGACCAUACAGGAGGGACCAAUGGCACGACAAUAGAAACUUGAUGUGAUCGCAUAGCCUGACCAUGAUGUUGUCAUAAUGUGGAUGUCAAUCAACCUCCAGAGUGGCGUGCAAGGUGGCGCUACGGUGCAGUACGUGAAUGCUACUACUCACGCACUUAUGAAACACAAAUCCUUGUGACUUUGGAGGUUUUUGAAUUAUUUGCAGACCCUAUGAGCUUUUAUAUCUUAAGGUACUCCUUCCGUCCCAAAAAAAUAUCGUUUUAGAAUUUCAGAUAUCUUGUUUAAUCAUCCAUCUUAUUCAAAAUUUUUACAUAAAUAUUAUAUAUUUUGUUAAGACCUAUUUUAUCAUUAGAGAUACUCCCUCCAUCCUAAAUUGUAAGUCGUUUGACUUUUUUUUUCACCUCAAGUUUGACCACUCGUCUUAUUCAAAAAAUUUGUGCAAAUAUAGUCAAAUUUAAAUCAUUCUUGAAGAACUUUUAUUAAUAAACCAAUACACAACAAAAAUGAUAUUUUGUACAAAACUUUGAAUAAGACGAGUGGUCAAACUUGAUAUUAAAAAAGUCAAACGACUUACAAUUUAAGAUGGAUUGAGUACUUUACUAAUGAUUUUAUUAUACUAAAAAUACAAUCAUAUUUUUUAGCCCCUUUAAUCAAAAAGGCUAGUUCCACCACUGCCGUGGCCCGUGGAGGGGAAUUCGAUUUGGUGCCAGUUUGAACUUUGAAAUAUCACGGGCUAGAGUUUAUGCUUACCCACGGUAUGACUACAAGUGUUUCCCUGCUCAGGUCUGGUUUAAUUUUAUUUUUUUAUAAAAUAGACAGUGUAGCAUUUCGUUUGUAUUUGAUAAAUAUUAUCUAAUUAUAAACUAAUUAGUUUUAAAAAAUUCGUCUCGCAAUUUACAAAUAAAUUAUGUAAUUAAUAUUUUUUUAUUUAUAUUUAAUGUUUCAUACAUAUAUUGAAAAAUUUAAUAUGACAAAAAAUCUAAGAAAUUUUUUAUAAAAAAAUACGAAGGAAACAAGGCCUCAGCUCUGAUGAAUGCCUCGGGCAGCAGAUCACGAUCCCGAGAUCGGACAAGAUGACUACUCCGGCCCCGUGCCGCCGUGGCACUCACUGACUGCACAGUCUGACAGACUGACACGCGCUCACGAAGCGUCCAGAGGCGCUCUCCAGAACGCCCCCCACCUGUCCGCAGUCCGCUGCCAGCGGGCCCCGCGCGCUCGCGCACCUUCUCGCGCGCGGGCGCGGCUGGCGCCUGGCGGUGGGGGUUCGGCUUCCCUCCAAGGCAGCCUUCCUUUCUGCAGGCGCGCAGGCCGCAGGGGCAGCUCCCCGUCUUCUUUAUCACUAGCCGAUCGCCGCAGCGCACGACGAUGUACAGAGCGGCCGCCUCGCCGCUCCGUCACAGCCUCCGCCGCCUCUCCUCCUCCUAUUCCGCGGCUACCCCGCUCGCUGGGGCCGCCCGCUUCCUCGCGCCCUCCUCCGAGGGUCGGCUCUCCGCACUCACCUCGUCUCGCCUCCUCGGGUCGGCGCCGUGCCGGUGCUGCUCAGGCGCCGGGAUCGCCGAGCGGCCUGCGUCUGCGUGGCGCGGACUCGCCACCAUGGGUAAUGCUCCUCAGUACCCUCUUUUCUUGCCAAAAACGAAGUGUUGUUCAACGGUAAAAAGUAAAGAAAGCGGCAAAGUGCUAGUACCAUUUUUUUCGAAUUGAGAGGUGUACGGUGUUGCUCAUCAGGCUCAGCGUUCACUAUUUCUCUUUAUCUGUAUAUAUGUGAGAAGAAGAAGAGUUGUCAUACGGUCUGUGUAUUUUGGGUAGCUCGGAGAUUUGAAGUUGUAUUAGGUGACCGAUCAAGUAGUUCCAAGCAGCCAAAUGUCGCUGAUCAUGUCACCCUUUAAAGUUUAAGGGCAUGUUUGGACCACGGGAAAAAAAAAUCCUAUUUCUGCGUUUUUCUAUGUGAUGAAAUUGACUGAUUCCUGUGAAGUUCUUACGUUCCAAACAGUCCCUAAUAAAUUCUAGAUCUCUAUGGUUUUGAUUCUUUUGAAUUCCUAAUGGUUGUUGCUUGUGGUGUCAUUACCACUCAUUAAUAUUGAUCUCCGUAUGUGACCUUACCUGCAGCUGACGGUAAUAGCCGCUUUGGGCAUGUGCUGACAAGCCUCCCAAAGCCCGGUGGUGGAGAGUACGGGAAGUACUACAGCUUACCAGCCCUGAAUGAUCCUAGGAUAGGUACUUAGCCGAGAAAUGCUACGGUGAAUUUAUACACAAUAAUAUGAAGAUCCCCAAGGAGGAUACGUCAUACCAAGCCUUACAACUUGUAAUUCAUUUAUGCAUUCCGUUUUCAGAAAGAUUGCCAUAUUCUAUCCGGUAUCUACUGGAGUCAGCCAUCCGCAACUGUGACGGAUUUCAGAUUACAGAGAAGGAUGUCGAAAACAUCAUUGAUUGGGAGAAUACUGCUCCCAAGCUGGUGGAGAUACCUUUCAAGCCUGCCCGUGUGCUUCUGCAGGUGUGGAAGUGACCUGACUUCAUCCUUCGCUUCAUGUGGUGUAAAACAACUAUUCAUUUUCCUCUCUUUGAAGGAUUUUACUGGUGUCCCAGCUAUCGUAGAUCUUGCAAGCAUGCGCGAUGCUAUGGCUCAACUGGGCGAUGAUCCUGGCAAGAUUGAUCCCAUGGUAGGCAGCACUCAGUACACUAGGACACAUAAGAAUCAUCAUCAUGCAAGAAUGGUCACACGACUGACCAUCUUCUAAUAUUUCUCAACUUCUCACCUUUUUGCUAUUCACUUGCAGAUUCCAGUGGAUCUAGUCAUUGAUCAUUCGGUACAGGCUGAUGUGGUAAAAUCAGAGAAUGCCCUCCAAGCUAAUAUGCAACGCGAAUUCGACAGGAACAAGGAGCGCUUCGCCUUCCUUCGGUGGGGCUCUACGGCAUUCAAUAAUAUGCUUAUUGUUCCACCAGGUUCAGGAAUUGUUCACCAGGUGCAGUUUAUUUUUUUAUAGGCCGAUUAGUUCUCAGUCCCAAAUUUCUGUGCACCUUAAUUUGCAUUAUGCUUCUUGAGUUUCAUUUGAUGCUUUCUUAACUCUAUUUUUUCAGGUGAAUCUUGAAUAUCUUGGACGAGUUGUUUUCAAUACGGAUGGCAUUUUAUAUCUUGACAGUGUGCUGGGAACGGAUUCUCACACUACUAUGAUUGAUGGAAUGGGGGUUGCUGGCUGGGGUGUUGGGGGAAUUGAAGCAGAAGCAACAAUGCUUGGUCAGGUAAUAAAACAGAGAUCAUAAUACAUUGUACACAUUAGGAUAUUCUAUUUGCAUAUGAACCUUGAUUUUGAUUUUGUCUAAUGCAAUAUUUUUCUUAAUGGACAGCCAAUGAGCAUGGUCUUGCCCAGUGUAGUUGGAUUUAAACUGACAGGGAAAUUGCGUGAUGGUGUUACUGCAACCGACUUAGUCCUGACAGUGACACAUAUUCUUAGGAAGCAUGGUGUUGUUGGCAAAUUUGUUGAGUUUUAUGGUAUAACUUUACUUCUGCCAAUUUUUACACAACUUCAGUUUUUAAUAUUACCACUAACGGGUGGGUUUCGCGUGUAGGUGAGGGGAUGAGUGAGUUAGCAGUUGCUAACAGGGCAACAAUUGCUAACAUGUCACCAGAAUACGGUGCAACAAUGGGCUUCUUCCCUGUUGAUCAUGUGACCCUUGGAUACCUGAAGCUGACAGGGAGAAGUGAUGAAAAGGUUUGCUUCCAUUUUUCACCUUAAAAUUGCUUAUUGGUUCUCAAAAAACAUUUCGAUGGAUCCAAUCUAUUGUAGUCUGGACAUUCCUUUUUGGUCCAAUAGUUUUCUUAUGUUUUGAUGUCCUGACAAAUAGGUUGACAUGGUAGAGGCAUAUCUUCGAGCUAACAAAAUGUUUGUUGAUUACAACGAGGUUAGCAUCAUUGGUACUACUAUCUCAGAUAUUAAAGGAAACAUAUGUCUAAUACAGAUCUGUAGUUUCAGACUCAAACAGAAAGAGUUUACUCAUCGUACCUAGAGUUAGAUCUUGCAGAUGUUGAACCAUGUGUUUCAGGCCCGAAAAGGUAACUUUCUUUGCUACCUAUGCUUAUCUUGAUCUUAUCAUGCUACACAUAGGUUUUUCUAAAUAUGAUUGUACCUAUUCAUUGUUAUGUAUUACAUAGACCUCAUGACCGUGUUGCUCUGAAAGAUAUGAAAGCAGACUGGCGUGCCUGUCUCAGAAAUAAAGUUGGUUUUAAGGUAAGAGUACUAAAUUAACUUGAAUGUUGCCAGCAUCCAUGAUAGUAAAAUAGCCUAUCUAUCCUUUACACGAUUUCUGUUGCGCUCACCAACAGAACAGUAAUUUAUUUGUUGUCUACAAUUUUUGUUUGGGUUACAGGGCUUUGGCAUACCUAAAGAGCAACAGGAUAAACUAGUCAAGUUCACCUUCCAUGGACAACCUGCAGAGAUUAGACAUGGUAGCAUUGUGAUCGCUGCCAUAACAAGUUGCACAAACACCUCGAACCCAAGUGUCAUGCUUGGUGCUGGCCUUGUUGCAAAGAAGGCGUGUGAGCUUGGCCUUGAGGUGAGUCUUCAUUGCCAUAAUUACUUCUCAGCACAGCAUGCCUUUCGUAACUUUGGUAUAUUGACAGGUUAAUCCAUGGAUUAAAACUAGUCUUGCGCCAGGAUCCGGGGCAGUGACCAAAUAUCUGCUGAAGAGGUAGAAAUUCCGCCCCUCCCUAGUAGUUUUAAACAUGAAAAUUGUUUAUCUUCAAAUCCUGACUUAUGUCGCAAAAUCAGUGGCUUGCAAAAGUAUUUAGAUCAUCUAGGUUUCAACUUAAUUGGAUAUGGCUGUACAACAUGCAUUGGUAACUCUGGGGAGCUUGAUGAAGAUGUUGCUAAGGCAGUUACUGACAACGGUAACUUCAUACUUAUUAACUAAACACAUUUGCCUGAUUUUUCUCAUGCUCAAUUGUACUUCAGAAAAUGAAAUCCCAUGUUCUUGGCAUGCCUUUGUCAGAUAUCAUUGCUGCUGCAGUACUCUCUGGUAACAGGAACUUCGAAGGGCGAAUUCAUGCAUUGGUUCGGGCCAAUUACCUUGCCUCCCCUCCUCUGGUUGUGGCCUAUGCCCUUGCUGGCACUGUAAGCAGUGUGUUUAUCCCUAUUGAUUUUUUUUCCUGGUGUAGUCACCAUGGAUAAAUUGUCGUAUUUUGUCCCAUCAAUAUAUAUACAUUUGCAUCAGGUUGAUAUUGAUUUUGAGACGGAACCAAUUGGGAAAGGAAAAAAUGGAAAAGAUGUGUACUUCAAGGACAUAUGGCCAUCAAAUGAAGAAAUUGCAGAGGUAAAUUCAAAAUUGUCGCAUUCUUCUAAAUUGCUCAGUAUGCAUUUAUCAUAUAUAGAAUGCACUUAUCACGCCUUAAGGUUGGAUUAUAACAAUACCAGGUUGAGCAAUCAAGUGUGCUGCCUGACAUGUUCAGGAGCACCUAUGAAGCAAUCACACAAGGCAACCCAAUGUGGAACCAGCUGUCAGUUCCCAAGGCAAAGCGCUUCCCAUGGGACCCCAGUUCCACCUACAUUCAUGAUCCUCCGUUCUUCAAGGAUAUUACACCGACUCCGCCAGGUCCACGCAGCAUAGAGAAUGCCUAUUGCCUGUUGAAGUUUGGUGACAGCAUCACGACAGACCACAUCUCACCAGCUGGGAGCAUCCCCAGGGACAGCCCUGCUGGCAUGUACCUGCUUGAGCGCGGUGUGCAGCCAAAGGAUUUCAAUUCUUAUGGAAGCCGUCGGGGCAACGACGAAGUGAUGGCACGAGGAACUUUUGCAAAUAUCAGGAUUGUGAAUAGGCUGUUAAAUGGAGAAGUUGGACCGAAGACGAUUCACGUCCCUACAAGUGAUAAGCUCUUCGUGUUUGAUGCUGCAAUGGUCAGUUCUUCUUCCCCAAGCUACGUUCCUGUCGAGAUAGUAUGCAGCAUUAUAUUAAGAACAAAUAGGCACUCUAUUCGCCUUGUUGGCCAACUGAGCUAGGCUCAGUUCAUUGAAUUAAUUAUGAAACACAGUGCCCAUUUUACUUCAUACUCCUACUAACUAGACUUGACAUUUGAGCAAAUAUCCUUUUGGAUGGUAGCCAAAGGUAAGUAUGCCAAAGUAUAUGCUUGACCUUUUUUUUAGCCAACCUGACUUCAAAAAGCAUCUGACUUUGAGAUCAUUAUUUUUGUCGAUGAGUAUUUCUUAUGUACUCCUAGUAAUAGGCCAUUACACUGGUUGUGCUUAUUUCAGAGAUACAAAGCUGAUGGGCAUCAUACCAUAGUGUUGGCUGGAGAGGAAUAUGGCAGUGGAAGUUCUCGGGAUUGGGCUGCCAAGGGACCAAUGUUACUGGUAUAUGCAUAUCAUACAACUGCCAUUUCUUUGCUGGCUACCGGAAACUCGCACAUUUCUUUGACAAAACUAUGUCAUCAGGGGGUCAAAGCAGUGAUCGCCAAGAGUUUCGAGAGGAUCCACCGCAGCAACCUCGUGGGAAUGGGAGUGUUACCGCUGUGCUUCAAGCCUGGUGAGGAUGCUGAUUCUCUGGGGCUCACCGGUCAUGAGCGCUACACAAUAAGGCUCCCUACCAAUGUGAGUGAGAUACAACCGGGCCAAGAUGUCCAAGUGGUCACUGACACUGGGAAGUCAUUUACCUGCAAGCUCCGGAUUGAUACCCUGGUAAGUUCUCGAGUAAUAAAAGGAUGUGGAACUGGUAAUUGCAGAAAUGUUCACAGCACAGUGGUCAAUACAACUGAAUUACCGCGAUAAAGUUUCUGGGCAUUACAUUCCAUGAUUGCAAGCACGUACACCACUUAGAUUUUUGUUCAUACUGUGAGAUGAAACAGUGCAUUUUCAAAUACUAGCCUACAAGCUUAGCAGUUAGCGCUAAUCAAAUUGUAUUGAUUUUAAAAUAGUAUGAAUUGUGUGACGAAUAACAGAAAAAAAAACGUGUUUUCUAGGUGGAGCUGGCUUACUUUGAUCAUGGCGGGAUCCUUCACUACGUUCUGAGGAACCUGGUGAAGCAGCAACAGCAGCAGUAAAACUCUAAAAAUACAUGAAAAUCUGUGAAUAUUUGCCUAUCUUGUGUGUUUCGAAAAAGGCUAUUGUGAGGAAUAAAAUCACUCCUGCAGUUUGUAAAGUCAAGCCGAUGUAAAUGUUCAUGAGCUGAGGCUGAGCUGUGCUGUUUUGUAUUAAAAUUUCUGUGCUAAUAAAUAAAGAUGGUAUUGGUAUGUUGGCAUCUGUCACCUGAAGGCUGAAGUUUCUUUCUCCUAUGAAGAUUCAUAAAAUUUAGUCAAUCUUGCCUUUUUUCUGCGGCGGCGGAGCAUCCGGCGGUGGCCCUUCCGGGAGUUGUUCCGGUGCCCGCCCUGGCGCUGGCGGCGGCGGCGGCGGGAGAUGGGCGCUGCGCUGGGCGUGGGCGGGUAGUAGAAGGCGGAGGAGGCCGCUCUGCCGUGCCCGUGGACAGGCGAGAGGGCUGCCCGUGGACAGGCGAGAGGAGAACAAGCGAAAUUUACAAGACAAGCUGUUACACCGUUGGAUCGGGAUUGUGCGGCUUAUGGUAGAACUUGGUCUCGUUCAGAUCUCUCCUCUCGCGUAGUGGUGUUCAACGAUUCUGCGGUGGAGGAGCAGCCAGAAAGAAUGCUUCAUUUGCAAUAUGGCUGAAAAUGAUGCUCACCUGUGUUUUUCACUGUGAUUUUGCUAGGGCUAUCAACCAUCAUCACCAUGAAUACAGAAGAAGAAGAAGAGUUACAAAACAUAAUAACUACUCUUUGGUUUAUUUGGAAAGCGAAUGCUCGCUUCAACAACAAAAAAAUAGUCUGUUUUACAGGUACAUCAUUCAACAGCAGCGGAGAUAACUACAUCCAUAUCUGAACUUAAUGCAGAUAAACAAGGAAAUGAACUCCAAGAAAAGAGGAGAGAAAGGCGAACAUUAGAGGAACUAGGCCCUAAUCAUUAUAGAAUCUCACUACCUGCUGCUCUUUGAGGAACACGAUACUAUACAGAUGCUUCAAUCACUCCUGACAACGACGGAAAUCCUGCUAGACAUGCUGAACUGGAAAUUUUUAUUGUUCCCUCUACUAUCUACAUUAAAGCAAAGAUGAUGAACUGUAGCUCUAUCAUUAUGGCUGAAGCUGCGGCAUUGGAUCUGGCUGCACAAAUCCUCAAAAAACUUGGUAUACAACAUCCAAGUUUGCUAACAGAUAAUGAACAACUGGCUAUCUUCUUCAAUGGCCAAAACUACCAAAAUCCACCGAGAUGGGAGAUAAAACCUCACACUCAGUCCUUCAUCAACUCAUGUCUCUCAAGAGGAGAAAAAGUCUUCAAAAUCUGUAGAAGCAACAUUCUACAGCUCAUUGCAACAGAGUAUCUGGGGCUACCAAUGCCUAAUGGAAAAAUGAAAAGAGGAGUCUUCCAACCACUUGAGGAGAGGUUCCAGAAGAGAAUGUGUGCCUGGAAGGAAAAGGAGUUAUCUGUGGCUGGUAAGGAAAUCCUCAUUAAAUCAGUUGAACAAGCCCUGCCUAAUUACGUGAUGAGUGUUUUCAAGCUCCCACUAACAUUGUGUGAUGAGUUGAUGCGACAUAUACGGGCUUACUGGUGGGGUUCUGACAAUGGCCACAGGAAGGUUCAAUGGGUUCCAUGGGAGAAGAUGAUUAUGCCAAAAGGGUUUGGGGGUAUGGGCUUCAGAGACCUCAGAUUGGUUAACCAAGCCUUACUAGCAAGACAAGCAUGGAGAUUGGUGUUCUUUCCUGAGAGCCUGUGUGCUAGAGUUCUGAAAGCCAAAUAUUUUCCCAAUGGCAAUUUGCUGGACACAGUUGCUGCUGGAGAUGCCUCCCCAUCAUGGCGCGGAGUUGAGUUUGGGUUGACACUACUAAAGCAAGGUGUGGUCUAUAGAGUGGGAGAUGGACAAAGUAUUCGCAUUUGGCGUGAUAACUGGUUGCCCAGAGCUCAUGGCAUGAAGCCAGUUGGCAGCGUUCGGCAUUGCCGACUACGCCGGGUCUCUCAUUUGAUUGAUGCUCAAACUAAGUCCUGGGAUGAGACACUUGUAAGAAGAUAUUUUUAUGCCUGUGAUGUCGAGGAGAUAUUCAAAAUAAAAAUACCCAGCAAUCCCUGUCCAGAUUAUGUAGCUUGGAACUUUGAGACAUCGGGUAUGUUUUCUGUCAAAAGUGCUUAUAGACUAGCCAUGAGGAUUGAACACGAUGAAGGGAACAUCGGCACCAGCUCUACUCCUCCUGAUGGUAGAACGGUAUGGAAAAACCUGUGGUCUACUAAUGUACCAGAGAAAGUCAAGGUGUUUGCAUGGAAGGUCGCCAAUAAUGGUAUCCCCACUCAAGCUAAUAAGUACUUCAGACAUCUGGCACAAUAUGAAACCUGCGAGUUGUGCGGACAUGCUCGUGAGGACUGUUUCCAUGCGUGUGUACGCUGCCCACAUGCUGUUGCUCUUCGUCAGGCCAUGAGAAUGCAUUGGGUACUUCCGGCUGAGGAGGAUCUACAAUAUACUGGGCCUCAGUGGCUGCUGGCCCUUGUGAGCCGGUUCCCAGUGGAGGUCAUUGGAAAUCUUUUGAUGCUUCUAUGGCGUGUUUGGAGUGUGCGCAACAGUGUUCUGCGGGCAGGCAAAAGACUCUCGAUUGACAGUUCUGUGUUGUUUCUUACUCGUUACAGGGAUUCUCUCAUGCAGUGUCAAUUAAACAGUUUCCAUGCUGAAGACAAGGGGAAGCGCUGUGCCUUGAUUGGGAGCUCUCAGCUGGAGAGGGUUGCCAGGCUAGAGAAGAAGUGGGUUCCGCCAGAACCAGGAUGGAUGAAGAUUAACGUGGAUGGGGCUUUCUUACCCGAUUCUGGUGUAGCUGCAAUAGGUGUGAUCAUCAGGGACCAUGGUGGUGGGAUUAAACUGUCAGCCUGGCGAUUGCUUCGCCAUUGCCGGGAUGCAGUGGAGGCUGAAGCUGUGGCGUGCCGUGAAGGGAUUAUCCUUGCAGCGCGCUGGCCGGAGGUCCCCAUGAUUCUGGAAACCGAUUGUUCUGUGGUGGCAGGGAAGCUGAGGAAUCUUGUACAGCAUCGUUCCGUGAUUUGGUCUACCAUUCAAGAAGCUACUGUAGGGAUAGAGGAUCUUUGCCGGGUGGAAGUUCUGAAGAUUAGUCGAGCUCAAAAUAACACCGCACAUCAACUUGCUCAUUAUGCUAUUAGGUCGAGUAGUAGUCAGGUCUUUUUUUCUUCUUUUCCAGAGUUUGUCGUGUCGCUUGCUUGUAAAAAUACUGUUUGAGUUUUAAUAAAGUUUAUGUUCACAAAAAAAAGAGAUAGUGCUGAAUUUACUUAUACCAAUUCUCAGCAUGUAAACAACUGUCCUUUUAGGACAGCCCUAGACUCUGUAUUGGGUGCUCAUUUCACCCUCCUAGCAGCCUCAUGCUGCUAAUUAAUAAAUUUUGACUUCAUUCAAAAAAAAUGAUUUUGCAGUAGUUUGAUCUCUCUUUUUAUUUUUUGAACUUCAGUAGUUUGAUCUCUUAUCUCUGUUUUAUUUUCAUGAUAUGAUUACAUUAAAAAUGUAUUUAGGGUACUGGUAAUAAUUCCGAUACAACCUAUAUUUUUCAUGUAUUACCAAGUGAUUUUACAUAAUGUUUUUGCUCCACUAGAGCAGUUGGCAUAAAAGCAGGAGCAGAAGCCGGCCCAAACAGGUCAGCUUCCCGGUUAACAAGAUUCAUAAAAUUUAGUCACUCUUGCUUUUUUCCUCUUCCCUUAUUUUCUACUCUAGAGCCAUUUUAUCGUCUUAUAAAAUAUGUGCACCAAGAGGAGAGCUUGUUUGCUUGUCUUAUAAGCUAUAUUUUUUCUGCCAGUCAAUAAUGUUUUUUGCUCGUAAUAAAUCAACGAACAGCCAUGACUUUUUAGGCAAGCGACGUUUAGUAUUGGCCGAUAAAUUCGUGAACCUAACACUGUACAACCAAACCAAACAACAGAUGGUGAAAAAAAUCAUGUAGUGACAAACAAACAAAGAAUGUCUUAAUUACAUCCAGAAAGCAACAGGCUUCCAAUGCGUUUCAGGAAACUGAUGAGCAUCGGUCAUCUCGUACGACUGCACCUUGCGGUGUGUAGUGACAAGGUGUCCUUGUCCAUCGUACUCGAGACCAAACGUGGUGACCGCGAGCACACGGCGAUGCGGGUAGUAGCCAUCGUCAUGGAGGCGCCGCAGGUCCUCCUCGUCGUCACGCGCCAGCGACUCAACCAGGCAGUACCUGCUGCCGCCCAUCCACACGAGCGUGGCCCCAAGGUGCCUCCUGGACUUCGCGUCGAACAGUUGGUCCUCGCCGAGCUUCCAGGCGGGCAGGCUCCUGAGGUCGGCCGGAGCCGGCGCGACGUCGCAGCAGGAGAGGUAGCCUAAGCCACCCUUAUGCCAGCAGAGGCCCACCCAGGCGUCGAGCUGGGCAUCGAAGUACGCCUCGCCUUUGAACGGCAGGAUCCAGUUGCCAUGCGACGCCCACUGCUUGCUCUCCGUGUCGAAGGAGAACGUGCUCUCUUUAUGGGAAACGAAGAGAGUGCGGCCAUCGGGGUGUAGCACGGAGGCCCAUAUGCGGUUGAAGUCCUCGAAGGGUGGGGGAGCGCCGGUUCGGCUCCACGACCACCCCGCGUCUUCUGGGUAGAUGCUGUCGGGCGGCGGCGGCGCGGCGCUGAGCAUGUCGAACUGGCCUGCUCUUAGAAGGUAGAGGCUGCCAGCGAUGGACAGGAACAGUGGUUUAACGGCGAGCUUGUUGCCGCCGCGGCGUGGCCAGGGGCAGACGGCCAGCGCCGUCGUCUGGACAUCGAACACUGGGAAGGCAGGGUAAGGACAUGGCUGCAUGGCAAGGAUCUUGGUGCCGUGGGAGGCGAAAUACCAGGAGCGCCCGUGGCGGGCCUCGAAGCGGACGACCGGGGGCUCGGGGAGGGGGAGGGGCUCCGGCCCGGCGUCGAGGGCGUCGAAGGACUCGACGUCGACCUUGUAGACGCUGUAUCCCCUCUCCCAGUCAUCAAGAAUGAGAUAGAGAUGCUUCUUGUGCUCCUGCUGCUUGAAUUGCUUGGCCGCGCGGUGGCAUUGGCAGCUGGGGCAGGGCUCAAGCUCGCACUGCUGCCGCUUGUUCGGCAUUAUAAUUACUCUCUUUCCUGCUAACAACAACGAGCAAACCAUCAACUCGUAUAUACGGCGUAUAUAUUGUCUCGUCCUGGGUCCGAGACCUCUUCGUCUUCCAAGUUCCGACUCGACUCCUCUUCGGAUCGGAUCCGCUUCUUUUCCGUCCGAUUCCGACCCCUGUUAAAGUUCUACCAUAAGCCGCACGAUCCCGAUCCAACGGUGUAACAGCUGUCCUGUAAAUUUCGCUUAUUCUCUUCUCGCCUGUCCACGGGCACGGCAGAGCGGCCGCCUCCGCCUUCUACUACCCGCCCACGCCCAGCGCAGCGCCCAUCUCCCGCCGCCGCCGCCGCCAGCGCCAGGGCGGGCACCGGAAGCACUCCCGGACGCGCCACCGCCGGAUGCUCCUCCGCCGCGCCGCCGCCGCCGCAGCAGCGAAGCUCUCCUCCUCUUUAACCUCCGAGCGAGCCCUCCGUCACGUGGGCGCCGCCGGCCGCGGCCGCGGCCACGCCACCACCUCGUCUUCGAACCCACGCCGCCGGGGCCACCGUCGUGCGCCGACGGCUGAGUCCGAGUCCCUCACUUCCACCGCCGCCCCCCGUCCAUUCCCUGACUACCGCCCUCCCCGGCCUGACUCGCCGGACGACGACGCCCUCGCGCGCCGCCUGGCCGCCGCGGUGCUCGCCUCGCCUCACCCCACCUCCCUUCCUCCGCUCCCCUUCCUGCCCGUCCUCCGCCCAAUCCACCUCCUUCUCGGGCUCCCGCUCCUCGCCUCCCACCCGCACCUCGCCGGCCUCCUCCUCCCUCUCCUCCUCCUCUUCCCCUCCCGCCCUCAGCAGCACCCGCACCCGCACCUGCUCCGCUGCUUCGCCGUAGCUGCUCACCUCGCCGUAGUACGCGGCGCCGGAGCUGGCGCCGGUGCCGCGCGCGCCAUCCUCGCGCGCGCAGUCCGCUUCCCCUCCCCUCAUAGACAUUUCGUCGAGCACUACAUCUCCACCUACAAGGCAUUCUCCUCGGACCCCGCCUCCUUCGACCUUCUCCUCUUGUGCCUCCCCUCCGCGCCCCUACUGCGCCGCGUCCGCCAGUACGGCAUCUCCCCGUCCCCGGAGGCCUGCAAUGCCGUGCUCUCCCGCCUCCCUCUUGAUGAAGCCAUCGAGUUGUUUCAAGGUCUCCCGGACAAGAACGUUUGCUCCUACAAUAUACUACUCAAGGUGCUCUGUGGUGCUGGCCGCGUGGAGGAUGCACGGCAGCUGUUCGAUGAAAUGGCUUCACCGCCUGAUGUUGUCACAUAUGGGAUUCUUAUCCAUGGAUACUGUGCUCUUGGUGAGCUGGAGAAUGCGGUGAAGCUGUUGGAUGACAUGGUGGCAAGAGGGGUGGAGCCAAAUGCAACUGUGUAUACUAGUGUUGUUGCAUUAUUGUGUGACAAAGGGCGGGUUUCAGAUGCUUUGACAGUUGUCGAGGAUAUGGUCCAUCAUAAGGUGAUAUUGGAUGAGGCUGUGUAUACGACUGUCUUGAGUGGUUUUUGUAAUAAAGGAGAUUUGGUAUCUGCAAGAAGGUGGUUUGAUGAAAUGCAGAGAAAAGGUUUGGCAACUGAUGGGGUGACAUACACAACGCUGAUCAAUGGGCUUUGCCGGGCUGGUGAGCUGAAAGAGGCAGAGAAAGUGCUUCAGGAAAUGUUGGCCAGGCGGUUGGAUGUUGAUGAAGUAACAUACACAGUGCUUGUUGAUGGGUACUGCAAGAGAGGGAAGAUGGCGGAGGCCUUUCAGGUGCAUAAUACAAUGGUUCAGAGAGGAGUGGCACCAAAUGUAGUGACAUAUACAGCUUUGUCAGAUGGACUAUGCAAGCAAGGGGAUGUUCAGGCCGCUAAUGAGCUAUUGCAUGAGAUGUCUAACAAGGGGCUUGAGCUGAAUGCUUGCACAUACAACUCCCUGAUAAAUGGCCUAUGCAAGGCAGGCUAUCUGGAUCAGGCCAUGAGGACUAUGGCAGACAUGGAUGCAGCGGGUCUUAAACCGGAUGUUUACACCUAUACAACUCUUAUUGAUGCACUCUGCAAGUCAGGGGAGCUUGACAGGGCCCAUGACCUCUUGCAAGAAAUGUUAGAUAAUGGAAUUAAGCCUACUAUAGUGACUUACAAUGUUUUGAUGAAUGGUUUUUGCAUGUCAGGUAGGGUAGAAGGAGGAAAGAAGCUGCUUGAGUGGAUGCUGGAGAAGAAUAUCCAUCCAAAUGCUACAACUUACAAUUCUCUUAUGAAGCAGUACUGCAUUGGCAAUAACAUGAAAUCUACCACUGAGAUCUAUAAGGGGAUGUGUUCUCGGAAUGUGGAGCCAAAUGAGAAUACAUACAAUAUAUUGAUCAAGGGGCACUGCAAGGCAAGAAGUAUGAAAGAGGCACAAUAUUUCCACAAUGAAAUGAUAGAGAAGGGUUUCAGACUUACUGCAUCCUCAUACAGUGCUCUUAUAAGAUUGCUGAAUAAAAAGAAGAAAUUUGUUGAGGCAAGAAAACUAUUUCAUGAUAUGAGGAAGGAGGGUUUUACAGCUGAACCAGAUGUAUACAAUUUUUAUAUUGAUUUCAACUUUAAUGAGGACAAUUUGGAGGCAACCCUUGCUCUUUGUGAUGAACUGGUGGAAGCUAGUAUUGUGAAAUCAAAAGCUGAAAUGGAUCAAGAUGUUGUAAAGGACCAUAUACAUUAGGGACAUAAUUUUGGCUGGUUAUGUCAUGCUAGCUUCUUCAGAUUGUGUUUGCAUGCAAUGUGAAUACAUGAUCCAGAGAUAGUACUGUCCCUUUUCACCGUGCGAAAACUGGCAGUUGAGGUAAAAACAGUUUAUUCUAAGUAUUUAAAUUGGUUACAGAUACUAGUUGUGUGUUCCCUGGCAUUUUCUGAUGGUUGAUGAUACUAUCCUUUAAUUGCAGCCUUCAUCAGGUUCAUCCGGAAGAUGUUGAGAUGUGUAGAUAGAAUGCACAUUGUGGAGUUGGUGUGGUUUGCAAGGUAGAAGACAAAAUGCAUUGUGAACUCCGCUUUUCUUUUCAAGUAUUACGUCUGGUCCUUGUUCCUGUGUUUUUCUACAUCAAGUUUAAUGGUUUAUCCAUUUGUUAGUUUGAUACUUGCAGAAUAAAUAUGAAUCAUCUAGAGCAUUGCUAGAUGUGCUUAUUUAUUAUCUCACUCAUAUCCUGCAUCUGACUUCCACUCAUGCCUUGUGUUGCAACUGACACCAUGUUAAGUUAGAGGGGUUUUUGGAUCCAGUGCUUCUUCAGAGCAACUCUUCCAGUGAUACUUCCUGUAAAGAAAUAUAAACUAGAUCUACUUUGCUUGGGUUUAGUCCUUCCCCAGAUUAAGGGUUACUCUACUAAGAUUCACUUUUAGCUAUAUUUUUUUUGGAGUUGCAAUGAACUCACGCUGACCUUUAAUCUGCUGACGUGCAGGACAAGAGGUUUUUUGGUUAAUAAAUUGUCAGGCUGCGAACUAUUGAAUUAGUUGUCUUUACGAGGAGUGAUAAGGGCCUGCGCGUGAUGCCAAUGAGUACAUAACUACGUAUAGGAGGAACAUGGCGAAACCACUGGUGAAACAGAGAGAACUAAAGAAACAAUGAGGCUUAUGCCUGCGAAUGGAAGGAUGAACUAGAAAGAUUUAGUGAACAAGAGUGGAAGGGCAUUGGUUAAGAAGUGAUGUUUGGUCUUCAUUCAGAAUUUUGAGAAAAAUAAAUGCUAUGCUCUGUUUUCAGACAUCAUUCCUUCCUCAAUGUUACAGCACCCAGAUCAGCUUCAUGGUUCACUGACUUGGACCUUCGGUUAUACAUAGGGGAAAUAGAUCAACUGUGGUGUAUCAGAGAACUCAGCUUCUUGGAGAUUCAUAAAGUGGAGCACCGGAUACGGUUAGCUGUUAGAAUUACACAUCACAAUACAGCCAUAUAUGGGAAACAUACAGCUUCAAACGAACAUAUUGAUUUGGACAGAAGAUACAACUGUACUGUAGUCUGUAGGAAUGAAGAUGAAUUCGAAGCUCACUUUUUUUCCAGUGGAUGCAACAUGCAUUCAUUGUUUCUUGCAAUUAAAUUAAAUUUAUUUCAUGGGGAUUCAAGAACUUGGAUUACGACGUUGUGGAAUAUCUCCGUGCGAUGAGUGCAAUGAGUGCUCGAUACUUGUUUAGCUAAAACAUGUGCUAUUUUAUUACAAGAUCUACUAAUAUAAGAAAAAGAGAAAGGCCUGUUUGGUACUACUCGCUUCAUGAGCUGUUGUGAGCUGUUUUUUUUGUCAAACACUUAUUUUCAAAACAGCUUCAUGGGUGAAGUUGUUUUUCCCCCUCCUCUCACAAAGACAUAAGUUAGGAUGAAGCUGAAAAAAAAGUAGCUUAUUGCAGCUCUCUCUUAUUUCUCUCUCAACUAUGCAUGAAGUAGUUUGUGAAGCUAUUUUGCUAAAUAUUUUUUCCAAACACAGCUCAGCUUCAUCUAGAAAGUCACUCAUGAAGCUAUUUUCUAAAAAAACAGCUUUACUAGUGAAGUUGAGCUGUGCCAAACAAGCCCGAAAUCUUAAAAGGCAAGCCUGACAUCAUCAAUCUCCUUAACCCGGAUUAACGGGCGCUAGUUGUCCUAGCUUCUUCCACAGUUUUUUUCUCCAAACUUCUUCCACAGGUUGACAAGCUCGAAACAAUCUUUCCAGCCAUACCUAUUGUAUACCCUAUCGCUUCGCCAACACUAACCCGUCUCAGCACGUUAACACUUUCAUCUGACAAGCAUCGAAACCACGAUCAUCGCCUGUGCAACAGAUCCCGAAUUAUGCUGGCCGUCGCCCCCACUGUGCUUGUUCUCACAUAAGGCGGCAUCAGAAUUGAUUUUAAACCAGCCUCGGGGGGGGGGACCUCAUUAGUCGUUCGCUGCUGAACCGAGUGACAACCUUGUUUAGUUCGCAAAAAUUUUACUUUUUGGCUACUGUAGCACUUUCGCUUUUAUUGUCAUAUUGUCCAAUCAUAGAGUAGCUAUGAUAAUAAGAUUCAUCUCACAAAUUACAGGUAAACUGUACAAUUAGUUUAUAUUUUCGUCUAUAUUUAAUGCUCCAUGCAUGAGACUAAAGAUUUGAUUUGACAUGGAAUCUUGAAAUUUUUUGCAAACUAAAUAAGGCCAAAGCUGCCAAAGAUCAUAAGCUGUAUCCUGUGCCCAAAUAACAGCUUGUUGAAUGGUUAUCGACAGUUCCCCAUGUCUUCUCUUGUUUCACAUCAUCCACAAAGCCCACGACCCGCAAAAUAUCUAUGUCCCAGCGAGAGUAAAUAACCGUUUAUUUUGCUGAUAAGCCAUGAUAGAAAGUACAGCUGAAUGUGUCUAUUCGAGAGGAUAUGUCUUGCCGGCAACAAUUCAUGGAACACUCGCCACCAAAAUACUCAUGUUCUAGAUAAUCUUCCAAAGGCCAUCAGAUGAGGCGCCAAGUUCUUGGUUCUAGUUCUCUUCUUCCUUCUUCUUAAGCAGCAAUUUAUAUGCCGAAAAGAUUUGCCCGGUUUUAGAGUUGAGGGAGAAAAGGCGGAUUUUCGUCAAAAUUGUAAGAGUAAAAGUAGAUUUUUUUCAUUCUCUUAUGACGUGUUUAUUGAAAUAAAUCAGCCCAUGUGAACUUCGGCCGGCCUAGACGCUUCGGCAGGGUAGAAAUGGGCUCAUAGAAAGGCCCAAUCUCCAAGGCUCUCCGCUGCACGCCUGCACUGCACCUAAACCUCGCAAAAGCCCAACCCAAACCCUAGCACCCCGCGAAAGGCAGCCUCCCGCCGGUCACAUGGAUUUCGGUCGCCGGAAGGCGGCGGCGCUGGCUGCGCUCUCCUCGCCGACGCCGGACAAGUCCCCGAAGGGCGGCGUCGACGCCCCUAUCGCCCCGCUCCUCGACGUCCUCAACUCCCACCCGGACCUCUUCACCACCUCCUCCUGCUCCGGCCGCGUCUCCGUCCUCGCGCAGCCUCCGCCGCAGCAUGAGGGCCAGGGCGAUGGCGCCACCAAGCCGAAGAAGAAGGCGCGGGGCGGCGGGUGGGUAUACGUAUCGCACGACCCCGCCGACCCGGACGCCGUGGUGGAGCAGCUGUUCGGCGGGAGCGGGUCGGGAGUGGCGGGGGACGAGCUCGUGUUCAGGUUCGAGCCGAUGAUCGUGGCGGUGGAGUGCAGGGACGCCGCCGCAGCUGCGGCGCUCGUCGCGGCCGCGAUCGGUGCAGGUUUCCGUGAAUCAGGUGAGCUGUGUGAUCUGUGAUUGUAGCGUGCCUCCUUCAAGCCUGUGUUUAGAGUUAUGUUGAGAUGUUGGAUAAGGCUUCGAUUUCCAUGAACAACUCAGCACUGUAUCCUUACCAUCAGUGUUAUUGUACAGUAUUUCAAUACAUGGAGUUGUGGAACGAUUUGUGAAUACUAAUAUCAUUGAUGGCAGGCGCAGGGUUCAUUAUAGUUAGUUUUGCAUAUAUAGUUUUAGAAAAGUAUGUUUUUUGGUUCGUGCUUUUAGUUGAAAUGAUAAAUUGACUCACAAGUGAAGGUUUGUAUGAUGAGAGAUGGAUUCCUUGGAUUGUGUAACGUGUAGUGCUGAGUUCGAUAUGAUGUUUCUUGUCCUUAUUUAUAGGAAUAUCAGAUUAAGUUUGUUUAAAACCGAUUAAUCUGGUUUUCAGGUAUCACAAGCUUGCAGAAACGUGCAAUGGUAGCAAUAAGAUGCUCAAUUCGCAUGGAAGUGCCACUGGGGCAGAUUGACGAACUUGUUGUUUCUCCGGAGUAUGUUCGAUACCUUGUUAGAAUUGCCAACAGUAAAAUGGAGGCAAAUAAAAGGCGAAUGGAUGGAUUUCUGGAUCUCUUCCAGACUAAGGUAUUGAGCUAUGCUUGUCUUACUGUAUUCCAACUUUUUUGUUGGUGUGCAUGACAUACAUGUUCGGAAACUUUGGAUAUUGUGUAAGUCCAAAAAUGUUUCUGCUGAAUGUUCAUUAAGCUGGAGUGGAGAGUAAACUAAGUAUUUCUUUUAUAAGAGAGAAUAAUCUAGGACGUUUCUGUUUAUAAAACUACUUAAUGAGCUGAGUAAGAUUUUUCAACCAGAUGACGAUAGUUACUUCUUGAUUUACGACCACUUGUCAGAUACUACCUCCUAUCUUUUUCAAAUGACACUGGUAUUUCAAAACUGAACUAGCCAGCGUCAUUUUAAAAAGAUCAGAAGGUGUAAGUCUAUCUUCAUUUAUCCAUAGUAUAUGUCCUAAACAUUUGUGUAUUCCCAAAAUUUUUUUACUUUGACCACCAAUUCAUUUACAAAUAUCUUUGUACAUACCACAAUAAUCUAGUUGUUUUCUCAUUCAUGUUGGUUCCAAUCAAAUUGCCAGGGUUUGUCAUACUCAUCAGAGUUGUCAAACAACUGUAAUGGAAGUGGUGGUCAGUCUGUUGAUUAUGAGGCUUCCAUGGGUCCUGAAGUUAAGAUACCAUUAGAUAAAUGUGCCAAAACAAAUGAUGAGUACUUAGUUACAAAAAGGAGAAACGGUGGGCAUAGCUGUGAUGAUGAUGAUACAGGUUCAAUAGAAGCAAGGUAUUUUGGAAAUCAAGACUCUGCAUGGAGCAAGGGUGCCAAGCAUGGUUUUGGUAAUGCUAAACGGCAUGUUCUCUUAUCUCUUUGUCUCAUCUUGUUCCUACUUUUCAUUUUUCUUAGAUUAGCACGUAAAUUUAUUGGUUUGAUGGGCUCUGAAGUGGAUAUUUGAUAUCAUUUGGUUGCUUCAAAGAGGUGCAUCACAGUACAUGGUAGUUUGGCACGUUAGACCCACUAACUUGGUUGUUAAUUGUCUAUGUUGUUUACAUAUGGUGAAUUUUAUAAGCAGUGUUUCCGUAAAUGCUUAAAAGGUGGUCAACUUUGUUUAGCCUUGUUGGACUACACAGCCUAUUAGUCAGAUUACAUGUCCAUUUAAGCGAACACUGGUUUUAGGAAACUUUUUUGUUGAACAUUAGCUGAACUAAGUGAGAAAUUAAAUUCCAUCUGGUUUUGAUUUUUUUUUGUUUUCUUGUAGCAGAUAGGUGAUUGUUUUGAAUUACUAAACCAUGAUUUUCCCUUCACUAUUUAAUGAAUUGAUGGUCCUGCACCUAUUUAGUUGUCGACUCUGUUAUUCCAUAAUUCUGAUAAUGUACUUUUAGUCUUCUUACAAAGUGACUAUCCAGUAGCUCGGAGCCUUCUAUUGAACCCUUUUCAUCUGUUCUGUUGUAUUGUCUGUAGAUUAUUAACGCAGGAGAAGUUGUCAGAAAAGAAAAAUCAUCUCUCUACCACAACAUUGAAGAUUAGUGGUGAACCAAUUGAGAAGCUCUUCCUAUGGGGCCAGUCCUCUUGUGUGUUUACUGUUGGAGAAGAGCAGCAGGUCCUAACUUUUGGUGGUUUUGGAGGACCAGGAAGACAUGCUAGGAGAAACUAUUCCCUUCUGCUCGAUCAUAAAUCUGGUUUUUUGAUAGAAAUGAUCUUCAAAGCAUCUCCUUCACCAAGGAUGGGGCAUACAGUUACUGCAGUUGGUAAUAGCACUUAUCUAAUUGGAGGUAGAGGUGGCCCUUCAGAAAUUCUUGAUGAUGUCUGGGUUUUGCUGAGCACUGGGAAUACAUGGUCAAAAGUGGAGUGCUGUGGAGAUCUGUUCCAACCAAGGUACUGUUUAGAUGAAAUUGUUAUCCCCCUUUGCCCGUGAUCGAUAUUUUAUGGACGUUCUGUCUCUUUAUGCAGGCACCGACAUGCAGCUGCUGCAGUAGCUUCAAAAAUUUAUGUAUUUGGAGGACUCAGUAAUGAAGGCAUAUAUUCUUGUAUGAAUGUAUUGGACACAAAAAAUAUGCAAUGGAGUGUACUUGCUGCUUCAGGCGAAUGGCCAUGUGCUCGACAUUCGCAUUCUAUGGUGUCAUAUGGUACAAAUCUAUUCAUGUUCGGAGGUCAUGAUGGCCAACGGGCGCUGAAGGACUUUUACAGUUUUGAUACAACAACACUUAGGUGGAACAAGGAAAACACAAAUGGGGGAUUUCCGUCACCUAGGUUUUCACACUGCAUGUUCAUCUACAAAAAUUAUCUUGGGAUACUUGGUGGCUGUCCUAUUACAGAAAACAACCAAGAAAUUUCAUUGCUGAACUUAAAGCAUCGAGUCUGGUUUCGUGUUUCCGUUCCAUUACUGAGCCAGUCCCUCUGUGUCCGUAGUUCAUCGGUUGUAAUUAAAGAUGAUCUUGUUAUUUUAGGUGGUGGUGCAUCUUGUUAUGCAUUUGGAACCAAAUUCAGUCAACCAAUAAUUCUUGAUCUGCAUUCAGUGGAGUCUAUGUUUCAAUAUGAUAGGAACAAAGAUGACACAGUUCAAAGUCGUGAUGCAAUAUCUGCUGCUGACUUGCCAAGAGAUGGGCAAAAUGGCAUCUUUGAUCAUGAUACAAAAUCACAAGAUGCUUGUUCUGGUGGUUUGAUGGAUUCAGGCCCUCUGGUUCUUCAACUGGAGAAGACGUAUGCCAAAUUAGCAAAAGACAUUCUGAAAAAGUUUGGAUGGUUGGAUCUUUCUAGAAAAGUUCGAGUGAGCCAUGAUAAUGGCCAUGUUCUUUUUCCUAUUAAAGAAGCUUUCCGAGUCCUAAAUGCUGAAGAGCAUAUCAAGAUGACACAUGAUGUUUCAUCUACCUUUGGGGAAUCAUUAUUGUUUACUGAAAAGAAACUUGUCGUAGACAACCUAUCUCUUAAGGAUGCAUUAAAUAUUUUGUCAUCUUGCAGUGGUUCCUUUAUGAAAGAUGAACUAGCCAUCAGCCGAAAGCCUUCCAAGUCUCCUCAAACCAUCAUGAAAGAACUUGUAUCUUCUCUACUGGAAAGUAAAGGGAUGCCCCCUCAGUUGUUGGAGCAGCUUCCAGCUAGGUUUGUUUCUCUGAUAAAAAUAUCUAUUGUCAUUACAACUAUGGUUGCUCUUGCUUGCUUAAUGUCAUUCUGAUGUAGGUGGGAGACACUUGGUGAUGUCGUCAUACUUCCGAAGACAUGUUUUAAGAAUCCAUUGUGGGAAUCAGUUAGCGAGGAACUUUGGCCACUAGUUGCCAAGUCACUUGGUGCACAACGUCUUGCACGCCAAGUUAGUACUGGAUGAACUCUUUAUUAGUGAACCUAUAACAUCUAUUUGGGCUGCUAUUUCUCUUGAAGUCAAUACCUUGUAUGUUCAUGUGGUCUCCCGUCCUCAAUUGAAUUUCCAUGUUAAGUAUUUUUAUUCUUACAAUUUGUGACUUGGCUUGUGGCAAGCAUUUGGUUACCCUACCAAGCAUUUGUUUCUGUUGGGGAGGCCCUUUUCAAUAUGAUUCAUUCAAUCUGUCCUUUUUUGGCAGGGUAAAAUCAUGCCAAAUGGUACAAGAGAUAGUACACUGGAACUUCUUCUGGGUGAUAAUGGAUGGGUUACCCAUUAUGAAAAUGGCAUCUGCUAUUCACUUGAUGCAACAAAAUGCAUGUUUUCUUCUGGUAAUCGUUCAGAGAAACUUCGCAUGGGACAGCUAAACUGCAGAGAUGAGGUGGUCGUGGAUUUGUUUGCUGGAAUUGGAUACUUUGUUCUUCCGUUUCUUGUGAAGUACAUUCUCUGAUAGCCCUUGGUCAAACACAGAGAUUCUGAUUUUAUUCGCCCCCCCAAAAAAUAUUGUUCUUAAUCUCGUACUCUUGCAGGGCUAAUGCCAAGCUAGUUUAUGCAUGUGAAUGGAAUCCACAUGCUCUGGAGGCUCUUCGGCGCAAUGUUAGUGACAACAGUGUGGAGGAUCGAUGCAUUAUACUUGAAGGAGAUAACCGGGUGACUGCACCCAAAGUGUGUACUGGCAAAUAUCAUCUUUUGGUCUAACACAUGAAUUACGAUGGCUGCUGAUCGUUAUUUCUUACUGGACUUGAAUCAGGGUGUUGCUGAUCGAGUCUGUCUUGGAUUGUUACCCUCAAGUGAAUGUAGCUGGGCCACUGCUGUUGAAGCUUUAAGGUGAUCUGUCUGCAUCACCACCUGAGUUGUUUCGGUUAUGAUAUUUCAUUCUAGGUUUCUUGUAGUGUUCAAAGAAGAUUUUAUAUAGAGAGGUCAACUGCUUAGGUAAGCUUUUGUCUUGGCCUCCUCUAGUUGGACACUCUGAGGUUCUUGUUUCUGUUGUACAAGUAGCUGCAUCCUUCAGUAAUUAUUAAUUAAGAUGAUUUCUUAGUAUUGUUUGAGUUGGUUUUACUAAGGAGUUUGGUUGUAUUAGGGAGUCAGUUUGGAAUGUGCCCAUCUUUUGAAAGUCGUGUGCAAAUCUUUUAGGGUUGAUUAGUUCAUAAUAAUAGGCUAGGUCAGAUUCCACAGGCAUGCACACACAUGCAUUAUACCCUGUUACGGUUAACCAUUACAAUUGUUAUUCUCAACCCUUCUAAUUUCUCUCUUCUACCCCUGUUCUCUUCUCUAAUCACCAACGACAUCCAGGGUUUCAUAUCCCUAUAACAUUAAUUGCAGAGGUGUACACGACAGCAGCAAAAUGUUGUUUCAGAAUAUUCUGAAUGUUCUUUUAAAACUGCUUAUCAACAUAUUGAUCUUAGUAGUGCUAGUCUGACAUCCCAAAGGAAAUCCUGCAAAGUCUUUUUUAGAGAAAAGGUUUCCCCCGCUUUAUUGAACCAACAAAGUGCAAUUGAGUUUACAUUUAGCAGAAUGUAUUGGAGGUGCACCUGCCAAAAUCUGGGAUGCUAAAGAUUCCCUGACUGAAGUUCAUUUCAUGCACAAAGAUCAUUGUAUUGCUAUCAUCCUCCCACUCAUGCUGAGGUAUCAUCUCUCUUGAUAUGGUCAAACUGGAGUUGCUGGAGACCGCCGUCCCAAUCCAUCCAUUUACAUGCUGCCAAAUUUGGUUUGUCUGACACACUGAAAAUGCCUGCACCAUGGUGGAGCACGUUGGGCUGCUUGGUGGAAUUUGUGGUCUCACUUGGAAACAAGUUCUCUAUAAUUUUUGAAUGUGAUGUUGGAAUUUUGUCAAUUUGCUGGAUCCACAACAAACCUCUGAUGUUAACAUUUUACUCUAUUACUAUGUGUAGGAUUGGCGGCGGCAUAUUGCAUAUACAUGGGAAUGUCAAUGACUCUGAUGAGACACGCUGGUUGGACAAUGUUGUUGAAUCCAUCAGUAAUAUCGCCAAAAACCAUGGUAAAAAAUGGUGUGCUUUUAUCUGUUGCGAUGCAUUUUUGCUCUCCAAGAGUUAAAAUUCCAUUUUUAUGCCAUUUGUGUCGCAGGACUAUCUUGGAACGUGUUAGUGGAGCACGUUGAACGUGUCAAAUGGUACGGGCCACAUAUUCGCCACCUUGUAGUUGAUGUUAGAUGCCGGCAAAUCUAACAAAGCAGACGCCACCUUGUAGUUGAUGUUAGAUGCCGGCAAAUCUAACAAAGCAGACGCCUUCAGAGAAUACUUGUGCAGUGCCAGGCCUGGGAUUCUUGGAUAGUUGGAUGCAUAUACAUUAUAGAAUGUAAUGUUCAACAGUUUGCUUCGGUUGUGUUUUGGUCCCAAGUGUAUUCCAUUGCUCCUAGUCAUCAUGGAGCCUCUGUUGUGACCUUGAAAGCAUGUUCAGGUUCUUGAUAACAAUUCGCUACUGCAUAGCUACAGUAAAGUUGUGUUCUUGUACCGAGUACUUUAUGUAUCUUUUUUCUUAUAUAAGAUAAUUUAUUGCGUUGUUUGAACAUUUUAUUACCAGCUUUUGCAUUGGCUGAUGGCACAGCACCCUAGGUAUUGGAUUGAUUCAGUGAUUAUGGACUUAUGGUGAAGCAGGAAAGUCAUCGGGAAGUAAAAAAAAAGUAAAACAAGGCCCAUUAUUUUUUUUGUGAAGGAAAACACGUUUGGGCCUUGUUUAGAUGUGAAAAUUUUUUGGAUUUCGUUACUGUAGCACUUUCGUUUGUUUGUGGUAAAUAUUGUCCAAUCAUAGACUAACUAGUGUCAAAAGAUUCGUCUCGCGAUUUACGGUCAAACUCUGUGAUUAGUUUUUGUUUUCGUCUAUAUUUAAUGAUUUAUGCAUGUGCUGUAAGAUUCGAUGUGACAGUGAAUAUUGAAAACUUUUUGGUUUUCAGGGUUAACUAAAUAAGGCCUGGUAUGUAUUGGCCGAAUAUCUGGGCACAUUAUAAGCAUUAACCGGACGUAUUUGCUGACCACAUUCCACGGUAAUAAAGUCAUCAAUUUUAAAACAAUGCAGAGGCUGCACAGAGUUUACUUGCACGGUGAAGUGGUGAACUGCUAAUGACCAUGGGAAGGGAAGGGGAGGGGGAGGUGAGAUAACGAUGUCAUAGUUUGACCGACAAGCGAGGUGCACCCGUUCUAUAUCCAAAAAACAGAUGGAUUUAUCACAUUUUACCUCGCUUUUUAACCAAAAUGGCCACAAGAGUCACGCACAAGAAAUACCAUGGAUUUAAUGUACCUGGAUUUCUCCUUUGAAGAAGUUCUUGUUGCAUACCAAACACCUCGGAACUCAAUGUUCUUAUUUCCCAAUACUAUGGUAGAAACUACAAUUCCCUUAAAACUAAAAAAACAUUCAAAUAGGCUCCUAGCGCACAAAAAUUAUAUAUAUUUGUAUCUUAUUUCAUGCUAUAUUGCCUUAUUAUACCUAGAAAUAAUAUAUUUUGCAGUAAUAUAGUCCAAUUUCUUUUUUGAAUAUAUAAUCAAAUGAGGUGAGAAAUUAGACCACUAAAGAAAUUUUAGUAGCAGAACUAGUAAGCAAUCUUGGUUACGUAAUUGAAAAUAGACCUUUUUCCUAUUACUAAUUACCCAACUGAAAACUAGAUUUUAACCGUACAAAGUGAGAGGCAAAAAUGCAGUUUUUAUUAGAUGUACUUACAUAAACAAACUUACAAAAGGAAGGGACGUUCAAGAUACUACAAUGCAACAAACACGAGCAAAAAAGAAAAAGAUAUACACAAUCAUCUGUCAACAAUGCAAAAGCAACGCCCAUUGUAAGCUUUAUCCGGCUACCAAGUACCAAACAUGAAGAAAAAAGAGUGAAGAACAGUAACUAAUGGUACACCAUUUCUACUAAGGGAACAGGCUACUUGAGCCUCAUUGGCUGCUGCAUCCCUCCUCUCAUCAUUGCGCAAAACUCCUCAUAGUUAAUCCUCCCAUCCUGUGGCAGGCAAAUGACCAGCAUCAAGAAGAUGAAAAGAAUAAACAAAACACAGCUGAAAAGACAAUGGCGUGAAGAGCUUACAUUGUCCGUGUCAACUUCUGAUAUGAUCUCCUUUAUUGUACUCGUGUCGCCCAUCUCAUGCUCGAUCAAAGCAGAUUCCAGUUCAUCUCUUGUGAUGAAGCUGCAUAAAAUCAAAGUAAUCUCCAUGUUAGACAAAAAACAGUUUUUUCUGCUUUUGAGAAAACAAAAAUAGUUUAUGCAUGAGACAUACUUUGGAAGAAAGUCAGUGCCAGGGGUUGAGUAUUUCUUUUACAUAAUCGAUAGUGUAGACAUGUUUUCAUGGGAUAACAAGUGUGGCGUGUUAUGCUAGCAUUUGAGAUAUCAAUUUGAAGUACUCACCCACUGUUGUCUUUAUCGAAGUACUGGAAUGCCUUAAACAAAUGCUCGUCUCUUUCGAGCUUGUGUCUAUGCAUUGUGGCAGUGAUGAACUCAACAUAGUCAAUGGAUCCAUUCCCAUCAACAUCAGCCUGGAAUAGGUCAAAAGGUAAGCAUGUCAGUCAAGAACAUGAUUCUAAUAAUGGUACUGUAAUAUAGAUUAUAGAUUAGAACAUACAGCCUCCAUCAACUGUUUUACUUCAGCUUCUGACAGCUUUGAUCCAAGUUUGGCUAAUCCUACUUUGAGUUCUUCAUAUGUGAUUGUGCCACUAUUGUCUGUGUCCAUGUUCAUGAACAUUUGCUUUAACCCCUUGAUCUCUUCCUCGUUAAGGUUUGAAGCAAUAACCUGCACAUAUAUUUACUAAAAAUCAUUAGAUAAAGAAAAACUAGCCAAUUUGGGCUAUUAUUAUAUUAUGAAGACAAUAACCUUUAGGGCCAUUUUUUUCAGCUUAUUCAUUGCUCUGAACUGUUUCAUUCUAGAAAGAACAGCACUGUCGAUAGGCUUAUCAGAUGCGUCCCCACCUUCUCUGAGCCAUGGAUGUUCUGAUCGAGCAUUUCAUACACAUAUUAUUAUUAUUUAAAAAAAGUUCUAUCUUCGAAUAUUUGGAAUUAUUAAUUCAUGAGAAGCUUACGAAGAACUUGAGCUGAAGUCAGUCUUUUCUUUGGAUCUCGUGUCAACAUCUUUCUAACCAAGUCUUUAGCACUCUCAGAAAUUGAUGGCCAAGGUUGACUUUCAAAGUCAAUCUCCUCACGCAGAAUAGCAUCAAAUAUCCCCUUUUCAGUUUCUACACAGCAAAAACCGAGGAUAAACAACAACAAAAAAAAAGGACAAUGUUGCUGCUUAAUAGUAUGCAUUAGUUCAAAAGUUGAAGUAGUUCUCAGAGGUCAAUAUACCAGCCCAAAAUGGAGGCACGCCACUGAGAAGAAUGUACAAAAUAACACCUGCACUCCAAACAUCUAUCUCUUUUCCAUAGCUGCGCCUAAGGACUUCAGGAGCAACAUAAUAAGCACUCCCAACAAUGUCCCUGUACAUCUUUCCUGUUAUACAGUGCAAAGAUAAUGAGACUCCAAGCCUGGAAAUUUAGGAUCUAAUCUAAUGGUAUCAAUCACAAACAAGUUACUACAGUUUAUGACAGCAAGUUCUCUUUUAUUAGGAAUCAUAGAAAAAAAAAUAUACUGGGGAUGACUGAUGAAAAUGUACGAGGAAAAAAAACAGAAGAAUGGUUUGCCUCCACCCACCCACACACAAAAUAAGCAAUAGUCAUAUUCUGCAAUUGCUAUUACUGCCCACAACAAUAUUAAUAUAUAUCUCAGGUAUAAGAAUUGCCACUAAGAGGGCAAUAAAAUGAUAUAGGGUUUCAUAUCUUAAUGUGAUUACGACCGGGUUUCAACCAGUCAAACAUAAAAAGCCAUUGAGAUAUCAUUACUGCUGGUUUCCCACUACUAACUGACAUAGAAACAGAUGCUAGUAAUUAAUUCCUUUGGAUCUGAACAGGUCCAGUUAGUAGUCUAGCUAAUUGUUAGCUGAAUACCCAACUAUUGACUAUCUCACUAGUCUGGCCAAACCAGCUAAUAGUUAGCUAGCUACUAUUAGCUAUGAGCUAUUAGCAGCCAAUGGAUCCAAACAGGGCCUAACUGAUGUAGAAACAGCUGUACAGUUUUCAGUGCUUUUCCCCUCAAAAGUGAACAUCAAAGACCACUAGUUUUUGGCUGGUUCUCUAUGGAGAUACGCAGGAGCGAAAGCUUUUCAAGUUACUAAAGUAUUAUGUCAUGUUAUACAGUAUACACUUUGAAGUGACAAAAAAAAAUGCCUGAACAUGUCCAAAGAUUCGAGUUUCCCCAAUUGCUUGGAUUAAGAAGCACCAUAUGUUCCCAUAACCCAAAAUCAGAUAACAUAUGGAAUACUACUCAGCAGGGUCAUUCGCAAAUAUGAUAAAAGAUAAAUUGAUAAUUACAACCAACCAUGAACCUCAACAGAUCAAAUAUAUGUUUAACUGCUAUUUAUAUUCAGCUAACAAUGCAAUACCAAGUGUCCACAGAGCAUAAUAUUCACAUUACCUUCUUCAAUGAAGACAGAAAGCCCAAAAUCAGUGGCCUUGAGCAUUGCAUUCUCCUCCUUGGUCGCAAGCAAGAAGUUUUCAGGUUUCAGAUCACGAUGCAUCACACCCAUGAAGUGGCAAAUGUUGACAACAUUCACAACUGCUCUGCAGAUUGUCGCAGCUGCACGUUCUGUGUAGUGCCCCUUUGCAAUGAUGCGAUCGAAGAGCUCCCCGCCUGCACAGAGCUCCAUCACCACAUGGACAUUGCUCUUGUCCUCGUAUGCUCCCCGGAACUCGACAAUGUUUGGCUGUCCAGACAGAUGCUGCAUGAUCUGGAUCUCCCUUCGAAUGUCCUCCCUGUCUGCCUUGCUGGUGAGCUUGCGCUUGGAGAUGGACUUGCAGGCGUACUGCCUACCAGUGGCAAUCUCUGUACAGAGGUAUGUCACCCCAAACUGGCCCCGGCCAAGCUCCUUCCCGAGGGAGUAGACAGAGCGCACGUCCUCGUACUGCUUGCCAAGAAUCGUGUCCGCCGUUGGCUUCGGUGGCACAGUCACAGGUGGGACUACCGGUGCGUUCAUCGCCGGCGGCGUGUACCUCACCUCGGCCGCCUGCUGAGGAAGGUUGUAACUCGGAGGUGCUUGCGCUGGCUUUGCCUGGUUAGAGUAGCCAUAACCAUUGGUGCCUCCCCGUCCAGAGUCCGGGGCCGUCGCUCUGCUGCAACACUGCCCCAUUUCUCUAGUCAAAUUAUUCCUUCCAGCUCUAAGCCUGCAACCCGACUGAUGGGUUGGUGAGACAAAUCAAGAACAAGAACUGAACCUGCAGGAAAAUCCCAAGGAGUAGAACACUUGUGUUAAGAAAAAGCAAGGAACGUUUAUAUUGGAAUUCACAAGCUGAUGAUUCAAGACACGGUAUCCAAAACUGGAUCUGCAAGCAAAACCCAGACAACAGGACAAAAGAAACAACUCUAAUCCCCAAACAGAGUCACAUCGUAACAUGCCUCUGGAUCCAGGAAGGAAGAGAUGCUGCAUAGUGAAAGAAGAAAAAGUUUCCAACCUCAGAGCCCGCAAAGCAACCGCCUCUCUACCGAUCUAGAGCUGAAGAACUCGCGUUUCCUUUUCAGGAAGAGGCGCUGCGGAGGCUAAGGAAUCGGGUGUGAGACAAAUCUUGGAGUUGGAGAGAGGACAGAGCAAGAACAGCUCGGCCAGGCGACCACGGGGAGUGGAUUGGAGGUGGUGGCCACCGCAAUUGGCGCCCCGCCUCGAUCGUGACAGCGACUAAUCCACACGGGGUCCGGAGCUAAAGAUCCCGCGGGUCGAAUUUUCUCAAAGAAAAAAGGUUGACAGGGGGGAAGAAACGGCGACGGCGCGUUUUUGGAGAAAAAGCCUCAAGCUUUGCUUUGCUGUCAGCUUGUUUUAGUUGCCUAGCUUUACCGGAAGAUAAGGCAAAUGGAGUGGCAGUUUUGCGAAAGAAACCUCUUGUGUUUUCUGUAUUAGUAAUAAUUAUAUAGGGAAGGGAUCUACGUGUCUGAUUACACAAUUACAAAUAUUAAACAGUUUAAACACGUGUUUUCAAGAAAAAUAUAUUCAUUUUCCCUUUCAAAUUAUUUCAAUGAGCAAAACAUAUGUGGAGCGCUUAUAGGAAUGAGUGCGCUCCACAUAUGCUGACAGAUCUCGAAAUUGAGAAAAAUAAUUAGGAUAUACUUUGUCGUCCAUGAACAUAUCAUCAUUACUAAAAGGUUAGUACUAUUAAAUCAUAAGAUAAAUCUAAAAAACAUGAAUACCUACACCAAAAAUCUAGAACUUAAAGGUAUUAUACUCUAUGGCCUUGUUUAGUUCCUAAAAAAUUUUACAAAAUUUUUCAGAUUUCCCGUUACAUCAAAUCUUUAGACACAUGUAUGAAGUAUUAAAUAUAGACGAAAAUAAAAACUAAUUGAACAGUUUGGUCGGAAUUGACGAGACGAAUCUUUUAAGUCUAGUUAGUACAUGAUUAAAUAAUAUUUGUCAAAUACAAACGAAAUUGGUACUAUUCAUAUUUUACAAAAUUUUUGGAACUAAACAAGGCCUAUAUAAUAAUUUCUCAUUUUGCCAUCAUUACUAAAAGAUUAGUAUUAUUAAAUUCUAAGAUAAAUCUAAAGAACAUGAAUACCUACACCAAUCUAGAACUUAAAGGUAUUAUACUCUAUAUAAUAAUUUUUCAUUUUGCCAAUUGCUUCCGGGGCAUCAAUGGUGGCUAGAUUACUACUCGAGCCAUUUCACAGCAAGGGUGGAUCUAUACUCAUUGCAGUGGGUGCCGCACCAUGCAAAAAUUUUUAAAACAAUAAUAAAAACUAAUUUUUCAUCAUAUUUACACACCACAUGUCAUAAGCCUUACGUCAUAAGAUAAGGCCCCGUUUGGAUCCUCCAGGGAUUAUAAGAAUCUAGAUAGUAGAUACUCUAUCUGUCUCAAAAUAGAUGACCUUAUAGCAUUCAAAAUUUAUCUUUAGUACUUGACAUUCACACUUCCUAAUGCACAUUUCUCUUUUUUUUUUCAAUAUACUUUUCUCUUUUCCAAUACAUCUCUAUCUUUGCUUCUUAGGGCUUCCCCAACGCGACAGCAUGGAGUGCUGCCCCGAACUCCACGUCUGCAUUAAACUUCCAAGUCACUAAGGCUGGUAGCCUCGCAGAGGUGCAGAGUCUCUUACAGAAGCUCCAAUAGCCUCAACUGACACAGAGCAGAAGCACUACUUCCUACGGAGAGCUUUGGGUGCAGAGAGCAUGACAAGCUUUUAGCUCUGCAAGAGCAGUAGAGACAUCAGCACCGUGAUAAAUGGAGUGUUGCUUCGUUUCAUCUCUUGCAUAGGUGGAAGACUACUUUUAUAUGAGGCUAACGAUUCCAUCUGCUUGCGCUGGGGAAGCCCUUAAGGAUGUUUUAGACUUUUGGCUUCAACGUUGGUUGGCGUGAGAGGUUGUAAAUCGUCAUCUAAUAUUGGAUGGAGAGAGUAGUGAUUUUGAGAAUCUUGAUUUUCCCAGAUUACACUAUGGAUAGUGGAUGCAUUGUGCAAGUUAAUUACUAAAAUACCCUUCAAAUGGUUCCGUGGAUAAGGUUGAAGCGAGACAAAAUUGUCAGUUCCACCCAAUAUUUCCCAAGAAGCUCAUACAAAAGGAUAUUGGACUAUGCCUUGGAUUUCUCAAACACGUACCAAAAUCCCCUAGAAGCCUUUUUGUUUGGAUGGCGCACUAUAAAUCCUAUCGGGAUCUAAACAAUGUACACCUUUUCGGAUUUGCCCUAGUUUGUUUCGUCGUUAUUAGCCCCUGAUUCACCGUCAUUGUCAACAUUUUCACUUUCAGCCGUUAAUCUCUGAAUUUGAAGUUGAGGAAAACCUCGAGUAACAAAAGGAAUUAAUAAAUAUACAAUAAGCAGGUGGUCUUUUAUGCUGGUUGUACGUAGCAGAACAUUCUUGGACUUCCUUUUUAAUUUGUUCCUCCCGCGUUGUUUUUCUACGCGCUUUCAGAAUCUAACUGUCGUAGUAUCGUCGUGGGUAAACUAUACUCUGACAGCUGUGAGAUUAAGGAUAAAUAAUUAAUUACGUGGGCAUCUUGUUUACGAUUAGUUGUACAUACGUGCGUGACUGUAAGCUUUGAUAAUCUAAAUUAACGGACUGUGUUAGUUGACUAGGUAUAUUUGUCUUAUGUUCACGCAGAAAUUCUUGAUGGCCAAUGUUUUUGCUUGUUAGCACGACGAGGUAGACGUGCAACGGUGCAAAGCAGGAAAUCUCUCUCUCUCUCUCUCCGAAGACCAUAGACCAUGCAUGUUUUUCCUUUUCCUUUUCCUUUUUAAAAAUAUGGAUAUCAUCGUUAUACUUAUAUAUAAGCGCACGCUGUAUGAAAAAUUGAAAAUAUAUAGUCAAACAGUAAGAGCUAAGAGUCAUCUGUGUCAUCAGAUACACCUUCGGUAAACCAGCUAGCAUGCCCUCCAAAUAUAACAUGUUUACAUGUGUCAUCAGCAACACCUUCAGUUUUUUAGAUAUUUAUGAAAAAAUCUAAUAAACUUACAUGUUGAUAAAUAUAUGUAUCAAAAUAUUUAUCUAUGCUUUAUUGGAUUUUUAUCAUAAAAAGAAGUUCUAAAAUUAUCAUAAAUUAAACUUUGGUAACAAAUAAAAAUAUAACCUAUCUCAUCGAUAUGCACAACUUUGAUUUAGGUUAUUUCUUUAUCCAAGAUCGUUCAAACAAUUCAAAACUUUUAAAUUUUAAAACAUGAGAACUUCAAAUAGAAUUUUAGGACAGUAAAUAAUUUCAAAUAAAACAGCCAUCAACUACAAAGUCAAAAAGAUCUAUAAAUUUAGUUUUAGUAUUUCUCCAUCCGAGUUUGUUUGAUCAAAAUAAAAAACAAAUUUCAAAAUAUGAUAACUUCAAAAGAUUUUUGGGAUGGUAAAUGAUUUUAAAUAAAAAAGUCAUUGCCUACAAAAUUGCAUAUCUCGUCGAUAUAUACAAGUUUGAUUUUGUUCAUUCCAUCCAAAUUCUUGCAAACAAUUCAAAACCUUUGAAUUUCAAAUAACAUAAUUUUAGGUCCAUAAAUGAUUUUAAUUAAAGAAAUAUCAACUACAAAGUUGUAUAUCAUAUCGAGAUUUACAAGUUUGGUUUUGGUUAUUUCACCAUUCAAGCUUGUUCUAAUAACUUUAAAAAUAAACUUUAAAAUAUGAUAACUUUAAACAAAAUUUUGGGAUUGUAAACGAUUUCAAAUAAAGAAGACAUCAACUACAAAGUUGUUUACCUCAUCGAGAUCUAUUAUUUUUGUUUUGAUCAUUUCUUCAUCCAAAUUCAGUCCAAUAAUUCAAAAUUUUGAAUUUUAAAAUAUAAGAAAUUCAAACAUAUAGAUUAUAUUUUAAAUAAUUUUAGAUUCAUAUUUACAACAAAAAAAUCCAAUAUAUCAAAAACUAAACUACUUAAUUAAGUCCAUUUUUGGCCCAUCAACUCUUGCCUUUGUCAAACUCAUGAGUGGUUUUGAGAUGGCUUUGUGGUCAAAAUCAAACACUUUGGUAGUUGAUGUGCUAAAGUUCGAUGGCUUUUAAGAGAAAGGCAAGAGUUAAUGGGCCAAAAAUAGACUUAAUCCAUUUUCUUUUGAGAGUUGCAGACGUGUAAUGGAUCUUACUCUGCCUCCAUAUAUAGCUUAAUCAUGUGGUAUAUCAUAGUGUGUGUUUGACAUAGCUCCUCGCUCAGUAGCUCAUCCACUGAAAAUGAAGGGAGGAGCCUCAUAUUGUAUCUCCUCCAUACACUAAAAACAGUCCCAAUUUCUCUUAUGUACCACCAAAAAUGGCUCCUCUUUAGACUUUUGGUACGGCUCCUUUAUCAAAGCUGUCAUCAGAGCCACACCAAAUAUGGCCGUAUUGUCUCUAGACAUCCAUGACAACUCAUCUUUCAUCAAAGUUAUCAUCGUGUGACCUCUCAAGAGCUCACCACCUUCAAAUUCCACAUUUCCACCAUUGUUAGCUAUAAUGCCCACCUUCACACUAAUGCAUCGUGAAAGAGGGUCUACUAUGCUAGCACAAACAAAAAUUACUACUGCCUCUAUCAGGGGCGAAUCUAGGAUAUUAUGCCACUGGGGUCAAGGACUAAACAACGGGGUCAAACACAUGUUAAUUCUCUAUUUAAAAGAAUAAUUUGCAGGUCGAUUAAAGAGCUUUAACUAAAUUUCUGGCAAGUUAUCGGGGUCAGCUGACCCCAAUGAAUACACAUAGAUUAUUAUUGUAGUUGGAGGCACAUUACAAUAGAGGAAGAACACAUCUACAAUAUCCACAUAUUCAUACGAUAGAAAGAAUGUCGUGCACCGAUAUGCUACUACUAUAGUGCACAACUGGCUAGGGUUCUAUGGGUCACUUCCAAGUUAGGAAGGAGCACCAAGUAAAUGACAGAUUAUAGUUCUUUAAAUAUUUGCUAGUUUUUAUUUAUUUCAUGAAUAGUUUACAUUUACAUUUCACUAUUUGUACCUUUAUAUUACUCGUCAGUAGUGUAAACUAUUUAAUGGACUGGACUUCCUUUUUUCUCGAAAAACAGACAUCCAACUGAGUCCUAGCUCCACCAUAGCUUUUCUACGUACUACCUCGAUCUACAAAGGAUGCAAUUCGCAGGAGUUAAACCAAUUUAAAAUUUAAUCAAAGUAAUUAUAUAUAAAAUGCUAACAUUUAUCAUACAAAAUGUACCAUUAAAUUAGGUAUGAAAUAUAGUUUUGUAAGAACAGAGAGAGUAUCAUAUUACAUAAAUGCUUAGUAAAUGAUUUUUAUAUAUAAUAACUUUGAUAUAGCCAUUUUAAAACGUCAGCAUUUUUUGACAUAUUUUUUUUUGUCACGAUAAUAACACGUACAACUUUAAUCCUCUUCGAUAUAGCCAUGGUAUAUAAUAUAUCACGUUUUAUACCUUUUUCUCUUUUAGCCAAGAGGGUGCGCGGUCACUAAAACUAGAAGUUAGAAUGGCCACGUCCGAGCGUGGCAUCAUGGCUGCUGUUCCUAGUGGGAGUAGAGACGAGUAGAGACAAAAAAAAAAAAAGGUGCUGUUAGGGACUUUAGGCCUUGUUUAGUUCGCAAAAUUUUUUGUUUUUGGGUACUGUAACAUUUCGUUUUUAUUUGACAAACAUUGUCCAAUCAUGGAGUAACUAGGCUCAAAAGAUUCAUCUCGCAAAUUACAGGUAAACUGUGUAGUUAGUUUUUAUUUUUGUCUAUAUUUAAUGCUCUAUGCAUGCGACCAAAGAUUCGAUGUGACGGGGAAUCUUGAAAAUUUUUGCGAACUAAACAAGGCCUUAGGUGGAGGGGCGUUGGGUAGUGGCGAUGACGCGACAAAAGACCGCGAUUUGGACGUUGGUGUGGUGACGCCCACAUGCCGGAUGGGAUGAUGUUGUUUACUCGGCGGCCACGACGAGGAUUUGACGAUGAUGGGGACGGAUGGGAGCCAGGAAUAAACGAACAAUAAAACAACCUACACAAUGUAUAAAUUUCAUCUUGAUGUUUUUAAGGCUGGACAAAACAUUUAAUUACUGUAAAAUGAUUGGAUCACAUGCAAGAUGGUGAAACGAUUUAGUUCUCAGUGGGGAUUUCAUCAUGUUUCACCGCGUGGGAAACAACGCCAGCGGAGUUUCACCAUGGUGAAACUACUUCCUUCUCUCUCCUCUUCGUUUCAUGCAAAAAGUACAGUUUUACUGACAUGACGCUCUAAUAAAUAUGCAUAACAUCCUGGUAAAACUACACUGGCCUAGUAUCUCCAACGAACUCAACCGGCGGAGGAGCUCGAUGAUUAUCGAAGUGCCACUAGGCCCACCCAUCAAUGCGCAUUGAGCGGCCUGUGGCAUAAAUGAUCAUUGGAUCUGUUUCCAUAUCUGUCAUAUGCUGAGAUAUAGGACUGAUGACGCCGUUCUUAGAGUGACUCCAGUCUAUUACUAUUGUGUGGAGAUUAUUUUAAAAUUUGUAUAAUAAAAAAACAAAAUAUGCUAUCUAACUUUAUAGAACUGAAAGCGGAUUGAUUUUUAAUUUUCGAUAACCAUAUAUAGAUAACUACGGGUGUUUGCUAUAGCAAAACUGUUGUUGAUCUUUUUUGAAAAGAAAUCUAUUUUACAAAAAUAAUUAAAUAAUAAAAUUUGACUACUAAUUUUAGUUAAGCUAUAGGAGUUAAACGUACAUAUUUCUCAAUCAGAAGAUAAUAGGACCUGUCAAAGUAUUUUUUUAAAAAAAAAGGUGUGCUCGUAAGAAUAGAUUGUGCAUAUUCAUAGGAUAAUUGUACGUGUAUGUGAGCGUUUUCGAUGGGUCUCGGAAAAAAAAUAUCAGUAUCACUCCUUGACUCGUUCACUGAAACCCACAUCUACAGCUCGAUACGUGUGAGCGUAGGAUAAGUGAAUGAAAGGACCACACUGUUCUGUUUUAUACUACGAUUGCUACUGUGCAACGUAUCCAGUCACACAGGCAGUGUGUCUGUGUGUGUGUUUCUAACUUGGGUUAUAUUUUAUUUUAUCUAUAGUACGAUUGUCCAGUUCUCACCUUCAGAUAAUGGCUUUGUUUACUGGUCAUCAACAAGCGACGUGCGGCGCAUCAGGCUCACAGGCUCGCUUCUGUGGCACAAUCUGGUGCGAGGGAGGGACUGGAUUCCAAUUAGUAGCGGCAUAGCAUCGGAGCGCGUGAAUCUGCUGCUUCAUUAGAUAUGAUGCCGUGGUUACAUAUACACUGCUUGAUUACAUGCUCUCUCAAAAUACAACUCCAACGAUUACUUUUCGAUCCAGUAAUAAUUUACAGUAAAACUUAUAUAUGAACAACAUUCCAGAUCAAAUAUUACAGCUACGACAAAAGUCAGAUCAAGUAUUAUAGCUACGACAAAAGUCUAACUGUUCUCUCAGAUCUGUUCAAAACGUGUGGGUAUUUUAGCUAAAACGGUUUUGUUUGUUUAUAUCAGAGGGUCUGUGCAUCCAAAGUCGGUCGACAAAAGAGUAGGAGGCACCAAAUACUUUACACCGCACCGCAUUGUCUUUGAAAAAAAAAAUGUCCGCACAUGUGACCGCAGAUUCUAAAAAGAUUUGCGACCUUCAGGAUCGAGUUGUCAUCGUUGAGAAAAACCGCAGCAUCUCAGUCGAUCAACAACCAUACCAUUGUGACGCCAACAAACCAGACCAAAAAAGAGCCGACAUCAUAACCUGAGCAGUUGUCGUCGACGUAGUACGCACAUUGUCAUUGUAUAGCUCACCUAAAAAGAAACACACUGGCAUGCAUCCAAGCUCAAUUUCCAUGCCACUAAUAUUGUGCCAAUAGACAGACAGCUCUAGAUUCAAGAAUACAGGAUGGAAAACCAUGUCAGCGGGAAAAAAAAAUACAUCACCAACAGAUGGGGGCAUAGGUGUCGUGUGGCAACCAUAAUUAAGCAUCAUCUGGAAUCCGAAACACAAACUAUAGGACAUGUUCCAAAUCCUCAUUCAGAGGAUGCAAACAUUGAAAAGCUACUAAUAUGUAGAUUAUUGAACUACUAACAUAACCCUCAGCAUCACAAAGCUUGUUGAGUCUCCCGGAAUCGGUUCAUGGCAUCAGUGAGCGCGAGACGAAGGUGAAGAAGAGAACUGACAGCUCACGAACAGGCACGUAUCACAUUUCAUGUGUAGAGGUUGCAGACACUAAAAGGUACCACUAAGUCCCUCUUAUCAGCAGCAGGGCCCUGAAACAAGCUAAGGUGUGACGUUACAUCUUAUUCUUGCAAUAACUGUCAGCAAGGAAGUGCAUUAUUUAUUACUCUUACUCCUAGUACAGCAUCAAAAGCCAGGUUCGGAUGAACUUUGACAUGUACCGAGUAUGUCAUACCGAUAGUAACUUUUUCCUGAAUGAUAAAAUCUGUGCAAGGUUAAGCAAUGAGAUCCCCCUCCAACAAUGGUGUGCGGAGGCCCACAAGGCAGAAGAUUCACCAUGCAGGUGCCUUUGACUUCUCCACAAGAAUGAUCCUCCCAUUCCACUCAGUCUCGUCACAAGCACGGAUUGCUGCAUCAGCAUCCUCAUCCUUCUCCAAGGAUAAGAAUCCAAAGCCACGGGAAUCUCCAGUUCUAUAAAGAAUGGAAACAGUACUGAGUAACUUCAUUCUAUCCAAGUGAUGUAUCUGAGUACAACAUCAACAUGAUUGGUUCAAAAAAGUUACUGCAUGCUGGGAACUAAUUGGAUAAUGUAGGGGAAAACAGUGAAAUUCCCUCACACAAUGCUGAAAGUAAUACCAAACCUCUAGAAAAUGCAGUAGUAGCUUUCUUAUAGUUGAUCUGUAAAGAGUAUAAGCCAGGCAAAUUCCUAUGACUGAUUGCUUCAGGUUUAUUACUGAUUUGACAGGAUAAAUUUAGCUAAUUAAGGUUUUGCAGUGCAAUGAUAAGCAGUUUGAAAAUUUCCCAUUGCCAGGCCAACUCCACUUUUCAUUUUAAUUGCUUUGAGUUAUGUAUAACAAAGGCUAUUCAGUUGCAAUUUGCUCUGACGUAUCGACUUAAAAGCCCAGUACUUUGUAUAAUUUCACCAAAAAAAGAAGGUGUGGUUUCUUUUAAGUUUUACUUUUAGCCAAGAUUCUGUUAUUUAGGAGUCAACAUGCCAAACUUAGGUGCAAUGAAGUAUAGACAUUAGAUUGCCUACCAAAAUGUACGAGCAUCUUAUUCUAGACUUAUAGAAGAAUGUAGUUUAAAUAAACUACGCUAUCUAAUAGAUUAAUUCUGGAACAGCUUCACAAAUCAACCAAAAAGCAUUCUAUUCAAAUUUGCAAAAGCAUAAAAAAUCAUAACUGUUUAAAUAAAAAAACAUAAACAAAAGACGAGCAAAAGGUCUUGUCCAAUGAUGGCACUGCACUAUGAAAGAAAGGAUACUAAAAGUGCUGAAACCAGAAGAGUUGCAAAAAAGAUCGUUGACAACAUUACCAAGGAAGCUGGGAGAUACAAAUUUAGCAUAAUAUGGAAGUAAUUACCGUUUAUCACGAACAACACGUGCACUUGUUACACGUCCAAACUUGCCAAAUUUCUUCUCCAAAUCUCGCUCAGUGGUGGCAUAGCUAAAUCCUGCAAUAAAGAGAUUCUUUCCAGGCUUACCCAAUCCAGUCUUCCUGUUGGCAGGUGGUGACCAAUGUCUUCUUGGUGAACGAUGGCGAUGACUAGUUGGGGGUGAUCUGCGCCUUGGCGAAUGCCUUCUACAGUACAAAAAUAAAUAGAAGAGAAUAAAAUAACAGGCAGAAAAAUGAUGCUGCAGACGCCAAAUAAAUAGUCCUACAAUAGAAGUAUACAUGAUACAAAAACGACCUAUUCAAGGAUGCAUGUCCAGACUCCAGACAGUAUCUAAUCAUAAAUCCAGUAUGUUGAAAAACAUGAACCUGGCACGGUCAUUUAAAGGAAUUCAUAAUUUCAGCAGCCUUACUGCCUUAUAGUUACUAAUGGCAAGGAAUCACCUUGGAGAUCGCCUGUGAUGAUCCCUCGAGUGGGGAGACCUGGACCGAGAUCUAUCAUGUUCUUUUCUAUGUCUAGAGGUAUCAUGUUUUCUUGAAGGUGACCUUGAUUUUGACCUAUCCCUCCUCCUUGGGGAAUCCCUCCUUUUUGGUGAGUCUCUCCUCCUUGGUGAGUCUCUCCUCCUUGGUGAGUCUCUCCUCCUUGGUGAAUCUCUCUUCCUUGGUGACUCCCUCCUCCUAGGUGAGUGCCUCCUCCUAGGUGAGUCUCCCCUUCUUGGUGAUUCCCUCCUCUUGUGUGAGGACCUUCGAGGGGAUAUAGAUCUUCUUCGAGGGGGUGUAGAUCUUCUUCGAGGAGAUGCAGAUCUUUGUCGAGGCGACACAUCACCAUGUCGAGACUCUCUCCGUCUUUUCCUUUCUACAGGAGAACUAUGUCGCGCGUGUGGAGAUAACUCCCUUGACGAGGCUCUUUUGCGGCUGGGGUCAUGUUUUUCAGAAGAUCGGGACCGAUGUCUUAUCGAUGGGCUUUCAGAAUGAGCUAACUCACCAACAUCUUUGGCACGAUAUUGUGACUCCAUCUUCUCAGAUUGAUGGGCAUGUGAACCUUCAACUGGAGGAGAUAUCCUCCCGUCUGGAGAUGGGGUAUCCCUUUCCAGUCUUGCAAACCUUUCAGGGGAUACUCUCCCAUCUGGAGAUGGUGUGUCCCUUUCCAGUCUUGCAAACCUGUCCGGUGGAGAAUCAAAUUGAUUGUCUGGAGUUGAACUUCCAUUUCUAGUACCAGGAUUUUUCUGCUCUGUCUGUUCCCAAGAAGGAGGUACAGCUGAAGUGUUAAACUUCUCAUUGUCUCGACCAUUAAUGGGGAAAGGUUUCCUACCAUUCAUUUGAUCAUCCUCUGACCCACUGUUUUCAUUGUGAGAAGUCUCAUGUAACUUUUCCAUCUCCUCAUUUUCCAUCUGAAGCGCAGGAGAGUUUGGAAUAUCAUCAGCAGGAGCCCCACUAUUGUUAAGCUGGUAACCCUUACUACUAUUUUCAGUUAACAAAGAGUCACCAUGGUAGGCAUCAGAAUAUGUAGUUUCUGGUUGAAAGUUUGAUAUAUCAUUACCACUGCUUUCAAGAAGCUUUGGAGGCAACACUGCACCAAUCACUUCUGUGUUCUGAUGUUCAUCACAGCCCAGAGAAGUGAUCUGUUCUUCAGAGUUACAAUUGUGAACAUUUUGUUCAGCUGCAUCAUUCUGUACAUCAGAUUCUAUAUUAAGAGGUUCUUGAGGUUGUUUCAUCGAAGAUUCUGGACUAGCUGAAGCAGAUUUCAUUACAUUACAAGUGAUUUGAUCAUUCAUGAAGGGCGGAGAAUCUGUAGAUAAAUACGGAAUUGCAUCAGCUGGAUCAACCAAAAGUCCAUGAUCCAGUGUUGGAGACUCAUGUUGUGGAAUUCCUCCUCCUUGAUAACCCAAGUGGUCCAACAGGCUGCCACCUUGGUCUCCAAAUAAUGGCCCAGGAUCUCCACAAGUCCCCUCCAGAUUUCUCUCAGGGGAUAUGUACUCCAUCUGAAUGAGCAAAUUUGAAUAGCAUAAGCAUACAUAGCUUGCUCAAUAUAGCUAUACAGGUCCAAAUAACUCAUUACACCAUAAUUUCGAACAGAAAAAAAAAUAGAUACGCUGAAGCAGCAAAAUUAUCACCUUCUUGGUAUGAUGCGUGCAGCACUACCUCAUAGGAAAUAAUAUAAACAACAGGCCUCUUUGCAUUUCGAAGUGCUGAUUUGCAUUUGCAUUAAGACCGUAUUGCUCAAUAAGUGUGUCAACAAAAGAAUACUACAGUGGAAUGUCAGACUUAACUAACUCAGGUCAGGUGUGGCAAAGUGUGUUCGGUGAACAAAAAUAGCAACAAUCAUAACUCAAUCUUAGUACUAUGUUUCAUAAAUGGCAAUACAGGUUAGAUAUUCCAAUUCUAAAGCCAUGUUAGUUCUACAAUCAGAACAAUACAAAUCCAACAAUGAUGCCUAAAAUAAUAAUAAAAAAGGUUUGUUUGGUUUGUGCCCAGCCAGCCUUGGUGCGAUACGUCUACCCAACAGAAUUUAGCAAUUAUCAGAUGCCAUCCAAAUCUUUUGCCCGCCAAAUUUUGGUAACGCAUAUUAGGCUACAAACCAACUAGCCUUCCACUGGUUCUCACAGUGAUUGUAAUAAAAUUCUACAGAUUAUAAAGGGCACAUACACAUGCACAUUAAAAAAACAUUCACGAAAUUCCACGAGUCAAGUUCUGACUUCAAUAGUUGUAAGACUCUAGUUCCACUUCCAAGUCAUCAAGUUUAUUUGAAGAGAAACAACAUAGGACAUAAGACGCUAUAUAAAAACCAUUUUGGACACUCUGGACAUACAUGGUAACAGGUUUAUUUAUGGUGAUUUUCCAGCUUUUAUUUGAGAAGGUCAACAUCUAUCGUAAAAUCCCAGAACAUUAGUACCGUUCCCACACUUCAACAUGACAAUGCCUAUGAAGUAACCCCUAGCAUCCUCCUAGAAACAGCAGCGGAACAAAAAUCAACUGCACAGAGUACCAGAGAUUUCAGUGAGCUAUUUUGGAACACCAGCAGCGCCAAAUCGGUAAAAAAUUCGAACCCGGUUCCUUACGCAGAUCCUCACUCCCCCUCAGUGACACACAUGAACCAAGCGCAACAAUGAGACCCGAUCGCAACAAUUCACUACGGCCGCAACCACACAACAGACCAACCACGGCGUCUAAUCCGAGUGCCAACCAAUCCAGCGCGAAAUCCGCGCAACCCGGAUCGAACCAGCUACCGCAUCUAGGGCCCCCCCAUCCGCGGAUCCGAAACCCAAUUCCGAGCGAGCGAGCGAGGCUGCGUCGUGGGGAAGCGGAGCGCUCACCUCGGACGGCGCCGGCGCGCGCCACCUCCACCGGCCCCCGCGAUCCCUCUCGCGCCUCCCCCGCGCGAGGUUUUCUUCUGCCCCCCCUCUCUCCUCCUCUUCGUUAGGAGAGAGAGACCGGUAGAGAUUUUUGGGGAGGCCGUACGAAACGGAGGGCUUCGGUGGUGUGGUGGCCUGGUGGGGCAGUAUGGCUGGCCAAGGAGGAAAUAUGCCGCUGAGCUGCGGUGCGCGUGACGUGAGUGAGGUGAUAUGAGCAGGGUGGGCCCCAACCUAGAGGCCCCACCGGGCAGCGGGUCGUGUAGGCAGCCGGUGACCGGUGGGUGACCAACUACGCGGUGACUGUUUGUAACUAUCGUUCCAACUUGCAACGGAAGCGUGCUGCACCGGGCACCUACCUGCACGUGGCGUUGUCCUGCGCCGGCGGAAGCGAGACUUCCAUGGGCAGCACUUUCGUUUGUAUUUGACAAAUAUUAUCUAAUCAUGCACUAACUAGACUCAAAAGAUUCGUCUCGUCAAUUUCGACCAAACUAUGCAAUUAGUUUUUAUUUUCGUCUAUAUUUAAUACUCUAUACACACGUCUAAAGAUUCGAUGUGACGGAGAAUCUAAAAAAUUUUGCAAAAUUUUUUAGGAAGUAAACAAGGCCCCAUCCUCAGUCAGUCCGUCUCGUCGGCGGCGAGUGUCUGCGGGCCGUGUUUAGUUACGCAAGAAAAAAAUUUCGUGACACUGUAUCAUCUUCAUUUGUUUGUGGUAAUUAUUGUUCAAUCAUAAGCUAACUAGACUUAAAAGAUUUGUCUCGUCAAUUUCGACUAAAUUGUGUAAUUAGUUUUCAUUUUUAUCUAUAUUUAAUAUUAUAUAUAUAUAUAUUUAAAAAUUCGAUGUUACGGAAAAUUUUGAAAAAUUUUAGCUAUUAGGGUGGAAGUAAACAAGGCCUGCGAGUUAGUUUUGCUUUUGGGAUCGAAAAUGAUGAGAGCACGCCGUGAUGAGCUAUCAUCCGGCCGCCGCCGCGGCAGCGGACCAAGAUGCGGUCACGACCAGCCUUUCGGCCCUUGCACACCGCACGCUCUAGGUCUCGCCGUCUCGCUGCUUCGUCGGUGGCCACUCACGGCACUCCUAAUGCAAGACUCUAUAUUAUUUAUGAUAUUUUACUGAUGUGGCACUAUAUUUAUUGAAGAAAGAGGUAGAAAAAAUAAAACUACAAGUCUUACUUAGACUCCAAGUCUACAUUGCUCGAGGUAAUAAAUAAUUUUAGACUCCAUGAUAGAGUCUGUAUUGUAAGUGCCCUAAGUUCUUCUAGACCAGAUCACCCCAGGCUCCCCUUUCGGUGUUUGGAAUAACCUCAGUUCUGAUAGGCCCUCAACGCCUCGUGUCUUGUGAUUUUGCAGCACGUGGUUCUUCGCCAGUUGAAGAGGGUCCUUAGCUUGCAGUUGCAGCUGGACCUGGAUGGCUCGACUGCUAGAAGAUUCAGGUGUGUAGUACUAGUAUGUGUCUGCUCCUGUAGGACUGUAGGAGGGAGAACGUCAGCUUGUAAAGCAGCGUGUUACCGAUAAUUUCAUUUGAAUCUAUACAGUGUGAUCGAGUGAUAGUACCAUUUUGCCAUCUUAUUUAGGACAUGUUUGGAUCACAUAUUCACUGUUAUUAGGCCCCUUUUGGUAGCUUUUAUUGGGUCUGGCUUCUUGACACAUUCAUGAUUCACACAAGCUAAAACCGGUGGGAGCUUUAGACCCUGUUUAGUUUCCCACCUAAAAUUUUUUUAUCCAUUCCAUCAAAUAUUUAGACACAUACAUGGAAUAUUAAAUAUAGAUAAAAAAUAAAUUAAUUACACAGUUUGGUUGAAAAUCACGAGACGAAUCUUUUAAGCCUAGUUACUCUAUUAUUAGCCUUAAGUGCUACAGUAACCUACAUGUGCUAAUGACAGAUUAAUUAUGUUUAAUACAUUUGUCUUGUAGUUUCACGAGUUAUGUAAUUGUUUUUUUAUUAGUUUCUAAAACCUCUUUCGAUAUUCUUCCGACACAUCCGAUAUAACACAUAAAAAAAUUUCAUCUCCAAUCUAAACAUGACCUACCAAAUGGAGCCUCAACUGAGGUCCUAUUGAUCUUUAGGCCUUGUUUAGUUCACUCCAAAAACCAAAAUCUUUUCAAUAUUCCCCGUCACAUUGAAUCUUACGUCAGAGUAUUAAAUAUAAACGAAAAUAAAAACUAAUUGCAUAGUUUACCUGUAAAUCACGAGAUGAAUCUUUUAAACCUAGUUACUCUAUGAUUGGAUAAUGUUUGUCAAAUAAAAACGAAAAUGCUACAGUUCGGAACUAAACAAGGCCUUAGAUGAUAUCUUACCUACCAUUCAGAUAAUAUUUAGCUGUCAGCAGGCUUUUUGCCAGCUUAAAUUAGCUAAAUAUCAGUACGCACUUUUCUAGCUUAAAUUUAGCUAGGUGGAUCCAAACCAGGCUUUUAAUUUUUGUCUGUGUUGGGCAUGCUGGAAUAUUGUUCUCUCUGUCUUGCCACACAAAUGCCCAAAAUAAACGUACUGGUGUUCAUCGGUGCUUUAAUUUCGCUGUGAUUUGUGAUGACGAGGUCUGAAACAAAUUCAUUCAGUCCUUACAGUUUAAGCCUAACUCUUGGCUUCGGUUUAUAUGGCCUUGUUUACUUCUAAAUUUUUUUGCAAAAUAUAAAUAGUGACACUUUCGUUUGUAUUUGAUAAAUAUUGUCUAAUUAUGAACUAAUUAGGUCAAAAGAUUCGUCUCGUCAAUUUCGACCAAACCGUGUAAUUAGUUUUUAUUUUCGUCUAUGUUUAAUACUCAAUACAUGCGUCUAAAGAUUCGAUGUGACGGAAAAUCUGAAAAAUUUUACAAAAUAUUUUGGGAACUAAACAAGGCCAUAGUUGUACAAGUUUGAUAGAAAGCCCGUUUUGAGCUUUCUGAAAAGCGAACUGGACCUAGUUUAGAAAACGUACACUUUCGUUCUCCUCUAAAGAAAACAUCAAGCUGCAGAGUUGCGACCGUGCACGCGCGCCCGUGAGCGUGUGUGGACAGCAGCAAGCGACCGCCUAGCCGGCCGGCCCCAGUCCCCAAGCCACACUCCAUGACGAUGGCCGCCAGGUGCUCCGACGAGGCGCCUCCACGCCCGCGGCGGACCGCGACGUGUCGCGCGGCGCCGCCUCCAUGGAACUCUCGCGCGCCCGCCUAAGCCUAGCACGAAGUCACCGGAAGAAGAACACGCUGGUGAACUCCAGCUCCAGCGACACCUCGGUAUAAAUAAACCAGGAGACGGCGAGGUAAACCUCUGCAGCUGAGGUUUACUAGUUCCCGUCGGUGACCGUACGUACGUGAAGAAGUCGAUCGAUCAAGAGCUCGAUCAAGCUGACCAGACCAGCUACGACAUGGCCUCCCUGCAGCAACGCAAGGUGAGAUCGAGAGUUGUCUUCCUGUCUUGGCCGGCCGGGUGAUCCGGUGUACGUACGAUUUCGUGUAAAAAAAAUAACUUGCGUGGACUGGGGUUUUUUUCUCGUAUUGUUAUUGUUCGGCCGGCGAGGAGGAGAGCGGCGGCGACCAUGGCCAUGCGGCUGCGGACGAGGCGGUGCGCGGGACGGGGAAAGGCAAGAGCGAGGCGGCGCCGGGGCGACGGAAGGUGACGUACGGGUUCCACCUGGCGGAGGGCCGGACGCCGCACGGCAUGGAGGACCGCCACGUGGCCGAGUUCCGGCAGCUGGACGACGGCAACGAGGUCGGCCUCUUCGCCGGCCACUCCGGCGCCGACGUCGCCACCUACCUCCGCGAGCACCUCUUCGACAACAUCCUCAACCAAGUAAAACAUCCAUUUCUUUAGCAGUACUUGAGAUCGAUGCUUGCGUCGAUUUUUUUUUUUUUUUUUUUGCCGUGACGUCACGCGCGGCAGCCGGGCUUCGAUUUCUGGACGGACCCGAUGGAGGCGAUCCGGCGCGCGUACCACCGCACGGACCGGAAGGUGCUGAAGAAGAAGAAGAAGAAGGACGACGACGGCGAGGGGAAGGGGAUGGGCAGCCGGCGGCGCGGCGGGUCGACGGCGGUGACGGCGAUCCUGAUGAACGGAGAGGAGCUUGUGGUCGCCAACGUCGGCGACUCCCGCGCCGUGCUGUGCGACGCCGGCGGCAGGGCCAGGCAGCUGUCCGUGGACCACGAGCCGCUCCGCGAGCGCCGCGCCAUCGAGGCCCGCGGCGGCUUCGUCACCGAGAUCCACGGUCGGUAACGCACGAAACGAAACGCCCCUCGAUCGAUUGCAUUGCAUGCACGAAACGACACGAUCCCAUUGUUGUUGUUGUUGUUGACGACGACGUACGCGCGCGCGUGCAGGAGACGUGCCUCGCGUGGACGCGCAGCUGGCCAUGGCGCGCGCGUUCGGGGACCGGUCGCUCAAGGAGCACAUCAGCGCGGACCCGGACGUGGCCAUCGAGGACGUCGGCGACGGCGCGGAGCUGCUCGUGCUGGCCAGCGACGGCCUGUGGAAGGUGAUGUCGAACCAGGAGGCGGUGGACGAGGCUCGGAGCAUCGAGGAUGCCCGCGAGGCGGCGGUCAGGCUCGUCGACGAGGCAGUGCGGCGGGGCAGCAAGGACGACAUCUCCUGCAUUGUCGUGCGACUGCACUAGCGAACACCUGCUCAUGCAAAAUGUAUGCGGCUGUUUAGAAUCAUUUCGGGCUUAGGCCCUGUUUCGCACUCGGCGGACUCUCAGAGCUUUAUUCUCCGCUGAAUCUGGUCAAACAGUUUUUUCUGAGAGAGAAAAAUUCUAUGUUGAUCUUGUAAAGUGAUUUUCUAAAAUAAACUGCUAAAAACUGAAAAUAAUAGUUUCUCCUGAUUAUGUGAAAUAAUUUUAAAAAAUCAAAGAGAAACACUUUUAACCAUAAUAUUAUUUCUCUCAAAAAAAAAGAAUCAGAACAUAAAAGCUUCUUCAAGAAAACUCUGAACUGGACUAUAGUACAAAUUUAGAUAUAUUUUUUUGAGCAAUGUAGUGCUCUACAAAUUUAGAUACUGAGUUAAUACUCGGCGAGAGGAUGGAUAAAUUCAUAGAUAGAUUGCAUUCUAACAAACCGAUUCUUUCUGGCCCAGCCCAGGAACACUUUCAGCAACAGCCGAGGCCCAACUCUUACUCCGCAAACGCCUCUCGAAAGACCCCGCAGGGCCGCAGACGAGCAAGCAAAUCCUCCGGCCUCCACGCUGUCAGUCGUCACCGUCGCUAGCCUACUACUAGCUACGUUACACAGAGUACGGAUACGAGUAUCCGAUAUAAUAGGUAUCGGAUACGUGGAUACACACUUUCUUAAAAAAAAAAAAAUCUAUCGGCGUCACCUCGCUGGAGUAUCCGUGUAAUACUAGUACAGCACGGGCGGGCGCGCGAUCGCACCCACGCAAAUCGCGACAAUCCCCCAGGCCCCCACCGUCCCAACUCCCAACGCCCUCGCCCGUGCUCGCAGUUGGUAGGGUUCUAGCCAUGGCGUGGAGCGCCGCCGCCGUCUCCAGGUUCGCCGCCACCUCCCCGGCCGCGGCACCCAUCUCCGUCAGGCUCGGAGCCGCCGCCUCCCGCUCCUCCCUGUCCUUCUCCAGCGGGCGACGCCGCUCCGUCGCCGCGUCCCUCUCGACCUCCGCCACCGGUACGCCUCCCGCUCCCCUGCCGCCAACAGACGCGCGGAUCGCUAGUGGUUUCCUUGCACUUACUGUUUACCUCGUCGUAUCCUAUUUCAUAUUCAAAUGUAAUUCGAGGCGGCGAAUUUUAGUCAUCCUUUCUUGUUUGAAAACGGAGGAUGGAUUGCUGCAGCGAUUCGAUUGUAGGGGCAGCUAAUCCAUGCUAAUAAUUAGCUAAAUAUGUGCAUUGCUGAAUUUGCUGGUCAAUGUUUUCUGCCGGCGAUAAAGUUUGCAUUGUGCAAUGAGAAGUGCAAGCUUACUCAUCGUUAACCAAUAAAAAAAAGCUAUUGGUUGCUCAUUUAGCUGGAUGGUCACUUGGUCAGUGCGUAUGACACCAGCAAUGGCCAAUAUAAACAUAGAUAAAUGAUUUAAUUUCUAAAGGGCAAGAAAAGCAAUGAGGUUUACUUUCUGAUGCCAAGAGGAUUAGUGGAAUGCUGAAUGUGUUGGGAACAAAGGGCACAUAAAGGUGAUUGGUGUUCAUUUCGGUUGGAAAUCUGGGAUUCACAUGGUUCUAUACUUCUAUGUAAGAAACUGCUCUCACAAGUGCUGAAUGGUUACUAUUUAGUAGUGACAGUUUGCUAGAACAGUGCUAUACCUCUUUAAAAUGCAAUUAGGCAUCUAUUGUGCCACUGAAAAUUUUCGCAAUCCCUUAUAUGUCACUGAGAAUCAUGAAAUUAAUUUCAAAGUGUCAAUCUUAGCACACUGUGAAAAUGCAGUUAUCCUGGACAACAAUUGCUCACCUGACCCUGAUGUUUUCAAACAUAAAAGAAAGGAACUGGACUAAAGGACAACUACAAACCCAAAACAUAAUUAACAUGGUUUAUGAGUUGCGAGUUGAUGCUAUUGAACAAAUAAACAAAACUGGUUCUUUCUCCUACAGUCCUACACAUGGCAACUUUGCAGGGCAUUUGAUUCUCUAUUGAGGGGGAAGUCUAAAAUAGAAUUUGAACGUCUUGGACCAUCUCAUAUGCUAUACUGACAAUUUUGGGAAAUUCUGUUUAGCUGUAAAGGAGGCUGUUCAGACAGAGAAGGCACCGGCAGCUCUAGGCCCUUAUUCUCAGGCCAUCAAAGCAAACAAUCUUGUGUUUGUUUCUGGAGUUCUUGGCUUGAAUCCUGAGGUUUGCUUUUGGCUGUUGUUCUACCAUUUUGUUGGUUUUAUCUACAUGACUUGUAUCGGCUAGUUUGCUGGUUGUAGGUGAUGACACAACUAAUGUGCCUUUCUGUUUUCAGACCGGGAAGUUUGUAUCUGAAAAUGUUGAGGAGCAAACUGAGCAGGUGAAGACUUUGAUUCCCAGAUGUGAAUAUAUAUCAUUUGUGACUCAGUUUCUCAGUUGUUCCCAGUAUCUAUUGAUCUGGCAUAACAAUAUGCGUUUCAGACAUCUGUUAAAAUAACUAAUAUGAUUCACUCAUGCUAUAUGAAAACCUAUCUGAAAUAUUUUAGAAAUUUGAUACUGAAUCCGCAUCUGCUAAAUGCAGAAAUGGGAUAUCCUGUAUGACAUUCUGCAGGAACAUAGGUUGCCUUUUUCAAGUUUGCGUUCAGAAAACAGUUGUCUGCUGUAUCAUACUUUCUUUGUCACAGGUUAUGAAGAACAUGGGCGAGAUAUUGAAAGCAAGUGGUGCUAGUUAUUCUUCAGUUGUGAAGACAACAAUCAUGUAAGCACAUGUUCGUUACAUGGGUCAAGGCUACUUUGCUAAAGAUAUUUUGAUCUCUCCAGGUGUGAUUCAGUGAUUCUAUUCUUGUACCCGCAGGUUGGCUGAUCUGCAGGAUUUCAAGAAAGUGAACGAGGUCUAUGGCAAAUGUAAGUUUGAGCUGUGUUACCCUUCCUGGUCCUAGUGAUGUAAUAGUUCAGAUUACCAUAAUCAGAUUCUCGAUGUCAUAUCCUUAACCUUUCUUUUUCCUUUUUUCUGAAGAUAUUUGCGGUUCUUGUUGCAGAUUUCCCGGCACCUGCACCUGCACGUUCAACAUACCAAGUGGCAGCGCUGCCACUGAAUGCCAGGAUUGAGAUCGAGUGCAUCGCGGCUCUCUAAUCAGAUCAUUCAACCACUCAUCAAAAUCAUCAAUAAGCAUUCCCACCGUGUCUAUGUAGUUCACUAUCCUGGAAGCCCCUGAGGCAUUUGUGGUAGAAGUACUUCUAGUGUCAAUCGAAAAAAUGAGACUUGUACCAGUCCAGUUCCUGAAAACUGCGGAUAAUAAACCUUGGUGUCCAGGAUAAGUGAUGUGUGUGUGAACAGUGCAUCUGGUAGGAGAAUUGUUGGGUGGUUCGUUACUCGGAUUCUUCGCUCUUUAAGAGUACGAUGGAUCAACAUCAGUAGCCUUAGGUUUUAUAGUGAGACUUGUAAAAGCAACAAACAAACACACCGUAAGGCCUUGUUUAGUUCUCAAAAAAAAUUGCAAAAAAAAUUUAGAUUUUCCGUUACAUCGAAGCUUGUAGCGCAUGCAUAGAAUAUUAAAUAUAAAUAAAAAUAAUAACUAAUUGCACAGUUUGUCUGUGCGAGGUAAAUCUUUUGAAUCUAGUUAGUCUAUGAUUGGAUAAUAUUUGUUAAAUACAAGUGAAAAUAAUACAUUGUCUCUUUUACAAAAAAAUUUGGAACUAAACAAUAGCUAAGUUUUAUAAUGAGACAUAAAAACAGCAUACAGAGGCGCGGGGUGAUUCCCUUGACGCAGGGAAGGGCAGCGGCGGUAGCUCAGACAUCAGAGGACGUCUGGCAUCGCAUAUGUACGCUAGGCCUUUUUAGUUCACCUUGAAAACUGGUUUUCAAGAUUCUCCGUCACAUCGAAUUUUAUAGUACAUGCAUGAAACAUUAAAUAUAGACGAUAACAAAAAUUAAUUUACACAGUUUAGCUGUAAAUCACGAGAUAAAUCUUUUAAUCCUAGUUAGCACAUAAUUGGAUAAUAUUUAUCACAAACAAACGAAAGUGCUACAGUACCGAAAAGUGAAAACUUUUCGGAACUAAACAAGGGCCUACUGAAAAACUGCGCAGCCGCCGCGAAAGAUUGGCAAUGGAUUGCAGUAAGAUUGGGCGGGUUCUUUUUUUUUUGGCUGAAUCAUGGAAAAAAAAAUAGUCCGCUAUUUUUGCCGCUAUAGCCUAAAAUAAUUUAAAAAAAAUUAUGCCGCUAUUUACGUUCAUACAUAAAUUUGCCGCUAAAAUAUGCUAAUUACGGUUUAUAAAACGCUAAACACCUUGGUCUUAGCUCGCUAUUUAAAACAUGGGUCUGAAUGCAACGACCUCUCUUUGCAGCACUUUCUGGAGAAAUACUCCCUCCGUCCCUUUUUAAUUGUCGCUUGCGCUUUCCGAAAAACAACUACCGCUACCGUCAAUUAUAUAUUAAAAAAUAUUAAUAUUUAUAAUACAUAAUUAGUAUCAUUAGAAAGAUCUUUGAAUCUAGUUUUUUAACAAAAUUAUUUGGAAAUACAAAUGUUGCACGUAUUUUUCUAUAAAACAAGUCAAACUUGUGGCACGUACAACAACAACGACAAUUAAAAAAGACGGAUAGAGUAAUAGUUUUCAUAGAUUCUGAUGUGUUCAAUCCCUCACUAUAAUCAUUUCCUACCUACUCUCCACUUUGCUUCUCCACUAUAGAAAGCAGCCUGAUUCCGUUAGCAGUUUAGGAGCCCCCACACUAGUCCUACGAGGCCACAGCGCCGCCGCGGACUCACCGUCGCCAGACUCGCCACCGAGCUGCCGCCCGCAGCUGAACGCCGCCGCUCCCGCUCGACUGGUCUGAUCAGAAGGUGCUCCCUCUCCCUCUCAUCCCGUCCCUUUUUUUUGGCAGCACUGGGUUGGGCAUUUGGGGUUUUUGGUCCGAUGCCAUAUCGUAUCCAGUGUGCACGGUUCUAUCGAUUUUUUGGUGCCGAUCGUGGGUGCAGAUCUUAAACGGUUCCGUUUGGUGCGUGGUUCUAUCCGUAGCAUGUCCUAAGGACUAGGACAUUGCGGUUCAUCGAAUUUUGCAAGUUAAUUUACUUUACAAUUGGCUACCCUACACACAAGUUAGUUGUUUCAAAAUUCGCACCAUUUACAGGCUGUUUGCAUAGUUCUUUCUUUUUGGUAUCGCAUAUGAAUGAUAUACAAAUAUAUUUACAAAUCCAUUCAUAUAUGCAUAUACGCCGGACAGAUAGUCCCUCUCCUUGUACUGAUACAGAUCUUUUAAAUAGUUGCAAGCACGUGAUGAUUAUUUUUUAUAUGGAUUAUGGAUUGGUUCAUACGAGUGAUUACACAAGCACGAAAGUGAAUUUCGCUUCUUUAGUAGUAUGAUACAAUGGAAUGCCUUAGGAAAAAAAAUGUUUCCCACUCUACUUCCUUCAUUGAAUGAUUGAAGUAAAAUUCCGUUUUUCUAAUGAUUGGUAUACUACAUUUGGUGUAUGGGUAUCUUGCUUUCUAAUUUCUGUUGUGCACAAGUUUAUUCAUUUUUCCUUUUCGUAGGUUCUGCGGGAGUUUACCUAUAAACUUUCUUAUCUUCAACAUUAACCCAAUGCAACUUUUUAGGAACCAACCUAUGUAAGGCAAUGCUUACCACCUGUACUGGCAAGCUACAACUAAUAUGGAACGCCAUAUCCUGCGUACUGCUCUUCUACGCUUUCAUCACUUUUGAUUCACCUCAUAAGAUCUGCCACAGCAAGAGACCUUUCAACUUCACAACAUCGGUCUCUAGGUCGUUGCAUGAGAUCCACGCCAAUUCAAGACUUGUUCAUGAGUAUGUGCUGUUCUGAUUUGUCUUUCAACAGCCUGAGCCAGCUCUGUACUAUCUAUUUUCUGUUUUGAUUUUGAUUAUGUUUUAGUAGGCUUCAGAUUUGACCCAUUGUUCUUGUGGCUAACCUGAAUUACAGAAAGGUCGUCGUUGGACAGAGGCUGGCAGAAAACACCCAAACCAUUACUAACAUUACUACAAUUGCGACAUCUGGCUGGAGCAUUGUGAAGAAAGAGUUCACAUUUCCUGCUAGGCGUGCCCCUUUCAAUAGCUGUCAUGCUUCCACUAUUGUACAGGUACAUGGCCUCUGGAUGUAAUAGCAUUUUAAAGAAGACAUGAGAAUCGCUCACGUAUGAAGUUUGUUCAAGCAGAUUGAUGAAGGGAAUUUUUUGGUGGCAUAUUUUGGUGGAUCUACGGAAGGUGCUCCGGAUGUCAAAAUCUGGUUGCAGAGAUAUAGUGUGGGUUCAAUUCAUCAAACAUACAUAAGUUUUUUUUUACACCUAGAAGAGCAGGCUUUACAUUUUACUAACAAACUUACAUUUUUAGGGUGGCCACUGGCAUCCUCCAGUAGUGGCUGAUGAGCAAUUGGGGGUGCCUAUGUGGAACCCUGUUCUGUUUCAGCUUCCCUCUCGUGAACUGCUUCUCUUCUACAAGAUUGGCCAAGAAGUCCAGAAGUAUGACCUUGGUUAUGACCUCGGACCCCUUAUCUCUGAUAGACCAGGCUGUUCCAAAGAAAUAGAUGAAUUUGGUGACCUGAGGCUAACUACAACUCAUUCAGGUGGAGUGGUGCCAUGAAAAGGUCGCUGGAUGGCGGACUAACCUGGUUACCAAGAGAGCAGCUGCCACCUGGUAUCCUUGGUCCAAUUAAGAACAAGGCAUGUCAAAAUUCCUGGUCUUUUGCUCUGUGUCACAUCAUAGCAUAGCAGUUUUGGAUGCUAUGUUUUCUGCAAAACUAAUUAAAUUCCAAAUGCAGCCAUUCUUGCUUGAAGAUGGUCGCCUACUAUGUGGAUCAUCAGUUGAGAGUUGGAACUCUUGGGGUGCAUGGCUUGAGGUAUCCAGAUGUUUCUCUGUUCUUUCUUUGAGAAAUCAUGUAGAAGUUACUCCUUCUGUUCAAACUUGUCUGUCUUUAACCGCUAGUGUUUCUUAAAACGACUUAUAAUUUGGCACUUAGGGAGUAACAGCUAGUGUUUCUUAAAUAAUGGCUCUCGCUUCUGACAAAUCUUUAGUAGCAAAGGUUACACAAAACGCCGGCCGUACAUGGAGAAAGUAUGGCCCUAUAUAUGUAGAAGGACAGCCACUUGGGGUGAUUCAGCCAGUUCCCUACCGUACUGCAAAUGGGAUUAUUCGAGUGCUGCUAAGAUCAUUUCAGACAAUAGGCCGUGUCUGUAUGGCAGACUCCUUUGAUGGAGGUGUGACAUGGAGUUUUGUGCGAGGAACUGAGCUUCCAAACCCGAAUUCUGGUGAAGUUCCCUAAAGCCUUCAAGGCAUACAUACGAAUUUCUUAAAAAUAUUUGCUACCGCUCUAUUUACAUCUCCAGACUUGAAAGCUGAAGGUAUUGAUGGAGUUAAGAUGAAGGAUGGAAGAGUGGUGCUUGCCUACAACACUUUUUCCAGAGGAACGCUCAAGCUCGCAGUUUCCUUAAAUGAUGGUGAUUCUUGGAACGAAGUGCUGACACUGGAGGAUACCAGUGGUAUGGAGUUUUCAUAUCCUGCAGUGAUCCAGACCAUGGAUCAGCUCAUACAUGUGACGUACACAUACAACCGAACGCAGAUUAAGGUGAUUUCCCUGAUUCACGCAUAAUGAAACAGUAAUCUUUGCAGCAUUAGUGUUUUUUCCUCGCUCUGUUGAUACUGCAUUUGCUAAAGAGUAUUCUUGAAUGCCUUGCAGCAUGUUGUUAUUAAACCUGGUGCCACGAUGAAGUGAAUCCGCAACUAUGGGAGGAUCAUGGUUUGCAACAUGGAAGCACUUAAACUUUGUUCAACAGCUUUGUGUGACAAUUACAUCAUACUUGCUAAAUUACCUGAUUGUAUUGUGCUUCUAGGUUGUUGCUGAAGAAACGUUUGCAACUACAUUUUUAACAGAUGCUACAUACAUCCCUCCCAAAAAGAGUGGCACGCUACGCUAGUGUUCAAAAUUUGUUCCAGAAAGAGUGUCAUUUCACCCUCUGGACUAGUUUGGUGGGAACCAGCUACCAAGAGUCAUUUUUUUGUAGGCACAUCAUCUUAUACUAGUAAAAUUAUUAAAGAUUUGUUGGAAAUGGAAAGAUGUACAUGUGCACAGCUGUUCCUUAUCUGGCAGUUCUAUCCCUUUCUCUUGUCGUGCCAGUCAACUAUCAUAUGCUCUGGUUGGGCUCUUUCACUAUGACCAAAUUCCAACAUUAAUUAGAGAAAGGUAAUGGUCAUCGCUACAGAUUCACUCCGACAAAACAUCCUGUCAGAACAAUGCAUUUGUCUUGCUUAAUUCAUUCUGUUUGGGAGUUAGUAUCCGUAACAAAUCUUCAGCCUUUUUUCUAGGAUGACUUAUCGUUAGAGGAUAGGGGAAUGAAAGAGAAACCACGGAUGUAUUUGUUGACAAAUUUUAUUAUGAAAUGUAUAGUACAGUAUAGGAGCAGGAGCUGAGCGUGUUCGGUUCGUUAUUUUUUUUGGCACUAAACAAAAAGUGUUAUGCCAAAUCAGUCACUGUCCUCCCACUCUCCCUCGUCUCCACUCUCCUCCGUGACUUGACCGCAGACGCGACUAGAGCAGUCACCGCGGCGUUGCUGCCGUGUCUUGCCCCGAACCAUAGCCGUCAACGGCUCAACGCCGCCGCGAACCGCAGCGGCGCGACCCCCAUUCGAAGCCGGGGCCAGCGAAGCGAGCGCCUCGCUUCCACAACUUGCUAGCUGCAGCUGCAGCGCCGCCGGCCCGACCAACGCCCGAGCCAGCCGUGGGCGUACGGCCGCCGAUUCCUCUGGGAGUCUGUGCUCUGGUGGAUGGUGAUCCCUCUCCUCAUACCGUUUCUGUUGGUCCUGUGCGAUGUAGGCCUAAAUGGCUAAGUGGGUGCGGUUACUUCGUGGAUUUUGCUCGGGUUACCUGUAGUUCCGCUUCCGCCGUGUUCUCGCGGUAGGUAGAGGAUCGAUAUGUGUGUCCCUGUUGAAAGAAAUAUUCGAUUCUUCUCUUUGAGAUGAUGAGGACGAUAUUCUUGGUGAUUGGUGGAGAUAGAAUGGCCUCAAAAGAGUGAUUAUAUGUGCAUCGAAGUGAUUUAGUGGUACACUAAUGUGAAGCAGUGAGUGUGAUAUCCUCUGUCAGGAAUGCAUAGUGUUCGUUCUCUUCCUAGAACAUGGAUGUUUUUUUUCCUUAUGCCAGUUGUAAUGUGAAUAUGUGAUACGGAGUUAGUAUCCAGUUUUAGGAUAUACAGUAGGUCAGUAGCCUUUCUUUUUUCAAAGCUAGUAUGGCGUAUCUGAAAUCCUAAGAAAAGAAAUUGUUGGCAGUCUGCAAUCUUCUGUUCCUUAAAGCAAUUCUGAAAACUAGGCUAGUGGAUAUGUUGUACUACUUGGUAUUGCAAAGGCUGUCUUAUAUGGCUUACUUAUCUUUAACGUUACCCUGUUGCAGCCUUGUAGGAACACACUUGAUGAGGUUACAAUACGUGUGGAACGCUGUACCCUUCAUCCUGCUAUUUUCUGCGCUCCUCUUUAUUCCUGUCUCAACACAUAAAAUCUUCUCCAAAAAUAAACCUUUCAACUUCACUACACCAUCUGCUAGUGCUAGGUUGUUGCUUGAGAUCGGCCAAAGUUCAGGACUUGUUCAGGAGUAAGUUCUAGCUUGCCUUUCACAGCGUUAGGAAGCUAGAUUUUUCUUUUUUAUGUUUAAUGGGCUUGGUAAUUUCAUCUUUUGACUUCAUCGCUAACCUGAAUGACAGCAAGGUGAAAGUUGGACAAAAUUUGGAAGAGGACACCCAAAGCAUUAUCAACAUGACUAUGAAUAUGACGUCUGGGUGGUGCAUUGUGAAAGAAGAACUCACAUUUCCUGCUGGAGGUGCCCCUUUCAGAAGUUGCCAUGCUUCAACUAUUGUACAGGUAUAUGGCCUUCAGAUGCAACUGCAUUUUGGAAACUCGAAAUUAUUUACAUGUGAAUUUUGACUUUUCAGAUUGAGGAACACAAUUUUUUGGUAGCAUAUUUUGGUGGAUCCAGCGAAGGUGCUCCAGAUGUUAAAAUCUGGUUACAGAGAUAUAGUGUGGGUUCAACGCAUCCGAAAUGCUUCCUUUUUGUUCUCUGAAACUAGAAGAGCAAUUCUUACUUGGAAUAUUACAUUUGUAUAGGAUGGACACUGGCAUCCUCCAGUGGUCGCUGAUCAACAAGAUGGGGUGCCCAUGUGGAAUCCUGUUUUGUUUCAACUUCCCUCACGUGAGCUUCUUCUAUUCUACAAGAUUGGUCAAGAAGUUCAGAAGUAAGAGUGUAAAACCUUUAUGUGUGACUAUUGAUCAACUAUCUCUGAUUCAAGGAAUGUAAUGAUCUGAUGCUCAACAUUACCUGUUCAGGUGGAGCGGUGCCAUGAAAAGAUCGUUAGAUGGCGGUGUAACCUGGUCACAGAGAGAGCAGUUACCUCCUGGUAUCCUUGGUCCUAUUAAGAAUAAGGCAUGUAUAAAUGUGGUGUUUUUCUUUACCUCACAUCUUACUAGUGUCCAUUGGUUUUCUGUCCCUUUUAUUAUGAUGUAUGUUUUCCCAUAUUAAGAUGGAACCAAAUGCUAACUUCUCUGAUGCAGCCUUUCUUGCUUGAAGAUGGGCGCCUACUGUGUGGAUCAUCAGUUGAAAGUUGGAAUUCUUGGGGUGCAUGGCUUGAGGUACUCGCAUGUUUCAUUUCUUUCAAAAAUUCAUGUAAAAAUUGACAACAACUCUAUUUAGCACUGUGCAACAUGGUUGUAUGUUCUAACAACUUUUUAUCAACAAAGGUUACGAAAGAUGCCGGACGGACAUGGAGAAAGUAUGGCCCUAUAUGUAUAGAAGGUCAACCACUUGGGGUGAUUCAACCAGUUCCCUACCGGACUGACAAUGGGACUAUUCGAGUGUUGCUGCGAUCAUUUGAAACAAUCGGACGUGUCUGUAUGGCUGAUUCUGUUGAUGAAGGUGUGACAUGGAGUUAUGUCCAUGAGACUGAGCUUCCAAACCCAAAUUCUGGUGAGCCCAAUGAGCUUUCUGCAUGAUUCAGUAGCCUUGUAACAGUAAUAUUUAAAAGGUUUUUUCAAGACCAAAAAGCAUCAUCCGUGUGGUGGUGGAGUUGUUGGUGCAUGACUCCACCCACCAGGAAUUCCUGGUGUGCACUUAUUUAGAUGUUUGUGGAGUUUAAUGGUUGUAUGCAUCCCUCGUUGGUGCAUAGGCCGGAAGAUAUACUUGCUUCAUCUAAAAAGCCCGGUAGCAACCAUCAAUAGAUGGCUUGAUGUUUCAGAAAGUUCAAAAUGCAUGCUUAUGAGUUUUCAAAUAAUACUUGCUAUCUCUCACUUUUCACCUCUGGACUGCACACUUGAAGGAAUUGAUGGAGUUAAGAUGAAGGAUGGAAGAGUACUGCUUGCCUACAACACCUUCUCCAGAGGAACGCUCAAAAUUGCAGUCUCCUCAAACGAUGGCGAUUCAUGGGAUGAAGUAAUGACGCUAGAGGAUACCAAAGGUAUGGAAUUUUCGUAUCCUGCAGUGAUCCAGUCUUUGGAUGAGCUCAUACAUAUUACCUACACAUACAAUCGGACACAGGUUAAGGUAAACAUCUCUAAUGCAUACACUAAUUUUCUAACCACAAUAACCUUUUGUUGGCGCAUCUCGUAAAGAGUAUUCUUGAAUUCUUUGCAGCAUGUUGUUCUUCAACCUAGUGCAAUGGUGAAGUUGUGAGCCUGCAACUGAUGAAUACCUCUGGGUGGCAACUUCAGGACUCUUCAAGUAUCAUGGUAAAAAAAUGUGUUUCUAAGAAGCAUCCAUGUAACCGGGUACCAAAAUUAUGAAACCUGUUAUGUACCCGGGAUAUGUCAAGCCACGCACUCCAGAUUGUGAAGAAAACUUUGAAGUAGAACAGGAAUCUGUCAUCCGCACGCUCUUUGUGAAUAAUUCAAGCUUCAGCUGAACUUGUUCCCGAGACACGCAGUUCUGAAAGUGAACCUCUCUGCUUGACAUUCUCGGUAAGAUAUAAUUGCAUUUCUAAAUCGACUUAACUUUCCAUAUGGAAAUCGAAAAAAUGGCAAGGAAAGGCUACAUCCGUAAGCAUAAAGUGAGAGAAACUGUAUUCAGAGGGAGAAUGAAGUGCCUAACAUGGGUUGGGCUAAAAUUGCUCCCCUCUCCGGUGUCCGGUCCUAACCAAACGAACUUGCAGGCCAGCCUGGGAGAGCUUUCCCUCCGGGACGGCCCCUUGCUUGUGGAGCCUGUGAUUUUUAACAUUACGGUAAUCUACAGUUAUCAUGUGAGUCCUUUUUUUAGCCACGUAGUAGGUAUAGAUAAAAAAAAUAAUUUUACAGCCAUGGUUGAUGAGAUGUUCAAACUGAGGUGAGCCUGUGAGCUUCAGCCGCCUCUUGGCACUAGUCAAUUUUUGUGGCCGCUUCAUGUCCACGAUUAUCACAUGCAAAGUUACAGUACGUACUGCAAAAGGUGCGAGUGAAGCUAUGAGCUUGCAUGUCGGCUAAUUAAGAACGUUAUUUAUUUAUAUUACUUACAGAGUAAAGCACUUUGCUUUUGCCAGCGUGAUUCGUACCCCUAGCCGCCCCUAGCCACCUAAUUAAGAAGGGGUACGGUAUGUAGUGAACACGUGACCAACUUCGGGAACUCGGGAAGGUAGAGUGAAACUUCCUGUUUACGUACGUGCAACAAGGACACACGGCUGCUGUGUACGCACAAAAACAGUGACACUUUGACAAACACAAUGGGUAAAGUACUGUCGACAUCGUAUAGUGACAUUUACUGUUCUCUCCAUCUCCGGUUGCAGUAAUUAAAAAUAUCUCUAGAUUCAACAAUUUAUUAAAAGGGAAUAUAUAUUUUGGGUCUGUCAUGUCAUAUAUGUAAAUAGUGAUAUCGUAUCAUCAGGUGGAAUACUUUGUAACAUACUCGCUCCAUCCCAAAUUAUAAGCCAAGAAUUUUGGAGAGUCAAAGCAUCUCAAGUUUAAUCAAAUUUAUAUGAUAAAAUAAUAAUAUUUAUGAUAUUAAUCAAGCAUUAUUAGGUUUUUAUUAAGUAUAUUUCCACACUAUAUCCUUUUUUAUGUCAUAAAUCAUUGUGAUUCUUUCUAUAAUUUUAAUCAAACUUAAAAUGCCUUGACUCUUCAAGAUUAAUUCUUAGAAUGACUUAUAAUUUGGGAUGGAGGGAGUAGUAUAUUUUUUAAAAGAAAAAAAUAAUUGUCAUAUACUGUGUAGAUGCUCAUCAAUGGAACGAUUAGGACACACUCCAAAGUUGCAAGAAAACUUUUUUUUUUGCGAGUAGAAAACUAAUCUAUACACCUGGACAGAAAAAAAAAAUUAAUCAUAAACUAAAGUAACUAAUUAACUAGUAAUUCUCUCAUCUCUUUGUUACGUUUGUUAUGAAAGGUAGGCUUUUUCUUCAAACCAAUAAGAAAAGUGUAGAUAGAGUAAUUAAAGAUGUAUAUAUGCAUGUGACGGUGUACACAUGGUGGAUAUAUAGUAUAUAGAUGCGGACCUUUUUUUUAACCUAGAUGCGGACCUUUUGGUUAUGAUGAAGCCAUGCAUGCAUGUUUGUCAAUUAUAUAUCUUUUGCAUUGGCGAACCCCACACAGGCCAUUUGUCUAGUCUAGUCCUUUAAACAAAAACAAUUAGCUCGGACUCGUACAUGCAUGUUUUUCCUUUUUUAUCAGCGUGGCAGAUUAACAAUUGGCGUUCGAUAUAUUUUCAGUGCCAACAUGCCUUGUUCCUGUUGACUUAGUACUCAUCAGAAUUAUACGGCGGGGAAUAGCAUGUGCAUGCAUACUCUUUCACAAAUAAAUAAACAGAUAAAAAGGUGAACACCUAUAUACUAUUAAUAUAUGCGCAUAUAUAUCCCGUUAACAAACUAACAGGGAAAUGGGAAGAUGCCUACUAUACCUGUAGCAUGUAAAGCGUGAGCACGAUCGAGGUGUUGGUCGAAGCUAGCAGACCUGUUUCUAUCCAAAAGGAUCCAGAUAACACCAACAUAUCUUGCUUUGCAGAUCCGAUGAGAUCGCCCUUUAUUACACAUGUGUAUGCAUGUAAUUGAAGCAUCACAAGCUUGAGAGAACAAGUUGUUGCGAGCAGAGACACAACUUACUCCCGAAAGAUAGACAAAACACCUUGUUGACUACCCGCAGAAAAAUACCAAAAGAACAGUGGUAAGUGAGUGGAGUGCACUUCCAUGGAAAAAAAAUAAAGGCACUGCAAAAGCCGAGCAAUUAACAUCCAUGCCAUACCUUUCCAUGCAUGCUAUAUAUAGUAUGUACCAGUGAAUAUUCGUCCUGAUGAUACAAACUUAGUUUACUGAGUAGUGACACAACACUUACUCCUAAAUUAAAAGGACAAGCACCGUACCUUGACAAGACGAAGAAUAUCAAACCCUAGCAUGUAGCAACCUAGCUGGAUCCAUGUAUGAUCCAUCAUAAUCUAAAGAAGCGCAAAUUAAAGUUCUCUACAGCCAAAUGGCAUUUUUUUCAGCUUAUUCUAGCCAGACUUAUUUCCACCAGCCAAAUAAAUUAGAAAUUUAAUUUGAUACAAAGAUAGAGUAGCUUGUAUACUUAGAACGGAGUGCAUGCAUGACUUUCAGUUUCCGCUCAUGUGCGAUAUAUAAGCACCGGUGAAUAUUCCUCCUGGGUUUUGUCAAGAAAGGAAGGUGAUUUGGACACUCUGUAGUGGCAGUUCAACCUAGAGGAGAUGACUCAGAUGAGCAUUAUUGUGCCUCCAUUAUGGCUAUCAAAUUUCAUCCAGAUCAGAGACGAGAAAAAGGGAGGGAGGCAAAGUGUUGCAACCAGGAAUUAAUGUUCCGUCUAGUACAUGCUAGGUGGAACAUCAUGAGAUCAUUAGCCAAUGUCUAGUUAUUUAAUAGACUGAUUGGGCAAGUAUUAUUUGCUAAAAACACCUUAACGUACUACUCCCUCUCCAUCUCAAAAUUAUAAAGUCGUUCUAGCUUUUUCUAUAUACUAGCAUAUGCAUGCUUGUGCGUUGCUACGACUCAAUUUUUUCUAUGCAAAAGAGUAUAAGAAAAGAAACUACAUGUAAAUAUAUCUUUGACAUCUCAUUGAAGUAGAAUGUCAAACAACAGAUAGGACACCUGAAGUGCUAACCAACUGAUAUUGUCCAACUCCAGUUUUGGCCAAUGCAUAUACUCUCUCUGUCUCUGAAAGCUGCAAUUUUUAGAGUUGUCCUAAGUCAAACUUUUACAACUUUGACCAAAUUUAUAGAAAAAAAAUGCUAAGAUUUAUAGUGUCAAAUUAAUACCAUUAGAUUUAUUAUAGAAUAUAUUUUUGUAAGAUACUUAUUUUAUAUCAUAGAUAUUGAUGCUCUUUUCUAUAAAGUUGGUUAAAGUUAGAAAAGUUUUUUUUUGCGAGUGAAGAGAGAGCUUUAUUAACUAGAAAUAGAGGAAUUACAAUCAGCCUUGAUUGAGUUCAAGGCACACGCAGGAGCUUGACCCAACCAAGUUGCAGAGUGUUUACAUUUUCUAGCAUAUAAAGCUAACGCAUAAAGUUAGAAAAGUUUGAUUGACACGGAUUUGCUUCACACCCAGAGCUAGCUCUGUACAGAUUUUGCGGAUACCUUGGAAUGCCACGAUAUUUGAGGAUGGAAUUUAAUUAGCACCAAGGGAAAAGUGUUUCGACUAUCACAAAUAAUUACUAUACUCGUAAAACUUAACAUAGCUCUUUCAACGCAAAAAGGAGCUUUGUCACCAUACAAAUAAUCCAUAAGCAAAAUUACCUGAAAGUAGCAAUAAUGGUACUUUCCAACCAACUAACCAGCGUAAUAAAGCUCUAGAAAAAAAUUGUUAAGACUAGUAGACCAAAUAAGAAAAAGGGAAAUUAAAUCCCACAGCCGACUUUAUUGGGACCAUGUUAAUGAUGUAUAUAGUGCUAAUGGUCAGCCAGCUACCUAAUUUUUAGCUCUAGCCUGUCCAAACAGAUAAUAAGAAAGAUUAAUAGGUGGACAAUUUCUUUGAAUUAGUUGUUAGCUAAUUACUAAAUGGCUAAUCAAGACUAAUUUUUAGCUCCAAAUAUCGAUCUAAACAUGCUAUUGGAUCCAGUCUCCAAGUCAAAGCAAGCUCUGGGCGAGCAGGCGGCUGCUAUAGCACAUGCCCGCACGCACGCACGCACCAGUGCGCCAUCAUCUAUAGUAGUCGCCACCAGAACACACCUACUCAAGGAAAACUUCUCCCACUGUCAGCAUCGCCAAAACACAUCAUCAUCUUUACCGACGGAAGGCAAAUAGUACAGUACCAUGAAACCAGGCGCAUACACAUGUCACGGGCACCAGUAGAAGUAUAAAAAUGCCCGUGAUCCCACGUACAUACGGCGUGCAGUGUAGGAAGCCGCUGAACGGCUUUGUUAACUUAUUCUGGGGCGCUGCCCGCUGGUGGCAUGUCACGAGCUGAGGACACGAUCGAGCCCCGGCACCAGGCACCACCGGAGCGGAGGAGUCCGCGUCUCGGCCCGCCGGGGGAUCGGACAUGGGAGGAAAGGAACAAAUCCACGCGUGCGCGCGCCUUUGGAGAACGGAGGGGCAGGUGCAGGUGCAUGCAUGAGCACGGUGCGCCGGCCGUCGGGGCCCCGGGCGAGAGUGUCCCUCUCCGUGGGGCGCUCCGCGGUCAUUGGACGUCUCUCUCGGCCAGUGAGGCCACCUUUGGAUGUGGUGCCUGCACAGGAUCGACAAUGUCGUGGCAGUUUCAUGGCU
RNAcentral lists this long non-coding RNA (96022 nucleotides) under Sorghum bicolor (sorghum). RNAcentral's name for it is "long non-coding RNA (SBIC_LNC003777)". The record is from RNAcentral. Lineage: Eukaryota; Viridiplantae; Streptophyta; Magnoliopsida; Poales; Poaceae.